Molecule: long non-coding RNA, 125031 nt
Filed under: Ricinus communis (castor bean)
Lineage: Eukaryota; Viridiplantae; Streptophyta; Magnoliopsida; Malpighiales; Euphorbiaceae
Description: long non-coding RNA (RCOM_LNC001616)
Source: RNAcentral
CAUCCGACAAGAGGCCAAGGUUUUGGGCCAGGAGGUAGCGGGAGUUGCUUGGCGUUUUGGCUUUUUAGCUUCUGGGAUUUUGUCAAGUAAAUUAAAGCCACAGCUAAGAGAAGAAUUAGGUAUGGGAAGCUCAAUGAAGUUUUGAGAAAGCCAAUGACAAUGCUUGCAAAACAUAGUGUUGCUUGAAAAGGAGCUAGGAUUCUGCAAGAAAUUGCAGAGGUAUAUUCUCCAUGAUCACAAAACUCUUUACUGAGACUGACAUGUUUAUAAUUUACUGAAAAUGGGAAGAAACUUUCGAACUCUGAAGGAUGUGCACACAUUCCCUCUAACUUUGUCUCCUAUUUAUAGAGCUUGGAGGACUGCUUUUACCUAGUUUUCUAGAAAGUUUUUUUAACGCAUUGAUUAUUAAUUUUUACGGUUUUUUCUUGAUUAUUUUUAACAUUAAUAAUCUUUUUACUUUUCUAUUCUCUUUUAUAUAACAAAACAAAUGAAAGGUUAAAAUAUUUUAAUAUUUGGUUUGAAUUUGACUCAAAUUUGGCCGCUUUUUUAAUUUAUUUAAAUUCGUCCAAAAUAUCUAAAAAUCGAAUUAAUUUCAAUCAUCAAUAAAAUUUCAUUGAGCCGAACUUAAAUAAUAAUAUAUUCGGAUGGGUUUUUGUAAUUUCUACUCAAUAUACCAUGUUAGGAAAUCUCCUAAUAUGGAAGGUGAUACUCGCAUAAACCUACAAGUAAAUCUGAAUGAGUACUCCCCAUUUAACAACUUUAAUUAUUCAAAUCAUUUUUAAGCAAUUCAUAUGGUUUUUUUUUUUAAAGUAGUUUAAAUAAAUACAACUAGUCAUAUUUAGAGAUUUUCAUUUUUCAAAUAUCAUAUAUUUUAGAUACUACAGUAUUACUUUUUUCAUGAUCCUCCCAAACCUAGUCAAAAUGGCAGAUAUUCUUACUUUUAUAAGAAGUAGUUUUGUAACUGUUAAAAGAACAUAUAACAUAGCUAUCUCUCCAUUCAAUAUAGGAAACAAAUAAAUAAAUUUAACUUUGGUAUUGUCUGCAUUGGGUCGAGGGGUAAAAUCAACUAAGACCUUUUAUUACCUUCUUCUUUUCUCUAUUCUUUCCUUUAGUGUUUAGUCUUUCAACAAUGGAGGUCUACUUAAAUUACGUUAAUUUGACUAAAUAUCAUAUACAUUCCUACAAUUUAUGAGUUGUAUUUCAAUUUUGAAUUAAGGUUAAGAUAAUCGGCUGUGAACUAUAAACGUGUUUUCCUAUCUAUUAAAAGAUGUAAGCAAACUAAUUCUAAUUUUAGAAAAUUAUAAUAUUUUAUACCAGCAAAGUGCUAAAAAUCUUAAAUUUAAUUAUUAUUAUUUUAUUAUGUGAAUAAUAACGAGAUCAAAUAUUGAAAUUCACGUAUAUUAAUUAUUAAAAUUCCCUGAGGAACAUAAAUCUUGCGACUGCUAUCUCAGAAUCGCCACCGCGAUAUGCCUAAUUUGAAUUCCAACUGGCAUGACCACAAUAUUGGGAGCAACAAAGUCUCUAUUAUAUUGGUGAAAUCGCGUCUGCAAUACGAGUUUUGUUAUUGCGGCAUUCUUAACUGUUUGGAAGCCUAAAACAACCAUAUCCAUAAAGUCCAAUGAAGAAGCGCCACAAGAAAAAGAGCCAUUGUAACUUUAAGAAUUGCAACCGCAAUUCAGCAAGUGCGUUCGAUAUUGAGCAAGCACAACCACUAUUCUUUAGUUGUGACCGCAACAGUUCUGACAAUACAUUUCUGCACUAGCUUGAGCUAAGAAAAAAGAUGAUCGGUAAGAGUUAUGUGAGUAAUGCUUCUUUGGUAGUUUGGAACUAUAAAUACUCCCUAGACUAUUUAUAAAUGAUGAACAACCUAAUAUAACACAUUUUAUUGAUCCUUUAAUUCUCACAUUUGUGUAUCAAUUUUAUCUUUAUAAAAAGUUGUUGUAAAAGUUUAAGUGUUAGCCUUAAGCACUUAGAUGGGUCUAAGAGUUAGCCUAGUGAUAAAGACUCUUGUAAGGGUUUGAGUGUGAGCUACAAACACUUAAAAAGAAAAGUUUAAGAAUUAGCCUAGGUAAAAAAACUUUUAUGAAGUUUGAUAUGAAUCUAAAUACUAAGUUUGAGAGUGACCUUGGAAAAUAUUCUAGUGUAUAGGUUUGAGAGUGAGCUUGUAAAAUACUUGAGUUCAAUCUUUCACCCGCAAAAGGAUCAACAAUAGUAAAAUACUAAUUGAAAAUUGAGGAAUGUAUGUAGGGUUAGUUAAUACCCAAACUACUAUAACUUUUUGUGUUGAUUUUUCUUCCCUCUUUAUCUAAUCCUCUGAGCAAAUUUUAAUUACCCAUCAAUUUUUUAACACUAAUUCAACCCUCUUUCUUAGUGCAUCUAGGUCAAAUAUGAAAUAAGGACACUAAAGUUACUUGCUUUAAAAUAAAAGGACACUAAAGAUACUACUAAUAAUAAAAAUUUGAUUAUGAUAUCAAAAACAAGCUUAAUAGUAAUGUAUUUUACGUAUUAUUUUUAUUUUUUAUUUAUAUUUCAUACUAAUAAUUAAAAACUAAAUUUCAAGCUAAUUUCAGUCACUAAUAAAUUUUUUAUUAAGCCGAACUUAAACAGUAACAUAUUCGAAUUGGCUUGUGUAAUUUUCACUCAAAAUGCAAUGUUAGGAAAUAUCCUAAUAUCAAUAAAAAAAAUAUUUAACAUAUAUAGUCUACUAUCUAUUUAGUUUAUAUUAGAAAUUAUAAUAAUUUAGAUAAAAAUUACUAAAAUAAUUAUUAUAUAAAAUAUAAUAAGUUUAGCUAUAAGAUAUGAAUAUAAAAUUAAUCUAUAAAUAUAACAUAUAAUUUAUUAAUAGAAUAUGUAAUUAAAUUCUGUAUAAAGUACGAUUAUUAAACUAAUUCUGUUAAUAGUUUCAAGUCCUUAAUUUAUAAAAGGUACAAACUAACUUCUUAUGCAGGUAAUAACUUCUGCCACUUUGACUAGGUUUGGAAGGAUCAUAUAAUAGUAUUACUAUAGUCAUCUAGAAUAUAUGAUAUUUGAAGAACGAAAAUCUAUAAAAUAGGACUAGUUCUAUAUAUUUUUAAAUUAUUUAAAAAAACAUAUUAAUUGCUUAAAAGUAAUUUGAAUAAUUAAAGUACUCGUUAAAUAGGGAGUCCUCAUUUAGAUUUACUUGUAGGUUUAUGCUCUAGCAAUGAAGCCGGACGGUUCCGGUUCAUAGUUCUGAUUCUGGCUAGUUCUAACCAAUUUUUAGAAAAUAAAAAAUUAAUUAAAAUAAAUUAUUUUUUAUGAAUUAGAGUUAUAUUUGAUAGUNNNNNNNNNNNNNNNNNNNNNNNNNNNNNNNNNNNNNNNNNUAAAAAUAAAUAAAUAAAAUUAUCCUUAAAUUCUCUCCGUUCAAUUUAGGAAAGAAAUAAAUAAAUUUACCUUUGGUAUUUUUUGCAUUGGGUCAACCAACUAAGAAUUCUUUUUACAUUCUUUUCUCUAUUCUUUCUUUUAGUGUUUAGUGUUGCAACCUUUUUUUGUUUCCAAUUUAAGGUUCUUGAUUAGAUAUAUAUUUAUACAUCGGUACAUUAGCAUAUUAAUAGCUUUUCAAUCAAUAGAUAAAAGAAGUUUUAUAUUUCUACAGUUUAAUUAAUAUUUAUAAAAAAAAUUAUUUUUUAUUUUUAUGUGUUUGAAGAAAAUGAAAAAAUAAAAUUAGUAUGAUAAAAUAUAAUUUAUUUAUUUAUAUUAUAAAUAACUAAGAAGUAUACGGAUGAUUAUUCCUUAAUCAUUAUUUUACUAUUAGAUUAUAUUAUUUUAAUAUUUAAAAUAAUUUUUACAGAUAAUAUUAUAGUAUUCAUAGCCAUAGCAGUUAGUUAGCUUUUCUCGAUUUGGUGACCACAGAAAGAAAUGUCAUCUAUCAAUAUUUCAAAUUUCAUGUGAAUUUCCAACUGUUCUAAUGGACCACUGUACAAAUUCGAAAUUCUUAAAUAUGCAAAACGUUUGAAUUGAUAUUAAGUGAAAGUUAAAAAUAAAGGUCGAUAAAUUGAUAAUAAAAAUAUUAAAUAAUAAUACUAACUUAGAAUUAUAAUUGAAUGUAGCUUAUUUCUAAAUAUAAAAAAUAAUAAUAUAAAUAAUUAUUAAAUUUUAUAUUUAAUCUCAUUUUAAUAAUAAAUUUUUUAUGUUAUUAGAAUCAUUCAAUUUUAAUUUAGUUACUAAUACAACAUAUCAAUUUUUAUUUGUAAAAAUAACUAAAUUAAAAUAUAAUCCAAAUAAACUAAAAUUUCAUUAUUAAAUAAAUAAAUAAAAAUAUUAUAUUAUUUUUAUGACUAUGUUUAUAUAAUAUUAAAAUUAUAUUUUAUAUAUCAAAAUUAUAUGGUGCAUUAAUGUCUUCAUGGCUCGUGGUCCAACUCCCGGCUAAUGUAUGUGAUUUUUAAGUGGGUAUUUUUCCCCACUACUAGCGGUUCACACCGGCUCACCGUCAGGACAUGUUUACUGUAAGCAUGUUUAUAUUAGCAUCAAAGUUUGUCAGAACAUGUUUACCAUAAGCAUGUUUAUAUUAGCAUCAAAGUUUGAAAGGGACGUUUUUUCAUAAAAUUUCAGGUUGAAAUAAUUGUUCAGCAAAAGAUUGCCAACCCUACCAUGAAAAAGCUGAUGAUGGAGCUUUUUCUAACUCAUGCAUUUUGCUCUAUCUGUUUUAUAGAAAAUAUAUUCUAUAAAAGUACUGUCACGAUCUGAUUUGUGGGUUCCGUGACCGGCAUUAGAAAAUGAGUAGGCGUAAGGCUAUCGAAUUCUGUAGUAAGCAUGACCAUUUACUAACUUAAUUAAAUCUCAAUCCAAUAGCACUCAUCCACAAUUAACCUUAACUAUUAGGUUCUAUAUAUUUAGAAUAUGGACUGCCAGCAUUAAUAGGAAAGAUCAGAAUUUAUACGAAAUUACAAAAUGAUAAAUUUAAAAUUUUUAUUGUGGAGAUUUUAGAAAUUUAAAAGUCAAUAUACCAAUAAAAUUAGUUACAUUAAACUCGAAGAUGAAGGAAUCGGGCUGCUGGAUGAAAAGAACUACGGAAAAACUAGCCACAUCUGAAAAACAGUUAAAUUGAGACUGUCAGUCUCGGGAGUGAGUUAAAAUUAUAUAUCCAAAAACAAUUACAAACACUUCAAUAACACAUUUAUUUAAUUUAACAUAAAAUAUCAAGUCAUGCAAAAAUAUACGUGUCAUGCCAUGCUUCUAUAAAAUAAAUUUCACAUACUACGGGACGGAGAACUUCAGUAGAACCCUAAUCCCCAUUACUAAACAGUCUUAGCCCUUCGGCUCUCUCGUUCCAACAGAACUGGCGCCCAAAGAGCAAAGCUCGACCAUGGUCCUUAAAUCUAGUCUGGUCACUUAUAUUUCCAAUAAAGUCGGCGCCCAGAGAGCAAUGCUCGACCAGGGAUCUUUACUCCCGCAAACUCAUUCCACUCAGCCCAGAGAGUUAAAUUCGACCAGGGCAAGUCCUAAACCAUUCUUCUAUUACCUUGCUCAAAUUCAAACCGGUGCACACGCAGUCUUGAUGCAACCAUCAGGUGGCAUGUUCUACCUGUCGUCCCGUCCCGAGUCAACAUACACUCACAAUAGCAUUAUGUAGAAAAUGAUACAUAUAUGAAUAGUAACUAAAUGAAUAAUUUAAGUCUAUAAUUAAUUAAUCACAAUUGCUAUUUAAAAUCUGUAUAUGACACAUGUAAACAGAUAUAUGAUUUUAACUCACAAUUCUGACGACCUCCUAGCUCUGCUCCGAUGCCUUAGGUGGAGCGAGCCGAACUGACGGAUUUAUCUAAUCAUGAAAAUAUUUAAAUCAGUAAAUAUAAGACCUUUGGCAAUUAACCCUAGGCCUAGACUCCUAGAAUUAUUGUCUAAAAAUCUCAACUCAGAAGAAUUCUAUAGAAAAUUCGGCAGAACCUCCUCUAAAUUACAGACUUUUAUCCCCCGUAUAACAGGUCCAGGACCUACCAGAAAACACUUCAAUUAUACAGUGAUUAAUUAUUAGGAGUCGGGCCACCAAAACUGCAUUAAUUUUUUCGACUCCGUAACACAACAUAAAACACGAUUAUUAGCAGACGAUCCGACAAUUAAAUAUUUUAACUAACAAUCCUCACAAUAAUUUUUUAAUGCUCAACACAAUUAAAUAAACACAUAAUUUCAUCAACAACCUCUAAAAUCUACAGUUUGAGAAAUUACCGAGACGCUUGAUCACUCGGUCGACUCGUCUCCAGCCACCGGAGUCUGAUUGAUGAUUCGAGCACGCCUACGGACUCGAGACAACGAACUGACGAUGAUUCCAACUUUCGAUCUUCCGAUCCGACCCCCGAUCAUACAGAGACAUUUACGGACAAUCUCGACCGUCGAUUUUCAAACAGAGUCCGAUCGCCACGAAACCAGUGCUAUUGGAAAGCUUGAGAUAAGGAGAGUCCGGAUAUGCCUUCUGAUCAUCCAUCCCCCGCUGGAAUUCGUCGGAAAAGCCCAAAAUUCUGGCUGCCCCUAAUCUUUUCACCUCUCCAGAUCUUGCAAUUCCGAGAGCCUGAAGGGGUGGCGAUGGUCGGAAAAGGAAGCCUAGAAGUUGCUGAUCAUUUUGAGCUUAAGAAUGUCGCAAAUGGUUGCCGGAAACUCCAUAAUCAGCAGCAAGAAAAAAAUCUGUCGUUUCUAGCCAUUUUCGCCGCCUGCCAAUGCUUCCAGCUGCAGCCACUAGUGCCAUCGAGCUCGCCGACGACAGCAGCAUCCUUAGCCAUCGCCGCUGCACCACGGACGAGCCUCCUACACUGCCGCCGCCGAUGGUCGACGCCCUCUUCUUCUUCUUCUCUUUCUUUUCUUUCUUUUCUUUUCUUUCCUUCUUUAUCGACACUUUGGUCCCUGAACUUUUCUUCUUUACCAUUUAGUCCCUCAACUUUUUAAUUACUAACAAUUUCGCACUGCAAAAUUUUCAAUUAACCCUUUAACUUUUCUUUAGUUUUUCAAUUAAGCCCCUAACUAUUUAAUUUGGGCCAAAUUAAAAUCAAUAAAAAUAUAGAACUACUUAUUUACCCUUGCUUUUAAAUUUAAAAUUACCAAAAUGUCCUUACCUACACAUUUAAUUAUAAAAAUACCAACCAUACAGAUUUUCAUUUAAAACUCCAAAUUAAAACAAUUAUAUUUUCAAUCCUUAUUCCAAAAUUAAUUGUCAAUUUAAUCCUAACACUUAGUUAACUUAAUUAAUCAAUUUACUAACUAUUUUUCAAUUAAAAUCAACACCAUUAGCUAAUUAAAAUUUACUAUUUUUUAAUAAAUUCUUUUUAUAAAAAUAUUAUUUACCAACUCUUUCAUAACUUUUAAAUAUAGAAAUUAAUUCAUAUACUCAUAUAGGGAGAAAAUUAAAUGACCAAAAACAUAAUUUAUUGCUCAAGGAAUUUACUUAAUUAAUUUCUUGAAAUCAAACUAAUUUGAUAUAGAAAAAUAACUCUCUUAUUUUUAUCUACAAUUGAAAUUCUAUUUUAAAUCAUCUCAAUUAAAUUAAUUAAAAAUAAAGUAAUAUAAAUUUAAAUAAAAACUCAUUAUUAAUUAUUAUUAAUAUUAUUAUUAUUAUUAAAAGAAAAAUUUCAAGAUAUUACAAGCAUUUUCAAUUUUUUUUUGUUUUUAGUACAUUUUAAAAAGUUUAUGAACGAAAUUUGGGGUCAAAACAAUUCAGCCAUUUUCUAAAAAUAAUGAUAUUUUACGUUUAAAAAUAGAAAACAACCAUUUUCUAUAUUUUACAAAAAACUAAUUAUAUAUAUACACAUAUAUAACCUUUCAUAUAUUUUAUUUUGUUAUAUAUAUAUAUAUAUAUAUAUAUAUAUAUAUAUAUAUAUUUAUAUUUAUAUAACCUUCCAUAUAUUUUAUUUUUUUGAAAAAACAAAGAAAAUAUUUUGUCCUUAAGAUCAAGUUGUUGCGAGUAAUAAUGGAAGCUGAGAUACUCAAAGUUGAAUGGGCAAGAGGCCUGUCACGACCCCAUCCAUGGACCCGUGACCAGCACUAGGGAAUGGGUAGGCGUAAGGCCACCGAAUUCCCUAGUAAACCUGAUAUUUUUCUGAUGCCACAAUUAUCUUAACAUUCAAAUUUUACAUAAUUAAUUCGAUCUGCCAAAAAAAUUAGGCGAGACCCGAAACUACAGAAAAUUACAUCUGAUACAUCUACUAUUACUACUGUGGAGAAUCUAAGAUUUUACAAAUUAACAUACCAAAUCAAAUACACCACCUGAUGAUGAAGGAGUCGGGUUACUCAUUAAGAGUCAAGGAAAAACUAUCAGUCCCGAAUCUGAAAGAAAAAAAAAGUAAAUUGAGACUGUCAGUCUUAAGAGUGAGUUAAAAUCAAAUAAUCAAUAGACUAUUGCAGUCUUCACAAAAAAUAUUAAUUAUUCGAAUCAGUAUAUCAAACCCUGAACAUAAAUACAAAUCAUAAUAUAAUCAUACCAUAAUAAAAAUAAUGAAAAAUAAAUAAAUCAAAACAUAUUUUUACUUUUACGGGACGAGUGGCUCAGUAGAAUCCUAACCCCAAAUUCUACUAGCUUUCUCCCGCAUUAGAGGGGAAAAUUAGCAAAGCGAGAAAAGACAGAAGGAGAGAGAGCAGCAUCUUAUUCUUUUUGCGAGAACUUCCAGAUCAAAAAAGCAUUCGGAACUGGCGAGUGCGCUAGUUGGUCUUACAGACUGACGCCCAGAGAGCAAUGCUCGACUAAGGACCUUACCUCCAGUUUGGUCAUUUAAGUAUCCAAAUAAGCCGGCGCCCAGAGAGCAAUGCUCGACCAGGGACCUUACCUCCGACAAUUUACUCAAAUCAGCCUAGAGAGCCAUGCUCGACUAGGGAAAAACUCAUAAUAAUCUUAUUACCUGUCCAUGAUCAUUACCGGUGCGCACGCGGUCCUGAUGUAGCCCAUCAAGUGGCAUUGUUCUAUGAAAGCCACAUUUCCCAAAUCACAAUCAUCACAUUUAAUAAAUAUCAUUGUCUAAUGAAUUCAUUCAACACAUAUCGAAAUAAAGAUUAAAUAUUUAGGGUAAAGCAACAUGCAAUUUGUGUGGAAAAAAAUAAUAAUAUUCGUAUUAUUAUAACAUUACUAAUAAUAAUAUUUAUAUUAUUUUCAAUAAUUAAUAAUCAAGUGAAAUUAUUUAUAUUGCAAUACUAAUAAUCAUAUUAAGCAUAAAUUUCUAAAAUAGCAUAUUAAAUUCAGACUUAGCAAUAGUGCAAUGAUUAAGUGACUUUAACUCACGAUUUGGCGACCUCCUAGCUCUGCUCCGAUGCCUCAGUUGGAGCGAGCCGAACAGACAGUUCAUCUAAUCACGGAAAACUAAUUUAUCAAUUACGCUGAACAAUUGACAAUUAACCCUAGGUCUAGAUUCCUAAGACUGACUGUCUAAGAAUCUCGACUCGGGAGAAUUCUACCGAAAAUCCGGCAGAACCUCCCCUACAACACGGACAUUUACCCCUCGUAAAACGGCUCUAGGACCUGCCAGAAAAAUACUAGAAAUAUCCAACAAUUUAACACAACGGGAGUCGGGUCCUAAAAACUUCACUAAUUUUCCGACUCCGCCACUGAGCACAAAAAUCACAACUACGACAGGUAGUCCGACAAACUAUUAUUUUUGACUCACAAAUAUCAUCUAAUACUCAACACAAAUCAAUAAGCAUAAAUUAAAUCAAAGAAUUCCAAAUCAACGGGUCAGAGAAUUACCGAGAUGCUUAAUCGCUCGGUUAGACGAUCCGAACAUACCAUCGGACUCGAAACGACACGCUGAUGAUGAUCCCCGCUUCCGAUUUUCUGAUCCGACCCCCGAUCACCCGGAGAGAUUUGCGGAUGAUCUCGGUCGUAAAUUCGUAAACGAAGCCCGAUCGCCACGAAUCUAGUGCCAUUGCGAAGCUUGAGCUGAGGAGAGUUGGGAUACGUCUUCCGAUCAUCCAUAGCUCACCGGAGCUCGCCGAAAAAUCUGAAAAACCCCGGCUGCCCCCUACUUUCUCUCUCCACCGGUUCUUCCAUCUCCGGCCACCACAUGCGUCGCUGCUGCUGCCAAAAAGAAGCUCUCUUCGAGGAAGCCGAUCACCACCGAGAUCGGCCGACAAGGCCGCUGGAAACGGCCGGAAAAUCACCUAGAAGUCGCUGCCUCCUUGCACGCUUCCGCUGCCUGCCGAUGCCACUAGAGCCGCUGCCGCCGCUGCCACUGCGCUCGCCAGCGCACGCCGCUCCGUAGGCCAGUGCUCCACACCCGCGGCAGUCGCCACCCACGCCCGCAGCGCUUAACUCUUCUUCUUCCUCUUCCUCGCUUCUUCUUUCUCUCUCCCUGAUCUUCUCUCUUCCUUUUCUUCUUUCUUAUUAGGCCCUCAGACUUUCCUUCCUUACAAUUUGGUCCCUCAACUUUAUUAAUUACUUACUAUUUCAUCCUGCAGAAUUUCCAAUUAACCCUUAAACUUUCCUUUAGCCUUUCAAUUAAGCCCCUAACUAAUUAAUUUGGGCCAAAUUAGAAUUAUUGAAAAUAUAUAAUUACAUAUAUACCCCUGACCGAUAUAUUUAUUUACAAAAAUACUAAACUUACAAAUUUCCAUUAAAAUCCCAUAAUAAUAAAAUUAUACUUUUAAUCCUUAUAUCAAAAUAAAUUUCCAAUUUAGUCCUAAAAUACAAUUAAAUUAAAUAGCCAAUUUGCUAAAUAUUUUUCAACUAAAAAUUAAAUACCACUAGCUAAUUUAAAUACCAAUUUUUCCAAAAUUCUUUUAUAAAAACACCCUUUAUAAAUUCUUUCAUAAUUCUCUAAUAUAUAAUUUUAUUUAUAUAUAUAUACAUUUGGGAAAAAUUUGAAUAACCAAAAAUAUAAUUUAUUCCUCAAAUAAUUUACAUAAUUAGUUUCUUAAAGAUCCAACUAAUUGAGUAUAGAAAAAUAACUCAUUUAAUUGUCUAAUAUUAAAAUUUCUAUUAAAUCAUUUCAAAUUAAACCAAAUAAAAAUAAAAUAAAACUAAUUUAAAUAAAAAUUUAUUUAUUAAUUAUUAUUAAUAUAAUCAUUAUUAAGGAAAAAAUUUCGGGUAUUACAAGGCCGAUACGAUCAACUCAACUUGAUCGAUGAAACCAGAAUGAAGGCCAUGUAUCACACACAUAAUACCAGUAAAGGACUGCUCGAGCUUUUGACAAGCAUGUCAAGCCUCGACCUUUAAAGGUGGGUGAUUUGAUCCUUAAAGAGGGAAAACCGGUAGUUCUGAACCGUUUAGAUAAAUUUUGACCUAACUGGAAAGGCUGGUAUCUUGUUAAGAAGAUCUUCUCUAAAGGAGCAACAAUAUUAUUAGACUUCGAGGGCAAUGAGUUUAGUCAACCAAUCAACAUAGACAUGUUCAAGCAAUAUUACAUAUAAUAAAAGAAUAAUAAAAGAAUAAAAAAAUUUAAUGAAAUAAUAAGCUUGUUGGAUUGAAAAUGUGUAAAAAGUGGUCCAAGCAAAAAUUAGAGCGGCUCGAUCAGGUGAAAACCAAGAGGCACCUUAGGAAAAAAUAAGAACUAAAUAAAAGAAGAAAGAGUGCUUGGUUGGUUAGAAAACCUAAAAGGGCUAACCGAUUGCAAGAGUCGGACUGUUUUCGAUAUGUUUUAAGAUGUACUUCGGUUAAACUAAUUAAUGGUAUGACUCCUAAUUAUGAGAACAUGGUUUUUUUUUGGGAUUUUACAUGUUUUGCAAUUCUGAAACAACAUCUAACAAAUAAAUCAAUUUUCUUUUUUCUUUUUUCGCUAUUCUAAUCCUUAGUCAUUAACUAAUACAGGAACAAUACAACAUCAACUCUAAACGUCAGUGUGCCUGAGCGGCUGCCCAAGCUCUGGAAGUGUCAUCCACGGCAGAAUCACUCAGCUCCUGUAAGUUUGAAAGGAUGGUCUGGUAGCUCUAAGUGUUGCGGACGUGGUAUAAGAACCAAGCAAAGACAGGUCCUGGCUCGAAUUCUAGCAUGAUAGGAGGAAUCCUCUGCAGCCCUCAUACUGAUGGACAAGUAUGGAUAGGUUAUAAAAAGAACUGAAAUCAAGCUUUAAAAGCACCAAACAGGAGGUAUAGAUCUCCCUGACGAUCUUGGCAGCAAUGGAGCAAAAAUGUCUUACCUAGCAGCUCAAUGUGCAAAUCUGAAUCAUACAUGCAUAGACAUGCCCCUAAAAAGGCAACCACCUAGUAUAUACUCCAAAAGCAAUAUGUAUACUGAAUAUAUUAUAUAUUUAUGAUACUGGUACAUGCUAUACAAAUGAGUGUAUACUGCUCAUCCAACUAUAUAAAAUCAAAUUUAUAAAUAUCACAAAAAAUCCAAACUACCAUUAUCUAUUCUCGAGUUUCUAUAAAAAAAUAUUUUAAUUGUUAUAAAUCAAUUUUGCUAAAAACAAAAAUUUUCUCGUAAAAGCAUUUAAAUAAAAUAUACAAAUAUAAUACAAUUGAAAACAACACUGUUAUAAGCUUAUCCAUUCAUCUUGUAUACAGGACUCGAAUUUACUAUACGGAACUCAAGUCGCUAACUUUUUCUCAAACUAAUAUUCAUAUACUUAAUCCUAUAAGUUAUAUAGAAAUGAAAUUAGAAAUAAAUUUAAAAUUCUCUUUUCUAAUAAUUCUUACCUAAUAUCUAGCGUCAAACCCGAUUUAUAACAAUUCUAUUAAUUCUCUAAUUAUUUAAACUAAUUAAGGCUACUGAAAUUUUAACAGCAUCUCCUAUGUAAAUCGGAUUAAUUUUCACCGUAAAAUGGAUCCAAAACCUCCAAGCAAUCACAACUCACAAAAUACUCGUCCAGAGCCACAAAUUAUUCAUUUGAAAAGUCCAAUUAAACGUCCGUUUAAACUCCAGCAAAAAUAAUUACUUAUUUUUUUAUUAAUUACCUCGAGAUGAUUUAAUAACUAAUGCUAAUAAUAAGUACUCUUACUAAUUCAUUUAUCCUUUACAACAAUUGUUCAUAAUUCUGACUAUUAUAACUACCUCUAAUUUUAAAAUCCAAUUCAAUUCACCAUAUCUAUCAUAGGAAUAAUAUCAAUAUAAUUCUCCUUAUUUCCCUUUACAUUAACAAAUCUUUAAUUUAUUUAUAAAAAUAAUUAAUUUUUCACAUUAUCAAAAAUAAUCUAUAUAUUAUCAAAAUUUCUAUUUACUAAUAAUAUAUUUAAUCUACUAAGUUAAUUAAUAACCUAAAAUUAGACAAGCAAAAGAAAUUUAUCUCCACACACGUAACGCCUAUCGACUCAUUACCGGUCGUUGAUGUCUGUUCGAAGAUCCGAAGACACCAUCAAACUCGUCUCAAUGUAUAAAUCAUGGAUUAACUAUUAUUUUUUCCUAAAGAAUCGAUAAUUGACCAAAAAAAUAAAAAAUGCUCUUGACCAUCUGAUCAUAAACAGUGUCUGAUCGAGGUGAAACCAAUGACAUCUGAAAGGUCGUUUUCUAAGGAGUUCAUUUGUGUAUUUUAAUUUCUUAAUAAUCUAAACACUCUCCACAUCACAUGAUGAUGAACCUGAAAAUGGGAUUUGCAAAGGUCUAAUUCACUCUUCCACUGCUGUAAACGGAGCCAAAACAACAAGCAUAAAAACAAUAAUUAAGAAAUCGAGCCAUGAAAAAGAUUCAAGAAGAGUUUAUUUUAGCCAUCUAAAUAAUGUUUUAAGAUAAAUAUUGAAUUUUAAUGGAGAUUUUUAUUUUUCAGGCCAUAAAUUAUGUCUUAAAGAAAAUAAAUAAAUAAGAUAAAAAGCAAUUUUGUAAUUUCACAGAAAACUAAUGGUAAUAUAACUAAAAAUUAGACGAGAACAGCUUCUAGCAUAAUAUGAAAAAAGAGAGAUUUUAAAAAUUGAGGUCUUGAUUAAUGUAAUAUUGUAAAUCUCAAAACAGAAAUAGUAUUAGGGAUAAAUUAAAUUGGAGUACCAAAUUCUUCCUUUUAUACUAAAAAUAUAUUAAAUUUAUGAUAUAACUAAAUCAUCACUGAAAUUUAUACUUUGUAAAAAAAAAAAAUCAAAAUUUUGAUCUUAAAAGAUAUAUGACCUGUGCUUUUCUUGUAACAAAUCAAAGGUUUAAUAUAUUUUUGUUGCAAAAUGCAAAAUUUAACGACUAUCUAUAUGAAUUUACUAUCUAAGUGUGACAAAAAAUUCCAUUAAUGUUACUAAAGUUAAAGUUUAGCAAUUAUUGAAUUAUAAAUAAAAUAUUUUUUACUUUUUUAUUAUAAAGUGUAAAGUAUAAUAACCGCCAAUAUAAUUUAUUGAUAAUAUUACCUUAGAAUUUAUUUAUAUACCAAGUGAAAGAAACUGGAACUUAAAAUCGAUAAUAUUGCUUAGUUUUGCCUUUCUUUUUUUUCUUUUUUUUUAUCAGUUAUGGUGAAAACAUCACAUUUAACUUCAUCCCUUUGCAAGGUUGGUUUCAGUAGAUUUCUUAAUUAAUCACAAUUUCUUCACAAACCAAGACUUUAUUAAAGCAGAAUUUGGGUAAGGUACCCAGUACAAAAACUGACCAACUAUAUCAACAAAAAAUGGAAAAUGAAACGGUACAAGAACAAAAAUAAUAUAAAACAUAUAACGCACGCGAUAAAGUCACUCUCUUGUAACAGUUGCCUUUGCCAAGUUGUCUGCAUAUUUUCAACACUUAUAAAUUAGUCUAACAUGUUUAAUUUGGAAGCAUGCAUGUGAUUAUGCCGGGUACAAAUUUGCAGGCAAACGUGGCUUUGCGAGUGCAACUAAUGGUUUGGCAAGUGCCAAACUAUUCUUAGACUCUGAAAGAUCAAUGCUUGUCUCAUUAGGGGGCACGCUCCAGCUAAACCCUUGAAGAAGCCUAGCAAAUAACAUAACAGUCACUGCAGUUCCCAAUAUGAUGCCUGGACAACCUCUUCGUCCUGUACUAAAUGAAAGCAAGUUCAAAUCAGGCUCCGUCAGCAUCACUUGACAUCCAUUUCUCUUGAAAUGACGCUCUGGUUUGAACAUGUGUGGUUCAUCCCAAAUCCGGGGAUUCCGGCCGAGGCCGACUCGGCUAAGCAAGACAUGGCUACCUUUCGGAAUAAAAUAGUUAGCAACAGUUGUAUCUGCUAUGGAGACAUGAGGAAGAUUGAAGAAGACAAUAGGGUGGAGGCGAAACGCUUCUUUAGCACAUGCUUUUAUGUAAUUGAGCUGUGGAAAAUCUGACUCUUGGACUAGUCUCUCCCUUCCAACAACUCUAUCCAAUUCUUCUACUGCUUUCUCAAGAAGUUUCGGUUUGUUUAUCAUCUCUGCAAGUGCCCAUUCUAUAGCAUUUGAUGGAUUAUCUACUACUGCCAUCAUUAUUUCCUGCAAAAAUUGAUAGUUGAUAUUUAAUUAUUGAAAUUAGCUGGUGGGAAAUAUAGUAAUUAAAAUGAAAAACACAGUGAAAAUAUGCAUACAACUGGUAAUUUUCCUUAUAUCCAUACCAGGGAUAUAUUCAAAAAUAAAUUCUUUGUGAAGACAAUAGAGCGUGCAUGCACGCUUAAUUUGAUAUAUUCAUUUAACAAAAUCACCAGUUGAUAUUUAGCUUUGUUGAAAUCAGUUGGUAGGAACUAUUGUUAUUAAAAUGGAAGAUGCAAUAAAUUUGAAUCUUAACCAACAUAUUUAAUGUUUGCCGAACUCAAAAUGACGAACUGAACUUCUUGCAAGAAAGGACAUGCAAAUGGAAUUUUCCUUAAAUCCAUUUCUUAAAUCAGGUGCAAAAACAUUAUAUUUCGAAUGUGUUGUGAGAGGGAGUGAGAGAGAGACGGAAUUUACAGUAAUUUGAGCUUUAAUCUCUUCUGUUGACAGCAAAGAGUUGCCACUGGCAUCUUCUAGAUUUAUGAAAACGUCAAGCAAGUCAUCCACUUCCUUUUUGGUGCCAUCCUUCCAUUGUUGGACCCUCUCUUCAAUUAUGGGAUCUUGAUAUUUAUUUAUGGUCCCAAGAGCAUCCUUCAUGACCUUCCCAUGGCCAUCCAAGUCAAGCCCUGUCAAGCAUGGCAUGUAAUCAGAAACACAAAACGCAUAGCUAUGAGCAAGGACUGUGAAAAUCGCAUCAACAUGCUCUUUUUCCUCGAUACCAGGUCCUCCGUCCUUCAUUCCCUCCCCGAAGAACCUUUUGUUAAACACCAUUUUCCUUGUUACAUUUCCACAAUAGUGCCGUCCAGUGACUCUCACGUUAACUGAUCCACCUUCCUCAACAGUCUUGCAUUGGUUAUAUACAUAACGUACAAGGUGAUCAGCUGCUUCAAGUCUUUUUCCGUAAAACCACUUGCAUUUUUCCACAGAAAGAAAUUGCGUUACCAGCACUCUCCUCAUUUUCUUCCAUUGUUCUCCCAAGGGCACAGCACCUGUUGCCAAAUAACCUCUUGUAGUGAGAUCGGUGGACAUGGUUAACGGUCUGCUUGCAAAAAGAGCAUCCUGUACUUCCAAGAAUUCGCGGCUAAUCUCAGGAGAAGUGACAGGAAUCACAUGAACGUUUCCAAGACGGAUACAAGCAAUUUCAGUGUUCAUUUCUUUCAUGAGCUUGUGUAUCCAUCGAAAGGUCGGCUUAUUUGCUAGCAUCGUUGGCAGGCAUCCGACAAGAGGCCAAGGUUUUGGGCCAGGAGGUAGUGGGAGUUGCUUGGCGUUUUGGCUUUCUAGCUUUUGGAAUUUCGUCAAGUAAAUUAAGGCCAACGCCAAGAGAAGAACUAGGGAACAGGAGCUCAACAAUGUUCUGAGAAAGCCAAUGCCAAUUCCUGCCAAAUCUGGAGUGCCAUGAAGAGAAGCUAGCCUAGUGCAAGAUAUUANNNCUUGCAUGCUUUGCAGGAUGCUGUUUCGAACAAACUCUCACCUCUUUUAUCUCAUUUGCUUUUUUCUUUUCCUUCUUUUUUUGUUUACACAAUGCAAUAAUUAACUCUAUAAUCUCUCCCAUUUAUAGGGCUGAAUCCAAAAUCUACGAUGUAAUUCAAUAUAGCAAUGCAAUAGAACGAUUUGUUAAAUCUGAAUAAUACAGGACGCGUGAUCCGUAUUUAUACUUGUAUCUUAAUAACUCUACUGUAUAUACCAUAUAUUUGAGCUUUUAUUUAUACAUUUAUCCAAAUCAUAAAUUAACUAUAUAUUAAAUCUUCUUCUAUUCAUUUAUACAAACCAUUUACACAUUAUGGAAUUCAAGUUUAGUUUGGCCACACAACAUAUAUUAUUAUUAUUUAAGGUAUCAUUUUUAUUUCCUUUUGAUUUCAUAACUAACCUCAUUUAUGCAUUCAUGUAUAUACAUGUCUGAAAGAAUAUUUCAUAACUAUUCUUUUAAUAUCAUCGCGUUUGACAAGCGAUUAGAAAACAAUCAAAAUUAAGUUAAAACGAUAUGGGAAAAUAACGGAUGAGAUGGGAUACAAGGGCUGUGGAGUAGCAACUUUAAAUCUCAAAAUUUUUUACCUAAAUUUGGUGUAUGUCCUCGCCUAUAUACUAAACCGAUAAAUGAUAUUUAUUAAUUUUAAAUAAUUAAAUAUAUAUCAAUUAUCCAAUAUAAAAGUGUAAAAUACUCAUAUAUAGUCACUCUCCUAUUAGAUAUGGUGUAUACAUCAACGCUAGAUAAUAAUUUUUUCUCUAAGAAAUCACCAUUGUACUAGUCCUUUCAUAUUAUUCUUGUAACAGUUUAUGGCCGAUAGAAUUUGGUGUUGUUAUACUAUAUAGUCCCAUAAAAAAAAUGAAAAAUUAAAUAGUUGGACGCUGAAUAGAGCCGUUACACGCUGAUAUCACCGAACUAUCUAAUUUGGCUCCUCCGUCCACUACCCACAACCACUGUCCACCUUCAUUAGUGCUAGGGCUAAGUUUGCCAGCAACUCUUCUACUCCCGACUAGUGUCCUGGCCUCUCUCUCUCUCUCUCUCUCUCUCUCUCUCUCUCUCUCUCUCUCUCCUAACCUUCCUUCCUCCCCCUACCCGUUUCCUUUUUAUUCUUCUCCCUUUUCGUUCUUUACUUACCCCUAGUUAUUUACUCUUAAACCCCUAACUUGUAUUUAUCCUUUCAAUUAAGCCACUAAUUUGUUAUAUUUGGCCUAAAUUAGUUACAAUUAUUAAAAUAUAAAAAAUAUUUUGAUCCUGCGUGACACUUUUAUAUCUAAAUCCCAUAUUUAAAUCAAACUUUUAUUUUAACCCCAUUUUAUAUAAACAAAUAUUAGUUUAAUCCUUAGUUAAUUUACUCGAUCAAAUUCAUUAAAAUCUAAAUACUCAAAUAAUUAUUAUUGUUAUAGCACUGUAAAUAAUAAAUUAAAUCCUUUAUUAAGUCCCAUAGUCUUAUAUUAUUUAUUUAAAUAAUACACCUUACCUAAAUCAAAUAAAUAAGUUCCAUAAAUAUCUCAUUAUUAUUAAUACUAAAGAUAAAUCCUUAAAUAACACUUUAAUUUUAGGUCACUGAUAGGUUGAUAUUAUGUAUAUAUAAUUAAAGUAUUUUAGUAAUUUAUUGGUAUAUUUUAUAUACAUAAUAUGUAAAAAUAUAUGUUUAUUACCUCAUUUUAUAUUUAUUGUCUAAUUUCAGGUGACAAUAGCCAAAAAGAUAGAAUAUGAGCCAAAAAUGCAUAAAUGGACUUUAAUUAGACUGCAGCUGUAAAAGGCUCGGAAUAAAGACACGUGGACAACCAAAAUUGCAGGCCUAGUCGAGUUUAUCAAUAUCCAUGAAAGAAAAAUUAAUUAUGAUGUAAUUAAGAUAAAUUAUUUUUUUUAAGUUGUUUAUUUUGUUUAGGAUAGUUAACAGAUAACUAUAGCAGUGUUAUGCUUAGAGAAGGACUCUGAAAAAAGAAUCUUUACAAGAAGUAGAGCAGUUAAACAAGGAGAGCAUCGUUCUAUUAUUCUUCUCUCUGCAAAUUCCCUAUAGUUCGUCUUCUACAACAUUUAAUUAGUUUUGCAUUAUUCUUUCAAAGAUUAGAGAAGCUUUUCAGGACGUGGAGAAUAAGGAUCAAUCUUCUUCAUCCCUUGAAGAACUUCUGGAUUUUAAGAGAGUUUUAAUUCUCUGUUUUAUAUUUCUUAUGUCUUUCUAUUUAAUUAUAAAGACUGUUGAAUUAAAUAUAUCAGGCUAAGUUCCAUAAGUGUUUUUAGUUUGGCUUUUUACUUAUAUAUGAACUUUAUAUAUUAUGAGUUUAAUAAAUAAUUUCUUUAUCUUCAUACAUGUAUUAGUUUCAUCUAUUAUUGUUGAUUGACCAUUAUAUCAAUUUUAAUAGUAAUAUGUGUUUUGAAAAUCUUUAGGUUAAAAGUAUUAGAAACAUCAUCUUUACUUUAAUCCAUAUUGGUAUAAGAAACCUAGGUUGCAUCAUUAGCUUGAGUGACUUAGGGAAAAGGUACAUCACCAUCUCAUUCAUGAGAUUUAGAUUUAAAGGGAAAUAAGGAGAUUACUAAGUAUAAACUAGACUAAAUGCUAAUUUAUCAUACAGUUUACAUUAAAUAUUUUAUUUGCAUAUUAUUUUCUAUUUUAUUUAAUUUCUUUCGUAAACCUUCAAAACUAUUCUCGAAGCAUUGACUUAGAGUGUUUAGAUUUAUUUUUAGAUAUUUUUGUAUGAUAGUUGGUCUUUAUAAUAUAAGCUCUAAAUGUAAUUCAUCAACGCAAGAUUCCUACAACUUGAGAUCAGCUAUUAAAAAGGGAGAAGGAGACUAAGAAGUAGAUAGUGAGUUUGUACCUCCAGGAGAAAAAUAAUUUGAAGAAAAGCUAGAACAAGAAUUUGAAGAGGAGGUUGAAAUGGCUAUGAAAGAUUAUGCUCGUCCCAUAAUUGGUAACACUACUUCAUGCAUAAUUCUAGGUGAUGCAUCUAGGAAUUAUAAACUUAAGAACAUUCAUUUUAAUAUGAUUCCUUCAUUCUAUGGUAUGCCUAGUAAAAAUAAAUUACAUUUAUUUAGAAAUUUUAUGUUACAGUUUAUAUAUUCCCAUUAUCUAGACUAAAUAAAUACCAACUAAGCAUGAGAUGUUUUCCUUACUCAUUAAAAGAGAAAGCAAAUGUUUGGUUAAUGACCAUGCCUCCUAAUUCUUUGAGAACUUGAGAUGAAAUUUAUCAAAAAUUUAUGAGUAAAUUUUACUCAUAUUAAAAGACCAAAUAAUUAAAGGCUAAAAUUUUCAACUUUUAUCAAAAUGAUACUAAAUCUUUUCAUAAAGCAUGAGAUCGCUUCAAAUCACUUUUAUUGCAAUGCCCACACCAUGGAUAACCCACUUCCUGUGACCAACCAAUCAUUCUAUGAUGGUUUAACAUAAUAAUAUCAAUAUAUGGUUUAUAAUAUAGCUGGGGGUGCUAUGUUAGAAAAAACUGUUGAUGAGGUUUGUGAUAUCUUUGAGAUGUUAGAAGCCAAUUCACAAUAAAAGAGUAUGAGAACAAAAGGAGUAGGAGUAAAUGAAGUUGUGUCUAAUAAUGAGAUGGCUAUGCAGGAAUAUACCAAGCAAUAAGGUAUGUGGUAUAUGUGGUGUUUAUGGUCAUGGUGCUAAUGUUUGCUCAUCUUAUGAGAUUUAUGCAUGAAAUAAUUAUGAACAAGUUAAUUUGAUAGAAUCUUAUCAGCCUAGGCAACCUAGGAAUAAUCCAUAUUCCAACACUUACAAUCCAGAAUGGAGGAACCAUCCAAAUUUUUUCCUGGAGAAAUAAUGAUCAAAACCCACCAUAAAUAACCUAGGUUACAUUAUUAGCUUGAGUAACUUAGGAAAAAGGCACAUCGCUAUCUCAUUCAUUAGAUUUGGACUUAAAGGAAAAUAAGGAAUUACUAAAUAUAAGAUAGACUAAAUACUAACUUAUUAUAUAGUUUACAUUAGACAUUUCAUUUGCAUAUUUAUUUAUUUAUUUAUAUAAUUUAUUUUAUAAACUCUCAAAACACUGGCUUAGGGUGUUCAGUUUUAAUUUUAGGUGCUUUGUGUGAUAAUUAAUUUUUAUAAUAUAUGAUUUACAGUUAUUUUGUGAGAUCGAUUUCGUGAUAAAUUUACUCAUAUUAUCAUUCGAUUCGUACACUUACGAAUAUUAUAUUUGAGACAUCAAUCACAUUAUUCAAAAUAAUAAAUCAUAUGCCCAUUACUUGAAUAUAUCAAAUGUUUAUUACUUGAUUAAUAUGAGAUUAUUAUUAUUAUUAUUCCUGUAAUUUAUAUGUACUAAUUUAUUAUUUAUUUUUAGUGUUAAAUUGUACAAAAUAUCUAUAUAUUAAGUUGUAGAAAACUCGAGAUGUCAAAUACCAUAUGAGUUGCAUUUAUAAAUUUAAUAUGAUGAUAUAUAUGUUUCAAUAUAAAUAACUAUUAAGUUUGAGUUUUCCUUCCUGUUUGUCAUGAAAAACUGUCCACUUGCAAUGGCAAAAAUAAUAUUAUGUGAUUCUUAAGGAUUCAACGCCCAGUUAUCAAGAAUCGAGAGAGAGCCAUGACACAUCUUGUCCUCUACUGAUCAAUCAUUCACCCCAACUUAAAGCACUAGGCACGAGCCAUGAGACAUAGGCCUUGAUAGUGGUCCUGUCCUCUAUUUAUCAAUCAUAUCCCUCAAUUGAAGCACGUUGUUAUUUCGAAGAAAGAAAAAAUGUACGAUUUUGUGCAAGAAUUUACAACCAAGUAUUUAAGGGUGGCCUGAUCCAUUUAGAUAACAGUCUGCCCCACCGAGCAGUACUAUCACCAAAAAGUGUGAUUCUAGUCAUUUAUAUACAGAUAAAUGCCUCAAAAGGCAACCACUUAAUGUAUACACUGAGCUAUAUGCAUUUUCAUAAAAAAUAAUAUAUUUUAUUUGACAUCUCAUAUUUAAAAUGUGAUAUUUUAGAUCAUAUAAAUAAAUAUAUGUAUAUUUAUCCAGCUAAAGAAAAUUAUAUUUAUAUAUAAAAUAUUAAAAAUAUUAUUCUUCAUUUUCAGUUUUUACAAAGAAUAAUUAAAUUAAAAUCACCUUUAAAUAAAUAUUUUUUAUGAGAAACAAUUUAAAAGAUCAUAAUUAUAUAAAUAAUAAAGUAAAAAAAAUACAAUGUUAUAAUUUUAUCCACUCUCCCAGCAUGCAAGACUUUUAACCAAAUCCUUAACCGAACUAUAACUUUACACAACCUGCUAACUUUAAAGAGUUAUUUAAACAUUUAACUCUAUUUUUAAUAAUAAUUUUAAUGUUUUUUUUGCUAACAAUCCUUAUCCAACUUCUAAUAUCUAUAUAGUAUCUCGUUCUUGACAAUCAUUAACUUUUAUAAUUAACAUAAUCAAUCAUCUUAAUAACUAAUCCACCUUAUCCACUAAUUACACUUCAACUCAUUUAAUUAAUAGGAGUAUUAAAAAUAUUAAUUAUAAUAUCACAUUAACAUAUCAUUAAUUAUCAACCAAUAAUUAUAUAUAAUUAAAUACCUCAGUUACUUACUAUAAGUUUUAUAAUUCAUAUACCACCUUCUAAACUAAUUAUCAUAAUUUAAUAAUAAAAUUCAUAAUGUAGUUAAUAUUUAUUUUUCUUAUGUUCUCCAUCUUCCCAAUAAUAGAUUUUCGUCCAUUUAAUCUAUAAAAAUAAUAAAUUAAUUAAUUCCUUAAUAUAGGUACUAACUAAUAUAUCUUCAAAAAUGUUAUAAUCUUUAAUUAAUAAUUAUGUAAUACCCGAAAUUUUUAUAUAUUUAAUAAUGAGUUUUUAUUUAAGUUAAUUUUAGCUUUAUUUUUAUUCGGUUUAAUUGGAAUGAUUUAAAUACAAAUUUUGAAUUUUAAUGUUAGACAAAUAAAUGAAUUAUUUUUCUAUACCCAAUUAGUUGAAAUUUUAAGAAUUAAUUAAGUAAAUUAUUUGAAGAGUAGAAUAUAUUUUUGGUUAUUCAAAUUUUUCCCAAAUGCAUAUUUAUAUAAGUAAAAUUAUAUAUUGGAAAAUUAUGGUAGAAAUUGUAAAGGAUGUUAUAAAAGAAUUUUGAGAAAAUUGGUAUUAUAAUUGAUUAGUAGUAUUAAAUUUUAAGUUGGAAAUUGAUUAUUUAAUUUAAUUGUGUGUAGGAUUUAAUUGGAGGAUUAUUUUGGAAUAAGGAUUAAAAGUAUAAUUUUAUUAUUAUGAGGGUUUAAUGGAAAUUUGUGAGUUUGGUAUUUUCGUAAAUAAAUAUGUCGGUCAUGUGUAUUUUUGUAAUUUUAUAUUUUCAAUAAUUCUAAUUUGGCCCAAAUUAAAUAGUUAAGGGCUUAAUUGAAAGGAUAAAAGAAAGUUUAGGGGUUAAAUUGAAAUUCUGCAGGAUGAGAUUGUAAGUAAGGAAGUUGAGGGACCAAAUUGUGAUAAGGAAAAGUUUGGGGGCUUAAUGUCGAUAUUGAAAGAAAGAAAAAAGGAAUGGAAUCGGGGAAGAAGAAGAAAAAGAGAGAGAGAUGUCGGGGGAGAGAGAGGAGCGCGCGGAGGAAGGAGCUGCGGCGUCGAGGCCGUCCGUCCGGGGUGCGGGGCUGGCCGGCGAUGCUACGGGAGUCAGCGGCGGCGGCAGCAGCGGCAGCGGCAGUGGCACCAGCGGGCGACUGCAGCAGCUCGCGCGAGGAGGAAGUUGGCCGAAGCUUCCUUGCCGCCGUGCGGGCGCUUCCGGCGUCGGUGGUCGCUGAUCUUGGUGCCGAUCGACUCCUCUCGGCCUUAGCUUUGUUUUGGUGGCGGCGAUGUCGACAAUGGUGGCCGGAAACGGAGGUUCACGGUGGAGAGAGAAAAUGGAGGCAGCCAAGCUUUUUGGGCAUUUCCGGUGAGCUCCAGCGAGCUAUGGAAGAUCAGAGGACAUAUCCCGACUCUCCUCAGCUCAUGCUUCGAAAUGGCACCGGUUUCGUGGCGAUCGGGCUCCGUUUGCGAAUCGACGGCCGAGAUCCUCCGAAAAUCUCUCCAGAUGAUCGGGUGUCAGAUCGGAAAAUUAAAAGCGGGGAUCGUCAUCAGCGCAUCCUUGUGAGUCCGAUGAUGUGUUCGGAUCGUCGAUCGGACUCCGGCGGCUGAAGGCGAGUCGACCGAGCGAUCGAGCAUCUCAGUAAUUUUCUCUGGCCGUUGAUCUUGGAAAUCCUUUGAUUUUAAAUUUAUGCUUAUUGUUUUAUGUUGAGUAUUUAAUAUUUGUGAGUCAAAAAUAAUUGUCUGUCAGUUUGCCUGCCUCGUGUUUUAUAUUGUGUGGCGGAGUCGGGAAAAUAGUGAAGUUUGGAGACCCGACUCCCGUUGUUUGAAUUGUUGAAUAUUUGAAGUGUUUUUCUGGCAGGUCCUAGACCCGUUUUUACGAGGGGUAAUGUCCGUAUUGUAGGGGAUGUUCCGCCGAAUUUUCGGUAGAAUUCUCCCGAGUCGAGAUUUUUAGACAGUCAGUCCUAGGAGUCUAGACCUAGGAUUAAUGAUCGAUUGUUUCAGCGUUUUGAUAAUUGUUUUCCGUGACUAGAUUGUCCGUUUUUUCCGCUCGCUCCAACCGAGGCACCAGAGCAGAGCUAGGAGGUCGCUCAAUUUUGUGAGUUAAAGUCAUUUAAUCAUUGCACUAUUGCUAAGUCUGAUUUUAAUAUGCUAUUUUAGAAUUUGUGCUUAAUAUGAUUAUUAGUAUCGCAAAAUAAAUAAUUUCACUUGAUUAUUAAUUAUUGAAAAUAAUAUAAAUAUUAUUAUUAGUAACGUUAUAAUAAUACAGAUAUUAUUAUUUUUUUCGACACGAAUUGCACAUUGCCUUAUCCUAAAUUUUUAAUCUUUNNNNNNNNNNNNNNNNNNNNNNNNNNNNNNNNNNNNNNNNNNNNNNNNNNNNNNNNNNNNNNNNNNNNNNNNNNNNNNNNNNNNNNNNNNNNNNNNNNNNNNNNNNNNNNNNNNNNNNNNNNNNNNNNNNNNNNNNNNNNNNNNNNNNNNNNNNNNNNNNNNNNNNNNNNNNNNNNNNNNNNNNNNNNNNNUGGGAAAUGUGGCUUUAGUAGACAUGCCACUGUGGGUGCAUCAGACGCGUGCGCAACGGUAUGAUCAAAGUAAGGUAAUAAGGUUAUUAUGGAUUUGUUUGCCUGAUCGAGCAUUGCUCUCUGGGCUGAGUUCAGUUGAUUGCCGGGAAUUAAGGUCCCUGAUCAAGCAACGCUCUCUGGGCACCGGCUUAUUUGGAAUUCAAGUGUUCAGGCUAGAGGUAAGGACCCUGAUCGAGCUUGCUCUCUAGGCGCCAGACCUGUUGGAUUAAGAGAGCCGAAAGGCUACUAGAAUUUGGGGUUAGGGUUCUACUGAGCCACUCGUCCCGUAAAAGUAAAAAUAUAUUUUUAUUUAUUAUGGUAUGAUUAUAGUAUGAUUGGUAUUUAUGUGCAUGGUUUGAUAUACUGAUUUGAAUAAUUAAUAUUUUCUGUGAAGACUGUAAUAGUCUCUAGAUUAUUUGAUUUUAACUCACUCUCGAGACUGACAGUCUCCAUUUAUUUUUUUUCAGAUUCGUGACUGUUAGUCUUCCCGCGACUCUUACUCAGUAACUCGAUUCUUUCAUCAUCGGGUGGUGUUUGAUUUGGUAUGUCAAAUUGUAAAAAUCUUAGAUUCUCCGUAGUUGCAAUAGUAGAGGUAUCAGUUGUAAAUUUUAUGAGUUUCGGGUCUCGCCUAAUUUUUCUGGCAGACCGAAGUAAUUAUGUAAAAUGUAACUAUUAAGAUAAUUUAUGGCUUUAAUAAUAUUAAUUUGAGAUGAGAUUUGUUUGAGUUGUGAGUUUCAGGCUUACUACGGGAUUCGGUGGCUUUACGCCUACCCAUUCCCUAGUGCCGGUCACGGGCUCACAGCUGGGGUGGUGACAAAUUAUCUAUUUAUUCUACUGAAAUUUAUAUUAACUAUGUAAAAAUUAAACAAUAUGCAUAUAUGUUAGCGGACUCGGCAUUGGUCGUUGGAGUCUGAUCGAUUAUCCAAUGAAUCUAAUAGACUCGUAAUGAUACAUAGAUCAUGAAUCCAAUGUGAUCCUUCAUUCAAGUUACCGAUCAACUCUGAAAUAGUCAAACAGUUUUGGCUAUCAAUUUUUCAAGAGAGUCAUAUCACUAUAAAACUGGUGUAGAUAGAAAAUUUAUAAGGAGAAUUUAUUAUUCUCUAAUUACUUAGAACACGUCACAAUUAGAUGAAAUCCGUUACAAAUCAAACUAGCUUUGUUUUCUCUCUCUACUGCGUCUCAUCAUCCCCAGUCAAAGUAGAGGCCGCCAUGGUCAUCACUUGAAAGCUCAUUAUAAGAUGAGUCCAAUGCCACUAGUUCUAAUAACCGGCCUACUAAAGGAAGGAGAUCCGCUAGUUGGAAUUUUUAAUCUUCUAAACUUACUCCUCCAUACGUUGCCCACAAUCGCCAAGUGGUAACAGCAAGGUCACUUAGUGACUGUGGGCAGCGUAUGGAGGGGUAAGUUUAGGACACUAAAACUUCCAAUUGGUAGAUCUCUCUCCUUUAGUAGGGCCAAUGACUGGAACUAGUGGCAUUGAACUCAUCUUGUCAUGAGCUUUCAAGUGAUGAUCCUGGUAGCCUUUACAUUGAUCAGAGAUGACGAGACACAGUGGAGAAAGAAAACGAAGCUAGUUUGAUUUUAACGGAUUUCAUCCAAUUCUAAUGAUGCAACCAAGGAUGCAUCUAAGUCAACUAGCAUGGAUCCACUAGCCUAUGGAGGACCAAUGACACGAGCAAGGAGUAAGAAGUUCAAGCAAGCCUUAAAUUCUUACUUGGAGCAUGUUUUGAAGAUGGCUAAUGAUGGUGCUUUUGAUGAUGAUGCCUUGAAGAUAGUGACAUUAAUUGCUAUUAAUGAAAGAGCAAAAAUUUAGGCAGAAGAUCAUUUUCAGUAAAGCCUGACCACGCCUUACAAUCCAUGAGCUGCUGGAACCUCAAAAAAAGUGUUGAAUUUUUCAAGAUAAAUUCGUGGUGGACCGAUUUUUAGUUAAUUUCCUCUAUUUUUGGAAGUACUGGAUAAAGAGAACUUUCUCCCAUGAAUUUAGAAUUUUAAUUUUUUUAGAUUACUCUUUAUCUUAUCCUUCCUUAUAGGGAUAAGAUCAGCCGCAUAUUAGGAGUCUUUUAUGGUUUGAUUUUUAUUCCUUAUUUCUUAGUUCUUUUUAGGGUUAGAAUCAUUUCAAAGACUCUAUGAAUAGAGCUAUGUAUUUCGGCCAAAGGCAUUAUAUUUUAUAAGAUCAAUAUAUCAUUUUGAAUGAAGUUUAUUUUCCUUGAGUUGUUAACUCUUGAAUUUCUUGAGAUUAAAUUAACUUGUUUAGUUUAAUUUCACAUCUACAUGUUUGAUCAAUCAAUUAAAUUUUUAUUAGUUUCUUGAGUUGUUUGAACAUUCUUCAUCUAUUUAUAACUAAAAGGGCUUAGUAGUUCUAUUGCUAAGUUUGUUAAUUCCAUAAUCAAUUACAAACUUUCAAGUUAGAUUUUGGAGCGAUAAUUCAAACUUAUUGGUAAUGGUACUUCCUCUUAAAUGGAGAGAGCGUUUAUUAGUUGAUUAUCUCACCAUUGCUUAUCUUGGUGUUUGAACGUAUCCAGUUCGAGUUCGUAUCAGACGUGCUUUGGGUAAUCAAAGAACAAUAAAAUCUCCUCCUCAUAAACUUUCUAUCUACACCAGUUUUAUAGUAGUCGGACUCCUUUAAUAAAUUGAUGUCCAAAAUUGUUUGACUAUUUCAGAGUGAUCGGUAACUUGAAUGAAGGAUCAUACAUUUGAUUUGUGAUCUAUGUAUCAUUACAAGUCUAUUAGUAUCAUCGAAUAAUCAAUCGGACUCACUCUGAAGACUAGCACCAUAUCCAUUAACAUAUGGUAUAUGAAUUAUAAAACUUAUAACAAGGAAUUAGAGUAUUUAAUUAUAUAUAAUUAUUGGUUGAUAAUUAAUUAUAUUAUUAAUAUUGUUAAACUCCUAUUAAUUAAAUGAGUUGAAGACUAAUCAGUGGAUAAGGUGGUACACCGGGUAGCUGACAAGACUCUAAGACUAUCAUGAUUGAAGAAAGUGUAGUGGACUCGGCUCUAGACUACCUUGCUGAAUUUAUGUGAUUCUUAAGGAUUUAAGCUAGUUAUCAAGACUCAAGAGGGAGCCAUGUAACAAUGAGUCUUGGUCUUGUCCACUAUUUAUCAAUCAUCCAUCUUCGAUCACCCUAUAUGCAGAAAUUACAUAAUUAAAUUUAUAAUUUCAUCUAUUUUGACAAUUUUAUUUUGAUUAAAGUUUUUUAGUUAAAUAUCUUAAAUCUAAUUUUUUUUACAUUUAAAAUAGUUGUUUGAGAGUUCAGUUUAAACAUAAGAAUUGAUUGGGAAAUUACUAAAAAAAUAAAUUUUGUGUAACAUUUAUAUAAAUAUAUAAAUGGUUUUAAUUAUAAGACAGCUACUAAAUGGAAUUGCAGAACGUUUUUACACUAUUUUUCUAAUUAAAAACAGAAAUUUUAAUAUGCCAAUAAAAAAAUUAUAUUAAUUAUGUAAAAUUAAUUAAGUAUUUAAAUUUAUAUUGAAAUAAUUAAGAUUACUUAUUGUAGUGAAAUAAUCUAAUGAAACAUAUAUUUUGGCUUUCUUGAUUUUCUAGUUCUCCAACUAUAGAGCUUCUAGUCCGUCCAUAUAAAGAAAUAGAAGCAACAUUGUAGAGAUUUGAUUUUCUCCUUUAUCAAACCCUUUUACCAAAACCAAUUUUUAGAUUUAUUUUUUCUUAUAACCAUCAAAAUCUCAAGAGUGUUUUUUUUAAAGACUACAUUGUAUUAUCCGCAUAAACGAUAACUAAUAUAUAUAUAUAUAAAUAAAUUAAAACUUCUUUUUAACUUUUACUUUUUGCCUCUUUUUAAUUUAUUUAUAUAUAUAUAAAAAUAAAUUAAAACUUCUUUUAACUUUUACAUUAAUAUAUUUAUAUAUAUUAAUGUAAAUUAAUUAUUUCAUUUAACCAUUUAACUAAAAUAUAAUUAAUUCUGGCAUAAAUUACUAACACCAUCAAGAGAAGCUAGCAUAGUGCAAGAGAUUACAGAGGUAAGGUAGUAUUCUGCAUGGCCACAAAACUGUCCCUUCGAUAUGGUGCUUAUAAUUGACUAGAACUGGAAAGCUUGCACACUUUGCAGGAUGCAGUUUUUGGCAAACUCUCAGCUCUUUUUAUCUCAUUUGCUAUUUUCUCCUUUUUUUUUUUUGGUCACACGAUGUAAUAAUCUUCACUAUAACCUCUCUCCCAUUUACAAGGCAAAGCAUAUGGUUGCUCGGCUGGUUAAAUGCUAUUAAUAAAAAUAGUAAUUCAUUAUUUUUAACAAUAAGGCACAAAGAUUUCUUGAUUUAUCAUGCUAUUGCUUUAGGAUUAUAUACAACCACAUUGAAAUAAAAAAAAAAAUCGCUACUUUAAACCGUAAAUACUAAAUCGCUACUAUGGAUUGUCGUUAAUUAUUAAAAUUCAUUGAGGAACAUGAAUUUUGCGACUGCUAUCUCAGAAUCGCUGCAUGGAAAAGAGCCAUUGUAACUUUAAAAAUUGCGGCCGCAAUUUAGCAAGCGCGUUCAAUAUUGAGCAAGCGCAACCACUAUUCUUCAGUUGUGACUGCAACAGCUCUGACAAUGCGUUUUUGCACUAGCUUGAGCUAAAAAAAAGAAGAUUGGUAAGAGUUAUGUGAGUAAUGGUUCAUUGGUAGUUUGGAACUAUAAAUACUCCCUAGAAUAUUUAUGAAUGAUGAAAAACCUCACAUUACACAAUUUAUUGAUCCUUUAAUUCUCACAUUUGUAUAUCAUUUUUAUCUUUAUAAAAGGUUGUUGUAAAGGUUUAAGUGUUAGCCUUAAACAUUUAGAUGGGUUUGAUAGUUAGCUUAGUAAUAAAAACUCUUGUAAGGAUUUGAGUGUGACCUACAAAUACUUAAAAAAAAGUUUGAGAGUUAGCAUGGAUAAAAUAACUUUUGUGAAGUUUGUUGUGAGCCUAGACACUAAGUUUGAGAGUGAGCUUGGAAAAAAUUCUCAGAUAUAGGUUUGAUGUGAGCUUGUAAAAUACUUGAGUUCGAUCUUUCACCCGCAAAAAGAAUCAGCAAUAAUAAAAUACCAAUUGAAAAUUGAGGAGUAUAUGUAGGGUUAGUUAAUAUCCAAACUAUUAUAACUCUUUGGUGUUGAUUUUUCUUCCAUCUUUAUCUAAUCUCUUGAGCAAAUUUUAAUUACCUAUCAAUCUUUUAAACACCAAUUCAACCCUUCUUCUUGGUGCAUCUAGGUCAAACAUGAAAUAAGGAUACUAAAGUUAUUUGCUUUAAAAUAAAAGGACACUAAAGAUACUACUAAUAAUAAGAAUUUAAUUAUAAUAUCCAAAAUAAGCUUAAUAGUAAUCUAUUUUACAUAUUAUUUUUAUUCUUUAUUUGUAUUUCAUACUAAUAAUUAAAAACUAAAAUUCGACCUAAUUUCAGUCACUAAUAAAUUUUUAUUGAGUCAAACGUAAACAGUAACAUGUUCGAAUCGGCUUUUGUAAUUUUCACUCAAAAUACAUUGUUAGGAAAUAUCCUAAUAUAGAAGGUGAUACUCAUGUAUGCUUUUAUAGAUGCUAGGAUAGUUAUUAUAUUUAUUUUUAAUAUAUAAAUUAAUAUUAAUAGAAGAUAUUUAACAUAUAUAUCGUUUGAAAUUAUAAUAAUUUAGAUAAAAAUAGAUAAGAUAAUUAUUAUAUAAGAUAAAAUAAGUUUAGUUAUAAAAUAUGAAUAUAAAAUUAAUUUAUAAAUACAAUAUAUAAUUUAUUAAUAGAAUAUGUAAUUAAAUGCUGUAUAAAGUACGAGUAUUAAAUUAAUUUUGUUAAUAGUUUCAAGUCCUUAAUUUAUAAAAGGUACAAAAUAACUUCUUAUGCAGGUAAUAAUAUCUGCCACUUUCACUGGGUUUGGAAGGAUCAUAAAAUAGUAUUACUAUAGUCAUCUAGAAUAUAUAAUAUUUGAAGAAUGAAAAACUAUAAAUUAUAAAAUUAUUUGAAGAAUGAAAAUCUAUAAAAUUAUUUAAAAAAAUAUUAAUUAACUUAAAAGUAAUUUAAAUAAUUAAAAUACUUGUUAAAUAGGGAGUCCUCAAUUAAAUGUACUUGUAGGUUUAUGCUCUAGCAAUGGAGCCGGACGGUUCCGCUUCAUACUUUUGAUUCUAGCUAGUUCUAACUAAUUUUUUUUUAAAAAGAAAUUAAUUAAUUAAUUUUUUUUUUUUUUUAUGAAUUGGAGUUAUAUUUGAUAUUUCUGGUUCCAGCUCAGGAGAAACUAAUCUUAAAUUAAUUUUCUGAUUCUAAGCCGAUUUCAAUUUUCUUUUAACUAAUUUAAUUUAAUUUAUUUAAUUUAUAUUUUUUAUCUAAAUAUUAAAAAUUAAUAUCAAUAAUAUUAAAAUUUAUAAAAUAGAAAAAUAAAUAAAUAAAAUUAUCCUUAAAUUCUCUCAUUCAAUUUAGGAAAGAAAGAAAUAAAUUUACCUUAUUUUUUGCAUUGGGCCAACCAACUAAGAAUUCUUUUUACAUUCUUUUCUCUAUUCUUUCUUUUAGUGUUUAGUGUUUCAACGUUUCGAAUUUAAGGUUCUUGAUUAGAUAUAUAUUUAUACAUCGGUACAUUAGCAUAUUAAUAGCUCUUCAAUCAAUAGAUAAAAGAUAUUUCUACAACUUAGUUAAUAUAUAUUUUGUUUUAUGUGAAAAGUUAUUUUUUUUAAUUUUCCGUCUGAAAAAAAUGAAAAAAUAAAAUUUGUAUGAUAAACUAUGAUUAGUUUAUUUAUAUUAUAAAUAACUAAUAAUAUUAGCAUCUUUAUAUUAGCAUCAAAGUUUGAAAGAGACGUUUUUUCGUUGGAAGUUUAAAACAUUGCCAACCCUACCAUGAAAAAGCUGAUGAUAGAGCUUUUUCUAACUCGUGCAUUUUGCUCCGUCUGUUUCAUAGAAAAUAUAUUCUAGAAAAGCAUUUACAAUUUCUUUUUUGUUUAUGAAAAGAAAUUUGGGGUCAAAACAAUUCAGCCAUUUUCUAAAAACAACGAUAUUUUACGUUAAAAAAUAGAAAACAGCCAUUUUCUAUUCAUUGGUGAUAUUUAAAAUAUUUUUCAAAAAACUAAUAUAUAUAUAUAUCCUUUCACAUAUUAAUUAUCCUAAAUCACUUCCGAUGAUCUUUAACGACCUCUAAUAAUACGUAUCUCAUGUUGGUCCUGAGACAAUCAUUAAAAAUAUACUUAAUAAUACAGUAAAAUCUUUUUAUAUUCAUGCACUUGAAAUUAAAUAAAAUUUAUCAUUAUGAGGAUAUUAUAAUUUAAUGGAGGUUUGAAUACUAAUCUUUUUUUACUUUAAUACUUAUUUUUUUGGUGAAAUAAUAGCAACUAGAAAUAAAGCACGCUAAUAUCUUGUCAUAUUAUACAAAUAUGAUUAAUGAGACAAAAAAUAAUACAGUAAGAUAAAAAAUAGCAUAUAUUUUUAAAAUAUAUAUAUACAAAUAUUAUUAUAUAAAGAAAGAUUUUUUAAGAUGAGAUUUAAAAAUUUAUAACUUAUUACGAUAUAAAAUUUAUUUUUCUUUAUAACUGGUUCAAAUUAAGAUAGAUUUUUUUUUAAUAAAUUCUCAUCUUAAAAAAUAUCUAUACGGUACUUUUUAUAAUGAAUCAAAAGUUUAAUACAUUUUUGUUAUAAAGUGUAAAACUUAUUGAUUAUAUAUGUAAUUUACUCUCUAGAUGUGCCGGAUCAGUAUUAUUAAAAUUAAAAUGUAGUAACUAUUUAAUUAUAAAUAAAAAAUUUGAUAUCCUUUUAUCAUAAAGUAUAAAAUUUAGAGACCACCAAUAUAAUUUAUUUGAUCAACGCGAGCCUGUGUCUUUCUUAAAGAUGAUUGGUUUGAGCUAUACGAUGUAGAAUAGAAAUGUGAGCUUGAAGACAUCCUCUACGUUUUGAAAUAGUACGAGAGCUUUAGGCUCGAGAUGGAUCUAGGAAUUUAUUUUCUGUUUAAAAAGCUCAAAUGUAUUGAGAAAAAAUAGAUAAAACGACAUCUUAUAUUUCUAAAGAAACUGGGUUGGAAUUGGGUUAGGCUAGGUUUUAGGAUAGAGAUUUGGUUUAAAUGGUUUUAUGAUUAGGAAAAAAUUUGUCAAUUUUUCAAAAUAUGUAUCAAUCUAAUAUUAGGUGUUGAUUGGUCCAAAUUGUAUAUAGAUAUUUAAAGGUAUUUUAGAGAUUUAACGGUAUAUUUCUAUAUAUAAUAUGAUGUAAAUAUGUGUUCUUACCACACUUUAGUUUUCUUAUUUAAUUUUAGAAAAUAAUCGUCAAAGAUGAGAAUUUGAGCUAAAAACGCACUAAUGGGCUUUAAUUGAACUUCAGCUGUAAAAGGCUCGGAAAUCAGACAUAUGGGCUAUCAAUAGGUUGGGUUUAGCUGAAUUCAUUAAGGCCCAAGAAGGAGGAUUUAAGUAAUUAUGAUGUAAUUAGUGGAUAAUUAUCUUUUAAGUUGUUUACUUUGUUUAGGACAGUAAGAAAUAAUUAUAGUAGUUAUAUAUUGAGAAUAGAACUCUAACAAUAGGAUCUCUAUAAGAAAUAGAGAUUAAUUAAAAUGGGAGAGUUUAGCUAAUACUAUUCUCCCUGAAGAAAGGAUUCUACUAGUCUCUGCAGAAAUUUCUAUAGUUCAUCAUUUUCUACAUCUAACUAGUUUUGUUGCAUCAUUCUUUCAAAAAUCAAAGAAGCUUUUUAAAGAUGUGGAGAGAGAGGAUCAAUCUUCUGCAUUUCUUGAAGGGACUUUGAACUUUGAGGGAGUUUUAAUUUUAUGUUUUAUGUAUCUUAUGUCUUUCUAUUUAAUUACAAUGAUCAUCGAAUUAAGUAUAAUAGGUUAAGUUCUAUAAGUGUUUGAUUUGGCUUUUUACUUAUGUAUGAACCUUAUAUAUUAUGAGUUUAAUGAAUAAUUUAUUUCCUUUCAUAUAUGCAUUAGUUUCAUCUACUAUUAUUGGUUGACCACCAUAUCAAUUUAGUAGUAAUAUUUGUUAUGAAAAUCUUUAGGUUAAAUGUAUUAGAAACAUCAUCUUUAUUUUAAUUUAUAUUGGUAUAAGAAACCUAAGUUGCAUCAUUAGCUUGAGUGACUUAGAGAAAAAUGUAUAUUGCCAUUUCAUUUGUUAGAUUUGGACUUAAGGGAAAUAAGGGGAUUAUUAAAUAUAAACUAGACUAAAUGCUAUUUUAUCAUAUAGUUAUUAUUAAUCAUUCUAGUUGCAUAUUUAUUUUCUGGUUAUUUAAUUUCUUUUAUAAAUUUUAAUAUCAUUCUCAGAACAUUAACUUAGAGUGUUUAUAUUUAUUUUUAGUAUUUUGUGUGAUAGUUGAUCUUUAUAAUAUAUGUUCUACAAUUGUGAGAUCGACCUCGUAGUGAGCUUGCCCAAACUAUCAUUCAGCUCAUAUAUUUGCGAGUACUAAUUUAGACACAUCAAGUUUUCGGUGUCGUUGCAGGGGAAUUAUGUCAAUAUUAUAUUCAUUAAUUGUCGGGUAGUGUUUCUUGUGUUUUUGUAUGUUGCAUGUUAUUUAUCUCUGUUUUAUUUUUAAAUUCCGUUCUUAAGUUUUUAAAUUUGAAAUUUUUUCUUUGAUUUUGUAUACCUAGCAGGAAAACGAGAUCAGGUGAUUCAUAAACUCAAAAUUCCUACAAUUUGAUAUCAACUGUUAAAAAGGAAAAAGGAGACCAAUAGGUAGAGAGUGAGUUUGUACCUCCAAGAGAAGAAGAAUUUAAAGAAAAGCUAGAACAAGGGUUCGAAGGAGAAGUUGAGAUAAUGACUAAUGACCAAAGAGAAGUUGCAGCUCAAAGGCAAAUGGCUAUGAAGGACUAGGCUUGUCCUAUAAUUGGGUAACACUACUUCAUGCAUAAUUUUAGGUGAUGCAUCUAGGAAUUAUAAACUAAAGAAUAUCCAUUUUAAUAUGCUUUCGUCAUUUUAUGGUAUUGCCUAGUGAGGAUGCAUUGACAUUCAUUAUAGAGUUUUAUGCUAUAGUUCAUACAUUCCCAUUACCUCGACUCAAUGAGGACCAAUUAAAGAUGAGAUGUUUUCCUUACUCAUUAAAAGACAAAGCAAAGGCUAGGUUAAUGACUUUACCUCCUAAUUUUUUAAGAACUUGGAAUAAAGUUUAUAAAAAAUUUAUGAGUAAAUUUUACUCAUGUCAAAAGACUAGAAAAUUAAGGGCUGAAAUUUUUAACUUUUAUCAAAAGGAUAUUGAAUCCUUUCAUGAAGCAUGAGAUCGAUUCAAAUCACUUUUACAACAAUGUCCACACCAUGGAUACCCACUUUCUAUGACCAACCAAUCGCUCUAUGGUAGUCUAACACAAUAAUAUUAAUGUAUGGUUGAUAAUUCAGCUGGGGGUGCUAUGGUAGAAAGAACUGUUGAUUAGAUUUAUGACAUCUUUGAGGUGUUAUGAGCCAAUUGACAAUAAAAGAGUCUAAGAACAAAAAGAGUAGGAGUGAAUGAAGUUGUGUCUAAUAAUGGGAUGGCUAUGCAAAUAGCUGAAUUAACUAAACAAGUUAGGAUUCUUGCUUCAACUGAGAAUGUACAAAGCAAUAAGGUAUAUGGUAUAUGUGGUGUUUAUGGUCACGUUGCUAACGUUUGUUCGUCUUAUGAGACUUGUGCAGGAGAUGAUUAUGUACAUGUUAAUUUCAUAGAAUUUUAUCAUCCUAGGCAACCUAGAAAUAACCCAUACUCCAAAACUUAUAAUCCAGGAUGGAUGAAUUAUCCAAAUUUCUCCUAGAGAAAUAACGAUCAUAAUCAACCACAAAUACUGAGAAAUCAAAACCAGUCCCAGUAUCAGAAUCAAGAGCCUCAAUACCCAAGGAAUCAAAACCCUCAAUUCCCCAUCAAGGACAAGCCCUUCAAAGAAAACCAAGUUUGGAAGAAAACUCGAAUCUUGUAUGACAGCUACCCAUGAUAGAAUGGAAAGGAAUGGGAAGAAAACUAAUUCCAUAAAAGCUUCAAUGAAGUGAUUAAAAAUUCAAGUUAGGUAAAUUGAUGAAGCCGUAUGAGAAAAUAAGAAAGAGAAAUUGCCAAGUCAACUUGAGCAAGCUAAAAAGCAAUCGCUGUUCUUAAUGAUGGUGAGUUAUUUGAUAAUGUUGAAAAUUAAUUGAGAAAAAUAUUCUUACUCAGGUACAUCAAAAGAAGAUAGACUAGUUAAUGUAGAAAUAAUUGAAGGAGGCUUAUAAAAAGAAGAAAGAGUAUAGCCAAAUCUUAGGUAAAAAGAGAAAGACAAUAAGACUUUUUAGGACCUAAGUUUCAUAAAGCAGCUGAACCUUAUAAACCUCCUAUUCCGUUUCCAAACAGAUUGAAAGAAAGAAAACAGGAUAAACAAUUUUCUGAGAUUUUUGAUAUGUUUUCUAAGGUUAACAUUAAUUUACCCUUGUUGGAUGUGAUUAGGAAUAUUGCUAGCUUAAGCAAAAAAUUUUUAAGGAACUUAAUUCCAACAAGAGGAGAUAUGGGAACAAUGAAAAAAGUUAUGGCAUCUAAAAUAGCAAGUGUAAUUCUCCAACAAUAAUUACCUCCUAAGAUGAAAGACUUUGUGAGCUUUACUACUGAUAUUACAAUGGGAGAUAAAAAAGUUGCUAAAGCCAUGUUGGAUUUGGGAGCAAGCAUCAAUUUGAUGCCAUAUUCAAUAUGUGCACAACUUAGUUUAGGAGAAUUGAAGCCAACUACUAUGUCUCUGUAACUGGCUGAUAGGUCAAUUAAGUAUCCAAGAGGCAUAGUGGAAGAUUUGCUGAUUCAGGUAGGAAAACCGAUAAUCCCUACUGACUUUGUGGUUCUUGACAUGGAAGGUACAUCGGCAAGGGAUAAGGAGCAAACAAUACUCCUUGGUAGACCUUUCAUGGCAACUACUAAGACAGUUAUUAACGUGCACAAUAGGAAGCUGACUAUGACAGUUUUGGUAGAGAUUGUAGAAUUUAAAGUGUUUAAUUCUUUAACUAUAUCUCCUAACACUUCAAUUGAUGAGUUCAUAUGUUGAUUGUAUAGAUUAUUUUAUUUAUAAAACAUAUUUACAGGAUAAGAAUGAUAAGUUAGAAGUCGUAUUAACAUUAGAAAAGCAUGAAGAAAAUUUAAAUAAAGAAGUCUUAGACUUACAUGAUAGUUAGAUGAAGCUAUUCUAUUGUUACCUGAUGAAAAUACUAUCGAACCUUUAGAUUCACCCAUUGGAAUCAAAUCAGAAACUACUAAUAGACCACCUAAAGUUGAGCUUAAGGAGUUGCCUAACAUACUCAAAUAUGUCUUCUUAGGAGAAAGGAGUAUGUAACCAGUGAUCAUAGCCUCUGAUCUUUCUCCUUCAGAGGAAGAGGCAACUAUUAGAGAAUUGAAAAGACCUAAAAAAAACUAUUGGGUGAGAAAUUUCUGAUAUUAAGGGGAUUAGUCCAACAAUGUGUAUGCAUAAAAUUAUUUUAGCAAACAAUUCUAAAGCUGUUAGAGAUACACAACGAUGACUUAAUCAUAACAUGAAAGAAGUUAUAAGAAAAAAAAAAUCAGAAGUUAUUGGAUGAGGGUAUUAUAUACCCUAUAGCUGAUAGUAAUUGGGUAAGCCAUGUUCAUGUAGUGCCUAAAAAGUCAGACACAACAGCUGUUAAAAAUGAAAAGGAGGAAUUAGUCCCCACAAGAAUGACAACAGGAUGGAGAAUGUGUAUUGAUUAUAGAAAUUUAAAUGUUGCAACAAAGAAUGAUCAUUUUCCUCUUCCUUUUAUUGAUCAAAUAUUAGAGCGUUUAGCAAGAUAUGAAUUUUAUUGUUUUCUUGAUGGACUUUCAAGAUAUUAUUAGGUACGCAUUGCAUCUGAAGAUAAAAAAAAAAAAAAAAGACAACUUUCACAUGUCCCUUUGGAACUUUUGCAUUUAGGAGGAUGCAUUUUGGGCUUUGCAAAGCUCCAGCAACAUUCCAAAGAUGUAUGCUUUCUAUUUUCUCUGACAUGUUGAAGAUAAUAUCGAGGUAUUUAUGGAUGAUUUUUCAGUUUUUGAUUCCUCAUUUGAUGCAUGUCUAAGCAAUCUGAUUCGUAUUCUCGAGGUCUAAUUCACUCUUCCACUGCUGUAAACGAGUCAAAACAACAAGCAUAGAAACAAUAAUUAAGAAAUCGAGCCAUGAAAAAGAUUCAACAAAAAUUUAUUUUAGCCAUCUAACUAAUGAUUUAAGAUAAAUAUUAAAUUUUAAUAGAGCUCUUUUACUUUUCAGACCAUAAAUUAUAUAUUAAAGAAAAUAAAUAAAUAAGAUAAAAAGUAAUUUUGUAAUUUUAGUAAAAACUGAUGGCAAUAUAACUAAAAAUUAGACGAAAAUACCUUCUAGCAUAAUAUGAAAAAAGAGAGAUUUUAAAAAUUGAGGUCUUGAUUAACGUAAUAUUAUAAACCCCAAGAAAAAAUUAGUAUUAGAGAUAAAUUAGAUUGGAGGUACUAAAUUAUGCAUUUUGUAACAAAAAUUUAUUAAAUUUUUAAUAUAACUAGAUGGUCACUAAACUUUAAUUUUAAUAACAUUGAUAAUUUUUUCAAAAAGUGUGAGGAUUACAUUAGCAGUUACCAAACUUUACACUUUCUAACAAAAAAAUAUUAAAAUUUUAAUUUUAAAAGAUACAUGACCGGUGCUUUUCUUGUAACAAAUUAAAGGUUUAAUAUAUUUUUGUUACAAAAUGCAAAAUUUAGUGACUGUCCAUAUAAAUUUACUAUCUAAUUGCGACGAAGAAUUCUACUAGUGUUACUAAAAUUAAAAUUUAGCAACUAUUUAAUUAUAAAUCAAAUAUUCACUAUAUUUUUAAUACAAAAUGUAAAGUGUAAUAAUCGCCAAUGUAAUUUACUGAUAACAUUACCCAAAAUAUUUAUUUGUAUACCAAAUGAAAGAAACUGCAACUUAAAAUCGAUAAUAUUUCUUAUACAUCAGUUAUGGUAAAAACAUCGCAUUUAACAUCAUCCCUUUGCAAGGUUGGUUUCAGUAGAUUUCUUAAUUAAUCACAAUUUUUUCACAAACCAAGACUUUAUUAAAGCAGAAUUUGGGUAAGGUACCCAGUAGAAAAACUGACCAACCAUAUCAACAAAAAAUGGAAAAUGAAUCGCUACAAGAACAAAAAUAAUAUAAAACAUAAAACGCACGCGAUAAAGUCACUCUCUUGUAACAGUUGCCUUUGCCGAGUUGUCUGCAUAUUUUCAAUACUUAUAAAUUAGUCUAAUAUGUUUAAUUUGGAAGCAUGCAUGUGAUUAUGCCGGGUACAAAUUUGCAGGCAAACGUGGCUUUGCGAGUGCAACUAAUGGUUUGGCAAGUUCCAAACUAUUCUUAGACUCUGAAAGAUCAAUGCUUGUCUCAUUAGGGGGCACGCUCCAGCUAAACCCUUGAAGAAGCCUAGCAAAUAACAUAACAGUCAUUGCAGUUCCCAACAUGAUGCCUGGACAACCUCUUCGUCCUGUACUAAAUGAAAGCAAGUUCAAAUCAGGCUGCGUCAGCAUCACUUGACAUCCACUUUUCUUGAAAUGACGCUCUGGUUUGAACAUGUGUGGUUCAUCCCAAAUCCGGGGAUUCCGGCCGAGGCCGACUCGGCUAAGCAAGACAUGGCUACCUUUCGGAAUAAAAUAGUUAGCAACAGUUGUAUCUGCUAUGGAGACAUGAGGAAGAUUGAAGAAGACAAUAGGGUGGAGGCGAAACGCUUCUUUAGCACAUGCUUUUAUGUAAUUGAGCUGUGGAAAAUCUGCCUCUUGGACUAGUCUCUCCCUUCCAACAACUCUAUCCAAUUCUUCUACUGCGUUCUCAAGAAGUUUCGGUUUGUUUAUCAUCUCUGCAAGUGCCCAUUCUAUAGCAUUUGAUGGAUUAUCCACUGCUGCCAGCAUUAUUUCCUGCAAAAAUUGAUAGGUGAUAUUUAGCUUUGUUGAAAUCAGUUGGUGGGAACUAUAGUAAUUAAAAUGGAAGAUGCAAUAAAUUUGAAUCUUAACCAACAUAUUGCCGAACUGAAAAUGAUGAACUGAGCUUCUUGCAAGAAAAGAACAUGCAAAUGGAAUUUUCCUUAAUUCCAUUUCAACAAUCAGGCAGAAAAAAUGUUAUAUUUGAGAUAUGUUGUAUAUGUUGGACAACUUUUAUGGGGGAGAAGAAGUAGAUAAACAUAAUAAACUAUUUCUAUAAUUAAAGUACACAAGACACUUUAUCUCUUAACAAGAGAUAGCUUUCCACCCCUAUCUCUUAACAAGAGAUAACUAUUUCUAUUGUAAGUUAUUUAUAAUAGCACUUGUAUAAUUUUUCACUUACAAAUUUAACUAGUGAUAUUCAUAGCACUUAAUAAUCUAACCUUUCAUAUACUUAGAGCUUUAGCAUAACUAUAGACUCUCUUUAACAACUAAUCACUCUUAAAACAAUAGUAGCAAAUAUUGAAGUUUACAUUCAAUAGUAUGCAUCUGAGAUAGAGUGAGAGAGACAGAGCUUACAGUAAUCUGAGCUUUAAUCUCUUCCAUUGACAGCAACGAGUUGCCAUUGGCAUCUUCUAAAUGUAUGAAAACGUCAAGCAAGUCAUCCACUUCCUUCUUAGUGCCAUCCCUCCAUUGUUCGAUCCUCGCUUCAAUUAUGGGAUCUUGAUAUUUUUUUAUGAUCCCAAUAGCAUCCUUCAUGAUCUUCUCAUGACCAUCCAAGUCAAGCCCUAUCAAGCAUGGCAUAUAAUCAGACACACUAAAUGCAUAGGUAUGAGCAAGGGCUGUUAAAAUCGCAUCAACAUGCUCUUUUUCCUCGACACCAGGCCCUCCGUCCUUCAUUCCCUCCCCGAAGAACCUUUUGUUAAACACCAUCUUCCUUAUUACAUUUCCACAAUAGUGCCGUCCAGUGAUUCUCACGUCAACUGAUCCACCUUCCUCGGCAGUCUUGCAUUGGUUAUACACAUAACGAACAAGGUGAUCAGCUUCUUCAAGUCUUUUUCCGUAAAACCACUUAUAUUUUUCCGCAGAAAGAACUUGCGUUACCAGCACUCUCUUCAUUUUCUUCCAUUGUUCUCCUAAGGGCACAAGANNNNNNNNNNNNNNNNNNNNNNNNNNNNNNNNNNNNNNNNNNNNNNNNNNNNNNNNNNNNNNNNNNNNNNNNNNNNNNNNNNNNNNNNNNNNNNNNNNNNNNNNNNNNNNNNNNNNNNNNNNNNNNNNNNNNNNNNNNNNNNNNNNNNNNNNNNNNNNNNNNNNNNNNNNNNNNNNGUUCAUUUCUUUCAUGAGCUUGUGUAUCCAUCGAAAGGUCGGCUUAUUGCUAGCAUCGUUGGCAGGCAUCCGACAAGAGGCCAAGGUUUUGGGCCAGGAGGUAGUAGGAGUUGCUUGGCCUUUUGGCUUUCUAGCUUUUGGAAUUUCGUCAAGUAAAUUAAGGCCAACGCCAAGAGAAGAACUAGGGAACAGGAGCUCAACAAUGUUCUGAGAAAGCCAAUGCCAAUUCCGGAAAAAUCUGGAGUGCCAUGAAGAGAAGCUAGCCCAGUGCAAGAUAUUACAGAGGUAGCGUUCUGCAUGGCCACAAAACUGUCCAUCGACAUGCUGCUUCUAUUUAAUAGAACUGGAAAGCCUGCAUACUUUGCAGGAUGCUUUUCUAGCAAACUCUCAGCUCUUUUAUCUCAUUUGCUUUUUUCUUUUCCUUCUUUUUUUGUUUACACAAUGUAAUAAUUAACUCUAUAACCUCUCCCAUUUAUAGGGCUGAAUCCAAAAUCUACGAUGUAAUUCAAUAUAGCAAUGCAAUAGAACGAUUUGUUACAUCUGAAUAAUACAGGACGCGUGAUCCGUAUUUAUACUUGUAUCUUAAUAACUCUACUGUAUAUACCAUAUAUUUGAGCUUUUAUUUAUACAUUUAUCCAAAUCAUAUAUUAACUAUAUAUUAAAUCUUCUUCUAUUCAUUUAUACAAACCAUUUACACAUUAUGGAAUUCAAGUUUAGUUUGGCCACACAACAUAUAUUAUUAUUAUUUAAGGUAUCAUUUUUAUUUUCUUUUGAUUUCAUAACUAACCUCGUUUAUGCAUUCAUAUAUAUAUACAUGUCUAAAAUAAUAUUUCAUAACUAUUCUUGUAAUCUGAUCGCGUUUGAUAAGCGAUUAUAAAAAAAAUUAAAAUUAAGAUAAAACGAGCUAAAGAUAUGAAAAAGUAACUGAUGAGAUGAAAUACAAGGGCUUUGCAGUGGCAACUUUUAAGUCUCGAAAUUUUUUACCUAAAUUUAGUGUAGGUACUCGCCUAUAUAUUAAAAUAAUAAAUAAUAUUUAUUAAUUUUAAAUGAUAAAAUAUAUGCCGAUUAUUUAAUACUAAAGUAUAAAACACUGAUACAUGUAUAUCACUUUUCUGUUAAGUAUAGUGUAUACAUCAAGUCUAAAUAAAAAUUUUUAGUCUUUUCAUAUUAUUUCCGUAACAGUUUAUGGCCGAUAGAGUUUCGUGUUGUUAUACUAUACAGUCCCAUAAAAAAGAUAAAAAAAAAUAAAUAGUUAGAUGCUGUUUGAACAAAGCCGUUACACGCUGAUGUCACCCAACUAUCUAAUUUGGCUCCUUCGUCAACCACCCACAACCACUGUCCACCUUCAUUGUUGCUAGGGCUAAGUUUGCCAGCAACUCUUCUGCUCCCAACUAGUGUCCUGGCCUCCCUCUCUCUCUCUCUCCUAACCUUCCUUCCUCCCCCUACCCGUUUCCUUUUUAUUCUUCUCCCUUUUCGUUUUUUACUCACCCCUAGUUAUUUACCCUUAAACCCCUAACUUGUAUUUAUCCUUUCAAUUAAGCCACUAAUUUGUUAAAUUUGGGCUAAAUUAGUUACAAUUAUUAAAACAUGAAAAAUAUUUUGAUUUAGUGUGACACCUUUACAUCUAAAUCCCAUAUUUAAAUCAAACUUUUAUUUUAACCCCGUUUUAUAUAAAUAAAUAUUAGUUUAAUCCAAGUACUUAGUUAAUUUACUGGAUCAAAUUCAUUAAAAUCUAAAUACUCAAAUAAUUACUAUUGUUAUAGCACUGUAAAUACCAAAAUUAAAUCCUUUAUUAAGUCCCAUUAUAUUAUUUAUUUAAAUAAUACACCUUACCUAAAUCAAAUAAAUAAAUUCCAUAAAUAUCUCAUUAUUAUUAAUACUAAAGAUAAACAAUUAAAUAGCACUUUAAUUUUAGGUUACUAAUAGGUUGAUAUUAUGUAUAUAUAAUUAAGGCUUUUAGUGAUUUAUUGGUAUGUUUUAUAUACAUAAUAUGUAAAAAUAUGUACUUAUUAUCUCACUUUAUUUUUAUUAGCUAAUUUCAGAUCAUAAUAACCAAAGAGAGAAAAUAUGAGCCAAGAAUGUAUAAAUAGACUUUAAUUGGAUUGCAGCUGUAAAAGGCUCGGAAUAAAGGCUUAGCUGAGUUUAUCAAGGCCUACGAAAGAAAAAUUAAUUAGUUAUAAUGUAAUUAACAUAAAUUAUCUUUUUUAAGUUGUUUAUUUUAUUUAGGGUAGUUAAGAGAUAACUAUUGCGGUAUUAUGCUUAGAGAAGGACUCUGAAUAAGGAAUCUCUACAAGAAAUAGAGCAGUUAAACAAGGAGAGCAUCAUUCUAUUAUUCUUCUCUCUGUGAAUUUCCUAUAGUCCGCCUUCUAUAACAUUUAGUUAGUUUUGAUCAGAGAAGUUUUUCAGGACGUGGAGAAUGAGGGUCAAUCUUCUUCAUUUCCUGAAGAAUUUUUGGAUUUUAAGAGAGCUUUAAUUUUUAUUUUAUAUUUCUUAUUUCUUUUUAUUUAAUUACAAUGACCUUUGGGUUAAAUAUGUCAGGUUAAGUUCAAUAAGUGUUUAGUUUGGCUUUUUACUUAUGUAUGUACCUUAUAUAUUAUGAGUUUAAUAAAUUAUUUCUUUAUCUUCAUACAUAUAUUAGUUUCAUCUAUUAUUGUUAAUUGACCAUUAUAUCAAUUUAAUAGUAAUAUGUGUUAUGAAAAUCUUUAGGUUAAAAGUAUUAGAUACAUCAUCUUUACUUUAAUCUAUGUUGGUAUAAGAAAUCUACAUUAAAUAUUUCAUUUGCAUUUUUAUUUUGUAGUUUAUUUAAUUUCUUUCGUAAACCUUCAAAAUAUUCUCAAAACAUUGCCUUAGAGUGUUUAGAUUUAUUUUUAUAUUAUAGUUGGUCUUUAUAAUAUAUGCUCUACAGUUUCUUGUGAGAUUGACCUCAUGGUAAACUUGCCCGUACUAUCAUUCGGUUCGUACAUUUGCGAGUACUAAGCUUGAGAAAUCAAGUUUUUGGCAUUGUUGCCGGGAAACUAGGUCAAUAUUAUAUUGAUUAAUUAUCGAGUUAUAUUUCUUGUGUUUUUGUGUGUUGCAUGUUUAUGUGUUUUUGUUUUGUCUUUAAAUUUUUCUUUUUAAGUUUUUAAAAUUUGAAAUUUUUCCUUUGGUUUUGUAUACCUAGCAGAAAAAUAAGAUCAGGUGAUUCAUCAACUCAAAAUUCCUAAAACUUGAGAUCAGCUGUUAAAAAGGCGGAAAGAGACCAAGAAGUUGAGAGUGAGUUUAUACCUUCAAGAGAAAAAUAAUUUGAAGAAAAGUUAGAAUAAGGAUUUGAAGAAGAGAUUGAAAUAAUAGCUAAUGACCAAAGAAAAGUUGCAGCUCAAAGGCAAAUGGCUAUGAAAGAUUAUGCUCGUCCCAUAAUUGGUAACGCUACUUCAUGCAUAGUUCUAGGUGAUGCAUCUAGGAAUUAUAAACUUAAAAAUAUUCAUUUUAAUAUGCUUUCUUCAUUCUAUAGUAUGCCAAGUGAAGAUGCAAAUUUAUUUGGCGAUUUUAUGCUAUAGUUCAUAUAUUUCCAUUAUCUCGAUUAAAUGAAAACCAACUAAGGAUGAGAUGUUUUUCUUAAAUUAUAAUAUUUAAUUGAAUAUAGUGUUAUAAUAUUAUAUUAUAUUAACAUAUUGAAUUAUAUUAAAAUAUUGAAUCAUACUAAAAUUUUAAUAUUGAAUUAUAUUAAAAUAAAAAUAAAACAAAAAUAUUCAAUUAUAUAAUUAUUAUUUUCUUAGAAUUAUUUAAUAUUCAAUAUAGAAUUAUUUAAUAUAUAAUAUAAUUUUAAUUUUAAUUAUUUAAUUAUUUAAUAUAUCCCAUUAUCUCGACUAAAUAAAAACCAGCUAAGGAUGAGAUGUUUUCCUUACUCAUUAAAAGAGAAAGCAAAGGCUUGGUUAAUCAGCUUGCCUUCUAAUUCUUUGAGAACUUGGGAUGAAGUUUAACAAAAAUUUAUAAGUAAAUUCUACUCAUAUCAAAAGAUUAAAGAAUUAAGGGCUGAAAUUUACAACUUUUAUCAAAAAGAUAUUGAAUCCUUUCAUAAAGCAUGAUAUCGCUCCAAAUCAUUUUUAAUGUAAUGCCCACACCAUGGAUACCCACUUCCUGUGACCAACUAAUCAUUCUAUGAUGGUUUAACACAACAAUAUCAAUAUAUGGUUGACAAUGCAGUUGAUGGUGCUAUGUUAGAAAAAAAUUGUUGAUGCGGGUUAUGAUAUUUUUGAGAUGUUAGAAGCCAAUUGACAACAGAAGAGUGUAAGAAUAAAAAAAGUAUGAGUGAAUGAAGUUGUGUCUAAUAAUGAGAUGCUUAUGUAAUAGCUGAAUUAACAAAAAAGUUAAAAUACUUACUUCAACUAGGAAUGUACCAAGCAAUAAAGUAUCUAGUAUAUGUGGUGUUUAUGGUCAUGGUGCUAAAGUUUACUUAUCUUAUGAGAUUUAUGCAGGAAAUGAUUAUGAACAGGUUAAUUUGAUGGAAUGUUAUCAACCUAGGAAUAGUCCAUACUCCAGCACUUACAAUCCAGGAUGGAGGAACCAUCCAAAUUUUUUCUAGAGAAAUAAUGAUUAAAAUCUACCACAAAUAACUUAGGUUGCAUCAUUAGCUUGAGUGACUUAAAGAAAAAGGCACAUCACUAUCUCAUUCAUUAGAUUUAGACUUAAAGGGAAAUAAGGGGAUUACUAAGUAUAACUAAAUGUUAAUUUAUCAUAUAAUUUACAUUAAACAUUUCAUUUGUAUAUUUAUUUUCUAAUUUAUUUAAUUUCUUUUAUAAACCUUCAAAACUUUUCAAAAUAUUAACUUAGAGUGAUUAGAUUUAUUUUAAAGUAUUUUUAUGUGAUAGUUGGUCUUUAUAAUAUAUGCUUUACAAUUUCUUGUGAGAUCGAUCUCGUAGUAAAUUUGUCUAUACUAUCAUUCAAAUCGUACACUUACAAAUACUAAAUUUGAGACAUCAGUCACUUUAUUCAAAAUAAUAAAUCAUAUGCCCAUUACUUGAAUAUAUCAGAUGUGUAUUACUUGAUUAGUUUGAGAUUAUUAUUAUUAUUAUUCCUCUAAUUUGUAUGUACUAAUUUAUUAUUUAUUUUCAAAUAUUAAAUUGUAUAAAAUAUCUAGAUAUUAAGUUGUAGAAAACUCGAGAUGUCAAAUACUAUAUGAGUUACAUUUAUAAAUUUAACAUGAAUGAUAAAUAUAUGUUUCAGUAAAAAUAACAAUUAAGUUUGAACUUUCCUCCAUGUUUGUCAUGAAAAACUGUACACUUGCAAUGGGAAAAAUAAUAUUAUGUGAUUCUUAAGGAUUUAAGGCUUAGUUAUCAAGAAUCAAGAGGCUUGAUCUUGGUCUUGUCCUCUACUGAUCAAUCAUUCACCCCAAUUUAAGCACUUUGCACGUUGUUAUUUCGAAGAAAGAAAAAUUGUACGAUUUUAUGCAAGAAUUUACAACCAGGUAUUUAAGAUCCAUUGAGAUAACAGUCUGCCCCACCGAGCAAUAUUGAGAUAACAGUACACAAUAAGCUUUAUGCGUAUUCAAUAUUGUCCAGAAGACAAUAUAUUUUUUCUGGCACCUCAUAUUUAAAGUGUAAUAUCUUAGAUCACAUAAAUAAAUAUAGAGAAAAUUAUAUUUAUAUAUAAAAAACUGUAACACCCGGAAUUUUUUUUAUAUUUAAUAAUAAAUUUUUAUUUAAGUUAAUUUUAGCUUUAUUUUUAUUCGGUUUAAUUGGAAUGAUUUAAAUACAAAUUUUGAAUGUUCAUGUUAGAUAAAUAAAUGAGUUAUUUUCUAUACCCAAUUAGUUUGAUUUUUAAGAAAUUAUUCAAGUAAAUUAUUUGAGAAAUGAUUAUAUUUUGGUUAUUCAAAAUUUUCCCAAAUGCAUAUUUAUAUAAGUAAAAUUAUAUAUUGGAAAAUUAUGGUAGAAUUGUAAAGGAUGUUUAUAAAAGAAUUUUGAAAAAAUUGGUAUUAUAAUUGAUUAGUAGUAUUAAAUAUUAAGUUGGAAAUUGAUUAUUUAAUUUAAUUGUGUGUAAGGACUAAAUUGAAAAUUUAUUUUGGAAUAAGGAUUGAAAGUAUAAUGUUAUUUUUAUGGGGUUUUAAUGGAAAUUUGUGAGCUUGGUAUUUUUGUAAAUAAAUAUGUCGGUAGGGGUAUUUUUGUAAUUGUGUAUUUUCAAUAAUUCGGUUUUGGCCCAAAUUAAAUAGUUAGGGGCUUAAUUGAAAGGCUAAAAAGAAGUUUGGGGGUUAAAUUGGAAUUCUGCGGGAUGAAAUUGUAAGUAAUUAAGAAAGUUGAGGGACCAAGUUGUAAUAAGGAAACGUUCGAGGGCCUAAUGUCGAUAUUGAAAGAAAGAAAAGAAGGAUCGGGGAAGGAAGAGAGGAGAGAGAGAGAGAGCCGAAGAAGAAGGAGGAGCUGCGGUGGCGUGCGUCGUCGGAGUGGCUUCAGAAGUGCGCGGGCUGGCCGGCGAAGCUGCAGGCGUCAGCGGCGGCAGCGGCAGCGGCACCAGCGGGCGACGGCAGCAGCUCUCGCGCGAGGAGGAAAAUGGCCGAAGCUUCCUUGCCGCCGUGCGAGCGUUUCCGGCGUCGGUGGCUGUUGACCUUGGUGCCGAUCGACUCCUCUCGGCCUCGGCUUUGUUUUGGCGGCGGCGGCGUCGACAGUGGUGGCCGGAAUCGGAAGAUCCGGUGGAGAAAGAAAAUGGUGGCAGCUGGCGUUUUUGGGUUUUUCCGGUGAGAUCCGGCGGAGAAUGGACGAUCGGAGGGCAUAUCCCGACUCUCCUCUGCUCAAGCUUCGCGAUGGCACCGGUUUCGUGGCGAUCGGGCUUCGUUUGCGAAUCGACGGCCGUGAUCGUCCGCAAAUUUCUCCGGAUGAUCGGGUGUCAGAUCGAAAAAUCGGAAGCGGGAAUCGUCAUCAGCGCGUCGUUGUGAGUCCGAUGGUGUGUCCAGAUCGUUGAUCGGACUCCGGCGGCCGGAGGCGAGUCGAUCGAGCGUCUCGGUAAUUUUCUCUGGCCGUUGAUCUUAGAAAUCCUUGAUUUUAAAUUUGUGUCUAUUGGAUGGUAUUGUGUACUUGAUGAUUUUUAUGAGUCAAAAAUAAUUGUCUGUCAGUUGGCCUGCCAUAGUCGUAUUUUGUGCUGUGUGGCGGAGUCGGGAAAUAGUGAAGUUUGGGGACCCGACUCCCAUUAUUUUAAUUGUUGGAUAUUUAGAGUGUUUUUCUGGCAGGUUCUGGACCCGUUUUUACGGGGGGUAAUGCUCGUGUUGUAGGGGAGGUUCUGCCGAAUUUUCGGUAGUUCCUGAGUCGAGAUUCUUAGACAGUCAGUCCUAGGAAUCUAGACCUAGGAUCUAUUGUAAUUGUUUCAUCGUUUUGAUAAAUUGUUUUCCGUGACUAGAUUGUCAGUUCGUUUGGCUCGCUCCAACUGAGGCACCGGAGCAGAGCUAGGAGGUCGCCCAAUCCUGUGAGUUAAAGUCAUUUAAUCAUUGCACUAUUGCUAAGUCUGAUUUAAUAUGCUAUUUUGAAAGUUUAUGCAUAAUAUGAUUAUUAGUAUCGCAAAAUAAAUGAUUUCACUUGAUUAUUAAUAUUUAUAAUAAUAUAAAUAUUAUUAUUAGUAUGUUAUAAUAAGAUAAACGUUAUUAUUUUUCCCCUCACAAAUUGCACGUUGUUUUACCUUAAAUCUUUAAUCUUUAUUUCGAUAUGUGUUGGUUGAGUUCAUUAGAUAAUGAUAUUUAUUAUAUGUGAUGAUUGCGAAUUGGGAAAUGUGGCUUGUAGAACAUGCCGCCUGAUGGGUUACAUCAGGACCGCGUGCGCACCGGUAAUGAUUAUGGACAUAAGGUUAUUAUGGAUUUGUUUGCCCUGAUCGAGCAUUGCUCUCUGGGCUGAGUUCAGUGAUGNNNNNNNNNNNNNNNNNNNNNNNNNNNNNNNNNNNNNNNNNNNNNNNNNNNNNNNNNNNNNNNNNNNNNNNNNNNNNNNNNNNNNNNNNNNNNNNNNNNNNNNNNNNNNNNNNNNNNNNNNNNNNNNNNNNNNNNNNNNNNNNNNNNNNNNNNNNNNNNNNNNNNNNNNNNNNNNNNNNNNNNNNNNNNNNNNNNNNNNNNNNNNNNNNNNNNNNNNNNNNNNNNNNNNNNNNNNNNNNNNNNNNNNNNNNNNNNNNNNNNNNNNNUAGUAGGGUAUGAUUAUAGUAUGGUUUGAUAUACUGAUUUGAAUAAUCUAUGUUUUCUGAGAAGAAGCAAUAGUCUCUAGAUUAUUUGAUUUUAACUCACUCUCGAGACUGACAGUCUCCAUUUAUGUUUUUUUCAGAUUCGUGACUGUUAGUUCUCCCGCGACUCUUAUUCAGUAACCCGACUCCUUCAUCAUCGGGUGAUGUAUUUGAUUUGGUAUGUAAAUUGGUAAAUCUUAGAUCCUCCGCAGUAGUAAUAGUAGAUGUAUCAGUUGUAAAUUUUCUGAGUUUCAGGUCUCGCCUAGUUCUUCUGGCAGACCGAUUAAAUUAUGUAAAGUGUAGCAUUUAAGAUAAAUUGUGGCUUUAAUAAUAUUAAUUUGAGAUGAGAUUUGUUUAAAUCAGUGAGUGUCAGGCUUACUACGGGUUUCGGUGGCCUUAAGCCUACCCAUUCCCUAGUGCCGGUCACGGGCCCACGGGUGGGGUCAUGACAAAGUUGGUAUCAGAGCUUAGGUUUAGAUUUCCUUCGACCUAAGUUAAGAUUUUUCUUGGUACUGCGGAGUUAGGAUCAAAUCUGUCUUGUUGUUUUCAUUGACUCCAGUGUCUCAGCCUUCACAGUUAGAGAGUCAGUCUUUCCUUUCUUGUGAGCUUGUCUUUGGUGCCGUGCUGAGAAUGUGCUUUGUAGCGAUGGGAGGAUCUGAAGCGCGAUAGACUCGUGUUGUUUCUUCAAGUGAUUAGUGCAGUCCGCCUUUAGAAGCUUUGAUUGUUGUUUCGAUGGUGGGCACCGCAGUCAGUUUUAGUGUAGAGCGUGAUUGCAGUCGUGUCAUGAGCUGCCUCGUCAUCGCAUCAGGCAUCGCCUUUUUGAGUAGCGCCUAAGGUAGUGCCUGGGAAGUCGAGCGGAUGUCAGAGCUUUAUGGUUGAGUUUUAUGGUUGUAAGAAGCUUAAAAAAGAUGGCAGAAGUAUUUUCGGACGCUUGGAAUCCAGAGAAACUUAAGCGAACAUUAUUUAUUUUUCUAAGUAGGACAAGUGUUUUUGAAAUACAAUAUUGCGCCUAGUCCCGUAAGAAUGCAUUAUGGCAUUUCACUGUUAGGCAUGCAUAAAUUCAUUUUAGGACAUGCAUCAUACAUUGUGCAUUGCAACCCUUGGUGAUAGGGGCAUCAUCACCCUGGCGCGCGAUAUUGUAAAAUUUUAUAUAAAGAAAUGGCUAAAGGUUUUACGAUUUUAUAAAAGUAUUUUUCCAAGAUAAUAAAGCUUUUAUCAGUGAUGAUUAUAAAGUAAGUAAAGAUGUAAUUUUUCAAAGUAAAUAGUGUUAGCUUGAGAAUUUUCUGGAUGACGAGUUGAGUUGUUGAGAGAGUGAGUAUGUGGAGCUGUAGGCCCUAUGUUAGAUUAUAAGAGAGGCUUUUGGAUUUCAGUCAAAGAGGAAUCUUGUGUCAGGAUGGCAUGAGUUGUGUCGGUUAUGGAAACUAGAUGGAUGGUAUGUCAUAAGUGAUGUGGUUUGGUAAGAAAAUAAGGUUGUGGGAACCCUUGGUUUUGUCGGCAGGUUGGUGAGGUGGCAUGUAAGUUGGACUUGCCGCCAAGUAUUAGUAAUGUUCUCUGAGGUUAAAUCCAGUUGUUCGUAGGUCUGAGUUGAGGAAGUAUAUUUUCGAUCCUUUGCUCGUGUUGGAUCCUCAGUGUAUGAAUGCAAGUAAAGAUUUGGUUUCCGAGGAGUAGUAAGUGAGGAUCGCGGAUUUUCAGGUUCGCCAGUUUUAUUUAAGGGUUUUGUCGAUGAGUCUUGUGGUUUAUUUCUGCCGAGGAAAAGUUUCCGAGAAGCCGGGUUGGAGAUGAGAGGUUCCUAAUUAGUUUCAAUCUUAGAGUGUAGCCCCUUUUCUUUUAAAAUUCGAGGUCGAAUUUUUUUUAAGGGGGGGAGAAUGUAACACCCGGAAUUUUUUUUAGAUUUAAUAAUGAAUUUUUAUUUAAGUUAAUUUUAGCUUUAUUUUUAUUCAGUUUAAUUGGAAUGAUUUAAAUACAAAUUUUGAAUGUUCAUGUUAGAUAAAUAAAUGAGUUAUUUUCUAUACCCAAUUAGUUUGAUUUUUAAGAAAUUAUUCAAGUAAAUUAUUUGAGAAAUGAUUAUAUUUUGGUUAUUCAAAAUUUUCCCAAAUGCAUAUUUAUAUAAGUAAAAUUAUAUAUUGGAAAAUUAUGGUAGAAUUGUAAAGGAUGUUUAUAAAAGAAUUUUAAAAAAAUUGGUAUUAUAAUUGAUUAGUAGUAUUAAAUAUUAAGUUGGAAAUUGAUUAUUUAAUUUAAUUGUGUGUUAGGACUAAAUUGGAAAUUUAUUUUGGAAUAAGGAUUGAAAGUAUAAUGUUAUUUUUAUGGGGUUUUAAUGGAAAUUUGUGAGCUUGGUAUUUUUAUAAAUAAAUAUGUCGGUCAGGGGUAUUUUUGUAAUUGUGUAUUUUCAAUAAUUCGGUUUUGGCCCAAAUUAAAUAGUUAGGGGCUUAAUUGAAAGGCUAAAAAGAAGUUUGGGGGUUAAAUUGGAAUUCUGCGGAAUGAAAUUGUAAGUAAUUAAGAAAGUUGAGGGACCAAGUUGUAAUAAGGAAAAGUUCGAAGGCCUAAUGUCGAUAUUGAAAGAAAGAAAAGAAGGAUCGGGGAAGGAAGAGAGGACACUUGUUAGUUUUGAUAAUAUUUUAAAUGAGUGACACAUUAAGUACACUUGUACUAUAUUAAACUGUUUGAUUAUUUCGGAGUUGAUCGGUAACUUGAACGAAGGAUCACGCAUUUGAUUCGUGAUCUAUGUAUCAGUACAAGUCUGUUAAUAUUAUCGGAUAAUCAAUCGGACUCUAAUGAUUAGUGCUGUGUCUACUAACAUAUGGUAUAUGAAUUAUAAAACUUAUAACAAGGAAUUAAAGUAUUUAAUUAUAUAUAAUUUAUUAGUUGAUAAUUGAUUAUAUGAUAAUAUGAUAUUAUUAUUAAUAUUAUUAAAAUUCCUAUUAAUUAAAUGAGUUAAAGACUAAUCAGUGGAUAAGGUGGUACAGCAAGUAGCGAAUUGGGCUCUAAUACUAUCACGAUAAAAGAAAGUGUAGUGGACGGGGCUAUAGGCUACCUUGCUGAAUUUCACACAGGAAAUGACUAGGGUACACCACGUAGGCAAUUUAUACCCUGCAUCCUGGUCCACUUUGUAUUAUGGGUCGGAGGCAGGAAAAUACGUGUGGGACUGUGUCUUGCACUUUUAAAAAAAAUUUGAAAUUACUAUAAAUAAAUUAUAUAUUAAGUAAAUAUUUUAAUAUUUAUAAAAUUAAUUUUUAUGUGUGUGUUAUACGACUGUCAUAAUUAUUUUGAACUUAAAUAAUAAUGUAAAUAUAAUAUUUCCAUGAAUAAUAAAUUAAAUAUUGUAAGUGUCAUUUUUAAUUUUUUUAUGCACAAACUUAAAUUUUAUGUUUUAAAAUAAUACAACUAUUAAAAUGUGGCAAAAUAUAGUAACACGUGUUAAAAAAAUUUAUAUCUUAAAAUCUAAUAUAUAUAUAUAUAUGUAUAGGUAAAUAAAAUUCAAAAACUAAGCAAAAUAUACUAACACGUGUUAAAAAAAUUUAUAUCUUAAAAUCUAAUAUAUAUAUAUGUAUAGGUAAAUAAAAUUCAAAAACUAACAUAAUUAGUAAUAUAUAUUUUUAAAAUUUUCAAUUAGUCAUACUUUGGAGGAUUAAAAAUCAAUAUACUUUCAGUAAAUUAUAAAAUAAAUUAUCUAUUAAAAGUAAUAUAAUAUAAUUUUUAGCAACUCUUUAUAUUCUAGAUUUUUAUAUUAUUCGUGAAUGAAACUAAUUUUUACAUAUUUCAUAAAUUAAAAUCUUUCCUCGAUACGUAAUUGAUAAUUUCAUAAUCAAAAGUAUUAUCUUUUUAUAAUUAUCAUUCAUACGACAAUACUUAUUAUUUACUGUAAUAAUGUUCAUUUUGUAUUCAAUCAAUUUUUAGAUAGUGAUUAUUUUAGUGAAGGAUAUUCAUCAUUUAUGAUCUAUAUGUUCAUUAAUUUAUUAUUGUCAAUUCAGUAAUUAUAAAUCUAUAUAUGUUUUUAAAAUAAUCGUGAAAUAUUUAUUUUCAUAUGAAAAUGAUGUUGAUUCUUUAUAAAAGUUAGAUUUAUUUUUUUAUGAUAUAUAUUAAAAUAAUUUUUUUAUUCAUAUAAGUAUUCACCGUUUAUAGAUAAUAAUAUUCAUUAAUUUAUUUAAAUGGAUAUAUAUAAUAUAUAUAUAAUAUAAAUCAUUUUUACAGUUAGUAUUUAUCCCAAAAAAACUUGUACGUCUUUGUGCAAAAAUUUACAACCAAGUAUUUAAGGGUGGCCUGAUCCUUGUGAUAACAGCCUGCCCCAAUACUAUGUAAAGUAUCUUUCAUUUUAUUGAUAAGUACAAAAAAGAAAUUAUUUUAAAACUUUUAAUAUAAAUAUAUUAAUUAGAUAAAAAGAAAAUAUAUGAUUGUAAAUUAUGAGAAAAAAUGUAUUUUAUUUUUAAAAAAAUUUAGUUUUUAAUAAUUUAAUCAUCUUUACUUUUUAACUUUGAGAUAUUUUUUUUGUCACUAUUUAUAAUUAUAUGUCUUUUUUUAUCUGAAAAAAAUCAUAUUUUAAAAAUUUUCAAAUGAUGAAACCACAUAAUACUUUUAUUUAUUUAUCCUUUUAUUUUAUUUUUUAAACUUUUUGAAAAUUACUUUUGUAAAAAGCAUGUGAAUUGAUUGAUGUUUUCUUCUAGAGCAAGUUGAGAAAAACAGUUUAUAAAAAUUAUAAAAACUAAUAUUUUAAAUCAAAAGAAAUUCUUAACGUGCUUUUUCGAUACCAAUAGUGAAACUAUACGCAUUCUAAAUGUCCUGCAUAACUUUGAUAGAUAGAAAAACGAUGAAUAAAAAUUAAUGAGAAAAUAAAUAAAUAAUAAGAUGGAACAUACAAGGGUUUUAAAUAUAUGGUGUACCAAAAAAUAUAAUUCUUAAUGAUUCAUCCACUUAUCAAAACUACAUAAAAAAUAACAUUUCAUUAUUCUUAGCCAAAUAAAAUCAUCUUCGAGCAAAAUCCAGAAGCAUGACUAAUAAAUCCAGAACUGUACAAAUAAGCUAUAUGCAUAUUCAAUAUUGUCCAAAAGACAAUAUAUUUUAUUUGACAUAUCUGAUAUUUAAGGUGUGAUAUCAUAGAUCACAUAAAUGAAUAUAUGCACCCACCUAAAGAAAAUUAUAUUUAUAUAUAAAAGAACUAAAAGUACCACACUUCAUUUCCAGUUUCUAUAGAGAAUAACUAAAUUAAAAUCACCAAUAAAUAAAUAAUUUUUAUGAGAAACACUUAGAGUAAAGAAAAUACAAUGUCACUCUCUCAAUAUGCAAGACUUUUAGCCGAAUCCUCAAUCAAACUAUAAUUUUAUACAACCUCCUAACUUUAAAUAAUUAUUUGAAUAUUUAACUCUAUAAUUCACUUAGAAAUAUAAUUUAAAAAUAAUGUGAAAUAUUUUUUGCUAACAAUCCUUANNNNNNNNNNNNNNNNNNNNNNNNNNNNNNNNNNNNNNNNNNNNNNNNNNNNNNNNNNNNNNNNNNNNNNNNNNNNNNNNNNNNNNNNNNNNNNNNNNNNNNNNNNNNNNNNNNNNNNNNNNNNNNNNNNNNNNNNNNNNNNNNNNNNNNNNNNNNNNNNNNNNNNNNNNNNNNNNNNNNNNNNNNNNNNNNNNNNNNNNNNNNNNNNNNNNNNNNNNNNNNNNNNNNNNNNNNNNNNNNNNNNNNNNNNNNNNNNNNNNNNNNNNNNNNNNNNNNNNNNNNNNNNNNNNNNNNNNNNNNNNNNNNNNNNNNNNNNNNNNNNNNNNNNNNNNNNNNNNNNNNNNNNNNNNNNNNNNNNNNNNNNNNNNNNNNNNNNNNNNNNNNNNNNNNNNNNNNNNNNNNNNNNNNNNNNNNNNNNNNNNNNNNNNNNNNUACUAAAAUUUAUAUUAACUAUGUAAACAAUUAUCUAUGUUAGUGGACUCGAUACUGGUUAUUGGAGCCUGAUCGAUUAUCUGAUGAAUCUAAUAGACUUGUAAUGAUACAUAAAUUAUGAAUCUGUAUGAUCCUUCAUUCAAGUUACCGAUCAACCCUGAAAUAGUCAAAUAGUUUUGGCUAUCAAUUUUUUAAAGAAAUUAUAUCACUAUAAAACCGGUGUGGAUAGAAAAUUUAUGAGGAGAAUUUAUUAUUCUCUAAUUACCCAAAGCACGUCAGAAAAUUCAUUGCAAAUCAAACUAGCUUUGUUUUCUGAACGAGUUGUCGAAGCCCUUCAAAAUAAAUUACUGAUUGUUCUCAACUAACUUAUAGAAAUAGUGACACCAGGUCGAAUCCUAAGGGAACCAAUGUGAAUAGUUUUUUAAAAUUAAAUAAUAAACAUAGAGGGUUUUGAAUGAUUGAACUAAAAUUAUAAGUAAAUAAAAAAAUGAUAAAAGCUGAUUAUUAAAGUAAAUAAAAAUUAAUCUUACCAAACUUCCAAUUCAAAAGUGUAAAUUCCAUCCAAUUCUAAUUCUAAUCAAAAACUUAAAUAUCAAUUUUUCUAUUCAAGUACUUAGACUAUUUAUUUGGAAAAGCCGCAACAAGUGUAAAUUCUUUUAAUAUAAUUGACUCAAACCCAGCAUCCAAAUCAAAACUUACCAUUAGUCAACCGGGCACGAAAGCGUACCAUAUCAACUCAAUGAUAGCAUUAAGAAUAAUGAGAAUGACUAAACCAACAUUAAUUAAUCGAGAUAGCUGCAAUAUAAUUAAUCUUGUUAUUUUAUUUCUCUAGAGCCUAUCAUGCAAGCUAUGUAAUUCGGAAAGACCGCAAUCACACACACACGAGCUAACUCCUUAUUAGAAAACAACCCCGUAAGAGGGGUAUAUUUGUCAAUAUGAGAAAAUAACUCCGUAAGAGGUUAUAUCUUUAAACAUGAGAAAAAAACCCCAAAAAAGUAGUAUAUUUGUCAAUAUGAGAAAAGAACCCCGUAAGAGGGGUAUAUUUGUCAAUAUUAGAAAGCAGCCCCGUAAGAGGGGUAUAUCUUUCAACAUGAUAAUACAAUCCUAAAAAAAUGGUAUAUUUUUCAAUAUGAGUAAACAACUCCGUAAGAGGGGUAUAUUUGUCAAUAUGAGAAAACAACCCUGUAAGAAGGGUAUAUUUGUCAAUAUUAGAAAACAACCCCAUAAGAGUGGUAUAUCUUUCAAAAUGAAAAAACAACCCCAUAAAAAUUGUAUAAUUGUCAAUAUGAGAAAACAACCUCGUAAGAGGGGUGUAUUUGUUAAUAUUAGAAAACAACCUUGUACGAGGGGUAUAUCUGUCAAAAUGAGAAAACAACCUCAAAAAAGUGGUAUAUUUUUCAAUAUUAGAAAACAACCCCGUAAGAGGGGUAUAUUUGUCAAUAUGAGAAAACAACCCUGCAAGAGGGGUAUAUCUUUCAACAUGAGAAAACAACCCCAAAAAAGUGGUAUAUUUUUCAAUAUGAUACUUAUAUCAAUCGUUCAUGACAAUUGUGGAUCAUAAACUCAAAGAUAGCAAUAGAAAAAUCAAUAUCAUAUUGAGUCGUCAGUUUAAUCAAUAUCAAAAAUUCAUAAACAAUAAUAAUAGAAAAAAAAAUACUUGAAUUAAAGAAGAAAUUAUAUUAAGCACAAAAUCUCACAAAAUCACAAUUGGAAUUUAUUCACUCUUGAAUGAGAAAUUAAAAGCUUAGCCACGCAUGGUGAAGUAAGAAUUCACAAGAGUUAUAGGGAAUAGAGGAAGAAAAUAAAAAAUAUAAAAGCUCAAAGUCGUUCCCUUUUGUAAAACUAGCCUCCUUAUAUAGAAAGUCAAACCUAAAUCCUAAUAAAAUAAUCUCUAUCCAUAAAGAAAUAAACUUCCUAUAUAAUUCAAAUCCCAUAUGGAAAGCUAAAAAAAAAGGGAAAUCUAAAUAAAUAAAAUCCUAAUAAUAUAGGAGACAAUCUUUUUUUAUCCAGAACUUCCAAAAUAAAGGAAAUAACAUAAAAGUGGACUCACCAUGAAUUUAACUAAAAAAAUUUAAAAUUCUCAUCAACAGAUUUCAGCAGCUCAUAGAUUGCAGGGAGUGGUCACGCCUUGUUGAAAAUGAUAUUCUGCAUAAACUUUCACUGAUCCUCCAAAAGACUUGAUUUUUGACAAGUGAUGCUUGAAAAUAUGUCUUUAAACUGAAUUCUGCUCAAUCUCUGAUAUUUCAACAUCUAGAUCAUAACAAACACAAUUUCCACAAUUAAGCACAAUAUCCAAUCAAAAUAUAAGAGAAUUAAACACAAUAAGUAUUAUUUAUGAUCUAUCAAAUUUUUCCAAACCUAAUUCAUGCUUGUCCUCAAGCAUACCUCAACUCAACAUAUCAAUUCUCCUCUCUACUUCCUUUUAAUCUCUUUAAAUAUCCCUAAAUACCAAAUAAGUUAAACAUACAUCAAUGAGUUGAAUCAUAAUGACUAUCAAGAGAAUAACACUCAUAGGAUAAAUUUUGUAACAAAAAAAAUAAGUAUCUCACUAAUCCAUCAAAAUCAAAUGCAAAAAGACUUAACACCCUAAUAUGGUUUUACAAUACUCUCAAAGUGUUUAGGGUGCAUUUACUUUCAGAAUAAAAAAAUAGCAUGUUAUUACCAUAAUCUUGCUAAUGAGUCAAGUCUCCACCACUACACAUGUAUUGGUUGCAAAAAUCAAAGGGACUUCACAAGGGUUGUAUGGGGCUUAAGAAAGGGUAUGAUAAAAGAAAAAAAUUAAAGUGUUUCAUAAUCAAGACAAAAAGUCAUUUACUUGCAUGAUAACUAUGCCACAUAACCACAAAAUACACUAUAAAAACUUUGAAUUUUAUCUCCACAUCUUAUAUUAGCACUAAAAUGUUUGGAGAAAUAACAUAUAACAAUUCAGUUCAACAUCUUUGAUAAACACUUCUCCAAUUAUCCUCUUUCAUGAAAGGAAUAAAUAUCAACUUUUUUUUUCAACAUUUUAUUUUUCUUUUUUAUUUUUUUCAUUUUUUUCGAAUUUCUUUCCAUUACUAAUUUUUUUUUCUUUUUAGCAUUUUUCUGUUUCUUUUUAUACCAUCUAACACUUUUGCAUCUUGUCUUAACAAGGAUAGAAAAAUAGAAGUAAUAAAUGAAAGGUCUUGGGCUAAACAAUAUGUGUUAAAGACAAGAAAAAAAUAAAAAAUAGGCUCAAAGUGGCUAACUAAAAGGAAAAUUAACAAAGUAGAUCUUUUAAGAGUCUAAGAAUUGCUUAAUCUAAUUGUCCUUAUCAUAUUAAAGCACCAAUCCAAAAAUGUGGUCUCAAUAUACAUUCACAAGCAAGUUCUAGAAUAAGCGCACUAAGUAUGAUAACAUUCAACAAAAACAAUUAGAGCAAAAUAUAAUAUACUGCUCUUAGGCUCAAAAGUUCACUUGAAUGUUCAAAUUUGCAUCAAAUCUUGUGCAUUUUUCAAUCAAUAAACCAAUGAGAUACCAUCAAAUAAUUUUAAAGAAACACUAAUCAUGCUUAUUCCUUUCAUGUAUUAAAAUUCAAACAAAAAAUGUAUCCCUAACUUACAUGGAAAUCUAGGUUAUAAGAAAAAAAAAGGUUCCAAAAGAAAAAUUAGCACAUAUGAAUUAAAGCACACCUAAUUCUAAGCAUAAAAAAACACAAUUUUCAAAAAUAAAAGGAAAUCAUGUAAUUAACAAAUUCUUCCCUCACACCUAAACUAUAUAUUAUCCUCAAUGUAUCAAAAAGAAAAUGGCUCACAAAAAAAAUGAAAAGAAAUAUGAAACUCUCCUGAUUUGCGAGCAACUUGGGCUGAGUAGUCUAUGGUGAUGGUGGGCAAGGAGAUAGAACCCUCCUAUGCUUUAUCAAGGCAUCCAAAUUUCUCUCAAUCAUUGAAAUUUUAUGUUCCACCUUUUCCCAAAUGAGCUUCAAAAUCUAGUUCAGUUGAAUCAUCAGAGGUCUGGAAAAAAUAAAAAUAAAAGAAAUGUUAGAAAAAAUAGGAUAGUGGGAAAAAAAGUAGAAAAUAAUAAUAAUAAAAUGUUUUUAUUUAUUUUUAUUUUUUAUUUUUUAUCAUAAAUAAAAUAUCCUAAAGAAAAUAAAGUAAAGAAGUUAAAUUCUCAAGGCUUAUUGCUCAAAACAAAAUCAGAAGGUGGUUUGAUAUAAGUCGUGGUCACGGCUUAUCAAGAACGAUCUUCUGGAAAAAGACAUUUGCUUGAUACAUCUCGAAAAGCUGUAAAAGACUGACGCCUUAUUAAAAUUAAUCUCCUGCCCAAAAAUUGAACUUCUUCAUUAAAAAAGCUAAAAACUAAAAAUAAAAUAAACUAAGUGAAACAAAAUAAAAAGUAUGAAUAAAAAUAAAGAAAACAUUUGGGUUACCUCCUAAUAGAAUAAUUGUUUAAUGUCGUUUUGCUCAGCGGAAUGAUGAAACGUUACGGUCAUCCAAAUAAGUAGGGUGAUUCAAAGGAAAACUAAUGAGACAUGGAGCAAUUUCACCCUCAUGGAAGAUCUUCAAUAUAUGACCAUUCACUUUGAAAAUUUUAUCCAAAUCUAAGCUUAUAAUUUCUAUUGCACCAUAGGGAAACACAUUAGUAACAACAAAUGGACUGAUCUAUCGAGAACGAAACUUACCAGGUAUAAGCUUCAAUCGAGAAUUAUAUAAUAAUAAUUUUUCACAAAUCUCAAAUUAUUUCCUAUUAAGUAUGUUAUCAUGGAAUAACUUGAAUUUUUCUUUAUAAAUUCUCGAAUUCUCAUAAGCAUUCAAUCGCAACUCCUCUAUUCUUGCAAUUGCAGUAGCCUUGAUAUCCCAGCUUUGUCUAUGUCCAUAUUGCACCGCCAAACUGCCCAAUAGGAUUUAUGCUUGAUUUCUACCGGUAAGUGACAUGCUUUACAAAAAAACUAACCGAUAAGGGGACAUUCCUAUAGGAGUUUUGUGAGCCGUUCAGUAAGCCCAAGGAGCAUCAUCUAAACGAAGGCUCCAAUUCUUUCUUCCUGGAUUCAUUGUUAGUUCUUUUGAGAUGAUGACAGGCAAUAUUUCACCAUCACCUAAAUAUACGUAUGGUGAUCCGGUAAAAUUUUUAGCUCCAAUUUUGGUGCCUGCACAAUUGAAGGUAAUAUCUUAUUAUUAGUAUUAGAAAUUUCAGUAUUGAAAUUUAUUGGUUCAGAUAAUGUUGUUGAAAAUAAUUCUUCUACACCAAUCUCAUAAUCAAUUCCUUUUAAAUUAGAUUGUGCAUCUAAUUUUUACUCAUCACCAACACUUUCUUUUGCAAAUACAUCCUGUAAAAUUGAAUCAAUCACAUUAAUAUGACAGAGAGGAUGUACACCAUUAGGAUAUUUCAUUGCAUCCAAAAUAUGAAAAUUAACAAUCUUUCCAUCAAACUCUAUGGAGAGAGUACCCUCAUUGUCUUAGCUAUUUUCAUGAAUGGUCAUCCUAACAAAGUUGAAGCUGAUUUUGAUGAGGAAUUACCAUCCAUUUCCAAAAUAUAAAAGUCAACAGGAAAUAUGACCUCAUUAACCUGCACCAAAACAUCUUCAACGACUCCAAGGGGAUGAAUAUAAGAACGUUCAGCUAAUUAAAUCACUACACCAGUCUUUUGUAAGUCAUUUAGUUUCAACUCUUGAUAAAUAGAAAAUGACAUGACACUAAUGGAAGCUCCUAAAUCUAACAUGGUACGCUCAAUUUUCUUUUUACCAAUAAUACAAGAUAAUGAAAAUAUACCUAGAUCCUUGCAUUUUUUUGGCAUAUUCUUUUGUAAGAUAGCCGACACAUUUUUACUUACCACCACUUUCUCCUUUUCCUUCAUCCUCCUUUUGUUUGUGCACAAUUUCUUUAAGAACUUUGUAUAUUUAGGAAUUUGCUCGACAACAUCCAAUAAUGGGAUAUUUAUUUUCACCUUCCUAAAUAUAUCUAAGAUCUCAUUUUCUUGCUCAUCUUCUUUUGGUUUAGCUAAUCUGCUAGGAAAAUGAGGUAAUGGAGUGUGAGAUAAAAGAGAUAGAGGAGGAUUGAAUUUUACCCCAUUUGAUGCUUUAGAGGAAGCUUCUUCUUCCUUUUCCUUGCUCAAUUCACUUUUCUUAAGUGGAAUCGACCCUGAAGGAAUCUCCUUUCCGCUUCUUAGUGCAAUUGCACUAACAUUCUCCUUUAGAUUUAUCUCUAGUCGUGAAGGCAGUUUUCAGAAUUUUGAACCAAUUUACUAACCGACAUAGCCAAUUGAGUAAUUUAAUUGCUAAAUUCUAAAUGCUUGACCUUGUUUCCUAUGGAAGUUGAAGAGUACUGUUAGCAAGAUUUUUAAUAAUAUCUUCCAAAGACAUACUUGAUUUUGAAGCUUGAGAUUUUUGGAAAACUUGAGGCGGUCUAAUGAAGUUAUGGGAAGUGUCCUCAUUGGUUUCCAUAGCUCAAAUUCGGGUAAUCUUUCCAUCCAGGAUUAUAUUGAUUGGAAUAAGAAUAAUACUUCCUUUGAGGUUGACCAGUAAACCCGCCUAAAGCAUUAGCCUCUUGCAUCGAGUCUUGUUACAAUGUAGGGCACAUAUCAAUGGAAUGUCAUUGAACUGAGCAUAUUCCAUAAACUUUUUCCAUUUGCAAUCGCCCUACAGUCAUUUGAUGAACCAAAGUAGUUAAAUUAGAAAUUUAAUUUUCAAGAUUUUUUAGUGCUUACCUCAUUAACUCACCUAAUAGCUCCAUCAGCUCUUGUACCAAAUUGCUAAGAAUUUUCAGCCAUGUUUGAAAUCAAUUGCUUGGCUUCUUCAUGUGCCUUGUCUACUAAAACUCCAUCACUUGUUGCAUCAAUCAUACUCCUAGCUAUUGGUAAUAAUCCUUUACAGAAGUAAUGAAUUAAGAGUUGAUCAGAAAUUUAGUGAUGGGGGAAACUAGCAUACAAUUGCUUGAACGUCUCCUAAUACUCAUACAAUGUCUCUCCAGUGAAUUGUGUUAUGCAAUAAAUUUCUUUUCUGAUGUUGGCAGCUCUUGUUACAGGAAAAAACUUAUCUAAGAACAAUCUUCUCAUCUCAUUCCAUGUUGUUAUUGAACCAGAGGGUAGAUAAUUUAUCUAAUCUUUUGCUUUAUCCUUUAAAGAAAAGGAAAAAGUUCUAAGAUUUAUUUGCUCUUCGGUCACACUAUGUGACUUCAUUCUGGAGCAUACAAUAUGGAAUUCUUUCAAGUGUCUAUGAGGAUCUUCACCUCCACAUCCAUGAAAAGAAGAGAGUAAGUGAAUUAAGCUAAAUUUUAGUUUAAGAUCAACUUCAAUAUUAGGAAAUAUAAUGCAUAAAGUUGUUGAUUCAAAUCCAGCGCGGCUGCUCUUUGAGAGUUUUAUUUGCCAUAUUUUCUACAACUUCUUAAAAAAUAGAUGUGUCACCAAUAGCCAAAUCUAUCUCUAAUUCCUCUAUGAGAUGACUUUUUCUGUCUAGUCUCAUUUCUUAAUCGACGCAUUGUCUUCUCAAUUUUAGAAUUAUAUUGCAAAUCAAUAGCCUGAGAAGAACGAGUCGUAAACAAAUACAUUAAACAAUGAGAAACUAAAAUAGCUCCCCAGUAAUGGUGGUCAAAUUUUGAAUGAGUUGUCGAAGCCCUACAAAAUAAAUUACUGAUUUUCCUAAACUAACUUGUAGAAAUAGUGAAACGAGGUCGAAUCCCUAGAAAACCAAUGUGAAUAGCUUCUCAAUGUUAAAUAAUAAAAAUAGGAGAUUUUGAAUGAUUGAACUAAAAUUAUAAAUAAACAAGAAAAUAAUAAAAGUUGAAUAUUAAAGUAAAUAAAAAUUAAUCUUACCAAACUUCCAAUUCAAGAGUGCAAAUUCCAUCCAAUUGUAAUUCUAAUCACAGGCUUAAAUAUCAAUUCUAUUCAAAUACUUAGUCUACUGAUUUGGAAAAGCCGUAAAAAUUAUAAAUUCUCCUAAUAUAAUUGACUCAAACCCCACAUCCAAAUCAAAACUUACCAUUAGUUAACUGGGCAUGAUAGCGUUUCAUAUCAACUCAAUAAUAGUAUUAAGAAUAAUGGGAAUGACUAAACCAAUAUUAAUUAAUCAAGAUAACUGUAAUGAUUUAAUCUUGUAUCUUUAUUUCCCUAGAGCCUAUCAUUCAAGCUAUUUAAUUCGGAAAGACCGCAAUUACAUACACAUGAGCCAACUUCUUGCUAUUUUUGUCAAUUGUUCAUGAUAAUUACGGAUCACAAACUCAAGGAUAGCAAUAGAAAAAUCAAAGAAGAAAUUAUGUUAAGCAAUAAAAAAAGAAAUAAAGAAUACUUGAAUUAUUGAAGAAAUUCUGUUAAGCACAACGCCACACAAAAUCACAAUUGAAAUUUAUUCACUCUUGAAUCAGAAAUUAAAAGCUUAGCCACACAUGGCGGAGUAAAAAUUCACAAGAGUUGUAGGGAAUAGAGGAAGAAAAUAAAAAAUAUAAAAGCUCAAAGGCGUGGUCACGACUUAUUAAAAUUAAUCUUCUGCCCAAAAAUUGAACUUCAUUAAAACAAACUAAAAACUAAAAAAAAAAAAUAAACUAAGUGAAAGAAAAUAAAAAGUAUAAAUGAAAAUAAAGAAGGCAUUUGGGUUGCCUUCCAAUGGCGUAAUUGUCUAACAUCAUUUUGCUCGAUACGAUAAAUCAAUUAAGAAUUUCUGAUUUCCAAUGACCAUAUCAGCAAAAAUAGGCUGAAAAAGUAUUAGAUAAUUUAAAUGGAAACAAAAAUUAACAGUAUUAGUACCAAAAAGAAAAUAACUGAACUAUUAGUCUCAGUUGGAUAUUAAGUCCAAAAAUUUGAUAUCAAUAAAAUAAUUUACCCAAAAAAAAAAACUGUACGUUUUUUUGCAAGAAUUUAAAAUAUGUAUUUAAAGGUGGCCUGAUCCAUUGAGAUAACAGCCUGCCCACCAAGCAAUACUAUCUAAAGUAUCUUUCACUUUAUUGAUAAGUAAAAAAAAUUAUUUUAAAAUUUUUAAUAUAAAUAUUAUUAAUGAGAUAAAAAAAAUAUAUAAUUGUAAAUUAUGAGGAAAAAAAAAGUAUUUUGCUUUUUAAAAUUUUAGUUUUUUAAUAAUUUAAUCAUCUUUUUUUCAGUAAGCCAUCAUUAUCAUAUUGUUUGUAUUUGAUAAUAUAAGUUUAGAGCUUAAUAGUUUAUAAUUUCAUUAUUUGACCUUUAAAUCAUAUUUAGUGAUUUGAUGAAAUGAAAUUAACAGUCAAAUAAUGAGAUUAGAAGUUAUUAAGUUCCAAAUUCUCAUUAUCAAAUACGAGCAACAUAAUAACAAUGACUGAUCAGAAGUAAAAUGGCUAAACUCUUAUGAAUUGAAACUUUUUAAAGUCGAGAUACAUUUUUUCAUCAUCAUUACUAAUCACAUAUCUCUUUGUCUGAAAAACACAUGCUAAAAAAUGUAAAAUGAUGAAACUAUAUAGUACUUUUUUUUGUAUUUAUCUGUUUACUUGACUGAAGUGUGAAGCAUAAUAAUAUGAGAUUUUAUUAGGUAAAUAGCUAUGGUUUUAAAAUUUUGGCUUAUGUUUCUAGUUAGUACCAAUACUUUAAUUAUUUUCUUUUUAAUAUCAUAACUUUAAUUUUUAUUAUAUACAAUGGUAUCCAUUGGAAAUUCGUUUAAUUUCUUAUGAUAUUGAGGGUAGAGAUCCACAUCACUAACCCAAUCUAACUCUUAAUGGUGUCAUUCUCAGUUAUUAAUUUUCUUUAGAGAUAAGUACAUAAAAGUACCUUGUGGUUUCAUCACUUGACAACUUUCAGUGUGUUAUUUUUUCCAAACAAUAAAAAAAAGAAAUACAGUUAUAAAUCACGACAAAAAAAAAUAUUUUACCAUUAAAAAGUUUCAAUUUGUAAGGAUUUAGCCAUUUUCACUCCGAUCAAUCAUCAUUAUCAUAUUUUUCAUGUUUGAUAAUAUGGGUUUAGAGUUUAACAACUCAAAACAUCAUUGUUGGAUUGUUAAAUCAAUUUAUCAUUGGAGCAAUGACUUCCUAAAUCAUGAUUUAAUGAUCAGAUUUUAAAACUAGGAGUUGUUAAACUCCAUACUCACAUUAUCAAACACACACACAAUAGGAUAUUGAUGGUCAAUCGGUGUAAAGAUGGCUUGAUCCUUACAAAUUGAGACUUUUUAACUGUGAGAUAUCUUUUCUAUCAUUAUUUAUAACUACAAGCCUCUUUUUGUUUGAAAAAGAAAAUCACAUUCUGGAAAUUGUCAAAUGAUGAAACCAUAUAAUACUUUUAUGUAAUUAUUUCUUUAUUUUAUUUUUUAAGUUUUUUGAAACUUACUUUUGUAAAAAGCAUGUAAAAGUUGAGAAAAACAGUUUAUACAAAUUAUAAGAACUAAUAUUUUAAAUCAAAAGAAAUUCUUAACGUGCUUUUUCAAUACCAAUAGCGAAAUGUCUUGCAUGACUUUGAUGGAUAAAAAAAUGAUGUAUAAAAAUAAAUAAAUAAAUAAUAAGAUGCAACAUAUAAGGGUUUUAAAUAUUGUCUAAAAAAUAAUAUAUUUUAUUUGACACCUAAUAUUUAAAAUAUGAUAUUAUAGAUCACAUUAAUAAAUAUAUGCACAUUUAUCCAUAUAGAGAAAAUUAUAUUUAUAUAUAAGAAACUAAAAGUACCACAUUUCAUUUCCAGUUUUUAUAGAGAAUAAUUAAAUUAAAAUAAUCUUUAAAUAAAUAUUUUUUAUGAGAAACACUUUAAAAAUCAUAAGUAUAUAAAUAAUAGAGUAAAGAAAAUACAAUACCACCCUCCCAAUAUGCAAGACUUUUAACCGAAUCCUCAAUCAAACUAUAAUUUUACACAACCUGCUAACUUUAAACAGUUAUUUAAACAUUUAAUUCUAUAAUUCACGUAUAAAUAUAAUUAAAAAUAAUGUUAAUAUUUGUGCUAACAAUCCUUAUCUAACCUCUAAUAUCUAUAUAAUAUAUCAUUCUUGACAAUCAUUAAUUUUUAUAAUUAACAUAAUCGAUUAUCUUAAUAACUAAUCCACCUUAUCCACUGAUUACACUUCAACUCAUUUAAUUAAUAGGAGUAUUAAAAAUAUUAAUAAUAAUAUCACAUUAUCAUAUAAUUAAUUAUCAACCAAUAAUUAUAUAUAAUUAAAUAUCUCAAUUCCUAACUAUAAGUUUUAUAAUUCAUAUACCAUAUUCUAAACUAAUUAUCAUAAUUUAAUAAUAAAAUUCAUAAUGUAGUUAAUAUUAAUUUUCCUUAUGUUCUCCAUCUGCUCAAUUAUAGAUUUAAUUCCAUUUAAUCUAUCAAAAUAACAAACAAAUUAAUUCCUUAAUAUAAGUACUAACUAAUAUAUCUUCGACAAUGUUAUAAUCUUUAAUUAAUAGUUGUCUAUUUANNNUUUAUUCUACUGGAACUUAUAUUAACUAUGUAAAAAUUAAACAAUAUACGUAUAUGUUAGCGGACUCAGUAUUGGUCGUCGGAGUCUGAUGGAUUAUCCAAUGAAUCUAAUAGACUUGUAGUGAUACAUAGAUCACGAAUCUAAUGUGAUACUUUAUUCAAGUUACUGAUGAACUCUGAAAUAGUUAAAUAGUUUUGAUUAUAAAAUUGGUAUAAAUAGAAAAUUUAUGAGGAGAAUUUAUUGUUUUCUAAUUACCUAAAGCACGUCACAAUUAGACGACAUCCGUUACAAAUCAAACUAGCUUUGUUUUCUCUUUCUACUGUAUGUCGUCAUCCCCAAUCAAAGUAGAGGCCGCCAUGGUCAUCACUUGAAAGCCCAUUACAAGAUGAGUUUAAUGCCACUAGUUCUAAUCACUGGCCAACUAAAGGAAGGAGAUCUGCUAUUUGGAAUUUUUAGUGUUCCAAACUUACUCCUCCAUACGCUGCCCACAAUCGCCAAGUGGUAACAGCAAGGUCACUCAAUGACUGUGGGCAGCAUAUGUAGUAAGUUUAGGACACUAACUUCCAACUAGUAGAUCUCCCUCCUUUAGUAGGGCCAACGACUGGAACCAGUGGCAUUGAACUCAUCUUUUCAUGGGCUUCCAAGUGAUAAUCAUGGUAGCCUUUACUUUGAUCGGAGAUGACGAGACACAGUGGAGAAAGAAAACGAAGCUAGUUUGAAUUUUAACAGAUUUCAUCCAAUUCUGACGUGCUUUGGGUAAUCAAAGAACAAUAAAUUCUCCUCUUCAUAAACUUUCUAUCUACACCAGUUUUAUAACGGUUGGACUCCUUUAAAACAUUGUUGGCCAAAACUGUUUGACUAUUUUAGAGUUGAUCGGUUACUUGAAUGAAAGAUCACACAUUUGAUUCGUAAUCUACGUAUCAUUACAAGUCUAUUAGUAUCAUCGAAUAAUCAAUCGGACUCCGACGACCAGUGCCGUGUCUACUAAUAUAUGGUAUAUGAAUUAUAAAGCUUAUAAAAAGGAAUUAAAGUAUUUAAUUAUAUAUAAUUAUUAGUUGAUAAUUGAUUAUAUGAUAAUAUGAUAUUAUUAUUAAUAUUGUUAAAGCUUCUAUUAAUUCAAUGAGUUGAAGACAAAUCAGUGGAUAAGGUGGUACACCAAGUACCGGAGUGGGCUCUAAGACUAUCAUGAUAGAAGAAAGUGCAGUGGACUCGGCUCUAGACUACCUUGCUGAAUUUAUGUGAUUCUUAAGGAUUUAAGCCAGUUAUCAAGACUUGAGAGGGAGCCAUGAGACAAUUAUCAAGGAAACCCUAGCUUAACCGCCUAACAACCUUCCCUUGUAUUUCAAAUUAUAGUUUGUAUAAGAUAUAUUACUAGAUAUUCCAGCUGUAUAUCUUAUUUUCAACAGUUGUUAUGUAAUCUACAAAUAUAUCUAGGGUUGUACUCUUUAAAAUAUCAAUAUAUACAAAAUCAUAUUUUUCUCUAAACUUAAUAUGGUAUUAGAGCAAACCAUCAUGAAUCUUAAUGGAAAUCCAUCUUUCUCUUCUUCCUCUUCUACUGCUCAACUCAAUUUUUCUAUCAGACUCACUUCUAACAAUUUUCUCUUAUGGAAAAUUCAGCUCAUGCCUCUUCUUCACUCUCAAGAUCUCAUCGACUUCAUAGAUGGUAGUUAUUCAGCUCCAUCUAAAACAAUUCUCAGCAAUGAUACUCCGCUUCGAACCAUUCUGAAUUCAGCUUACUCUAUCUGGUUUCAUGGAGACCAAAUGCUUCUGUCCUGGAUCCUCUCUUCUCUUACUGAAGAAAUUUUUCCCUACAUCAAUGGAGUUUCCUCAUCCUAUUCAGCUUGGAAAACUCUAGAAAAUGCAUUUGGUGCUGUAUCUCAAAAUAAACAGCUUCAACUUCAUAUCAAAUUAUAAGAGCUGAAGAAAAAUGAUCUCUCUAUGAAGGAUUAUUUACUAAAAGCUAAAGCAUUGGCCGAUAAAUUAACUACUGCUGGUUGUCCAAUUAAUGAAGUCGAGUUUAAUGCAAUUAUUGUCCACAAUAUUGGUGCUGAAUUUCAAGGAAUUAUAAGCACUCUCAAUACCAUAUUAAAACCAAACAAUUUUUGUAGGCUUCAUAGUCGUCUUUUUGCUCAUAAAAUUCUUCUUAAAGCUCAACAAUCAAACUAUAUGGCUAAUCUUUUCUACAAGCCCUCGAUUUUGUCUACACCAACUUUUUUUCCACCACAAUCACUGCCUCCUUCACAGAAGAAUUUUCGGCCAUCAUGGAAAAUGAAGUUUCAAAAUCGGGGUGGUGUCUACUAGUGGCUAUGCCAUUUACAUUGGAAAGUAUAUUGCAUCAUGGAGUGCCAAGAAACAACCUACAAUUGCUAGGUCAUUAACUGAAAGUGAGUAUGAGAGGUUACAAAUAGUUAUAUUUAUUGUGUUUAAUUCCCUUGCGAUUUGGUUGAAUAAUGUACCUAAUUAUGAAAAUUUUGUUUAUUCUAACUUAGGUAAUGAAAUAUGAAGGAUGGAACAAAAUCCAGCCUAAAGACAUGUUUUAAGUCAUCAUUUGUCAAAAACCAAGUCUUUUGGAGGAGAUGCUGAAAUCUGCAAAGAAGAUCACUGUCGACAAGGCGUGACCAUGUCUUACAGCCCAUGAGCUCCGCAGAAAUCUGUGUAGAAGACUACUGUCAGCAAGGCGUGACCAUGCCUUGCGUCCCAUGAGCUGCUAAAAGAUGCGAAAGAGAGCUUUGAAAUUUUUAGAAAUUAAUUUGUAGUGGACCUAUCCCUAAUUAAUUUUCUUUAUUUUUGGAAGUAUUGGAUUAAUAGAACUUUCUUCCAUGUAUUUAGAGUUUUAAUUUAUUUAGAUCACUCUUAAUCUUAUCCUUCCGUAUAGGGAUAAGAUUAAAUAGGAAGCAUAUUUCUUUUUUAUAAGGAUUCUACUAUUAGGGUUUAGAGUUUUACUUCCUAUAUAAGGACGGCUAGAUACUUUAAGUAUAUAAUUCAUAUUUUUAUUCUUCUUCUACUCUCUACAAUUCUUGUGAAUUCUUACUCCACCAUGAGUGGCUAAGUUCUUAGUUUCUAAUUCAAGUGAAAAAAUUCUAAUUGUGAUUUUGUGAGGCUUUGUGCUUAACAUAAUUCUUUUUUAAUUCAAGUAUUCUUUAUUUCUUGUUCUUAUUAUUUAUGAAUUAUUGAUAUUGAUUGAACUGACGACUCAACUUUGAUAUUGAUUUUUCUAUUGCUACACUUUGAGUUUGUAAUCCGUAAUUGUCAUGAACGAUUGACACAAGUAGCAAGGAGUUGGCUCAUGUGUGUGUGAUUAUGGCUUAUUCGAAUUACAUAGCUUGCAUGAUAUGCUCUAGGGAAAUAAAGGAAAAAAAUUAUUUCAAUUGCAGUUAUCUCAAUUAAAUUAAUGUUGGUUUAGUCAUUCUUAUUAUUCUUACUGCUAUCAUUAAGUUGAUAUGGAAUGUUAUCGUGCCCAGUUGAUUAAUGGUAAGUCUUGAUUUGGAUGUUGGGUUUGAGUCAAUUAUAUUAGGAGAAUUACACUUGUUGCGGUUUUUUCGAAUAAGUAGACUAAGUACUUGAAUAGAAGAAUUGAUAUUUUAGCCUAUAAUCAUGAUUACAAUUGGAUGGAAUUAGCACUUUUGAAUUGGAAAUUUAUUAAGAUUGAUUUUAUUUACUUUAAUAUUCAGCCUUCAUUAUUUUCUGCUUAUUUAUAAUUUUGAUUCAAACAUUCAAAAUCUCUCCUUUUUAUUUUACUUUGAGAAGCUAUCCACAUUGGUUCCCUUGGGAUUUGACUUGGUUUCACUAUUUCUACAAGUUAGUUUAGGAAAAUCAGUAAUUUAUUUUGAAGGGCUUCGACAACCCGUUCAAAUUUGGUGUCGUUGUCGGGGGAACCUAUUUUAGUUUAUCAUUGAUUAAUUUAUUUGUUUAUGACUUGUUCUUCUCAAGAUAUUGAUUUGCAGUUUAAUCCUGAAAUUGAGAAGACAGCGCGUUGAUUAAGAAAGGAGACUAGACAAAGAAAAAGUUGUCUCAUAGAGGAGUUGGAAAUAGAUUUGGCUAUUGGUGACACAUCUAUUUUUCAAGAAAUUAUAGAAAACAUGGCGAACAGAACUCUCAAAGAGCUAGCUGCAUCGGAUUUAAAUCAACAAUCUUUAUGCAUUACAUUUCCUAAUAUUGCAGUUGAUUUUGAAUUAAAAUCUGGUUUAAUUCACUUACUCCCUUUUUUUAAUGGAUGUGCAGGUAAAGAUCCUCAUAAACACAAAACUCCAUAUUGUAUGCUCCGGAAUGAAGCCACAUGGUGUGACCGAAGAGCAAAUAAAUCUUAGAGCUUUUUCCUUUUCUUUGAAGGAUAAAGCAAAAGAUUGGCUCUAUUAUCUACCCUCUGGUUCAAUAACAACAUGGAAUGAGAUGAAAAUAUUGUUCUUAGAUAAGUUCUUCCCUGCAACAAGAGCUGCCAACGUCAGAAAAGAAAUUUGUGGCAUAACACAGUUCACUGGAAAAACAUUGUAUGAGUAUUAGGAAAGGUUCAAGCAAUUGUGUGCUAGCUGCCCCCAUCAUCAAAUUUCUCAGCAACUUUUAAUCCAAUACUUCUAUGAAGGAUUGUUGCCCAUGGAGAGGAGUAUGAUUGACGCAGCAAGUAGUGGAGCUUUGGUAGACAAGACGCCUGAAGAAGCCAAGCAAUUAAUUUCAAACAUGGCCGAAAAUUCUCAGCAAUUUGGUACAAGGGCUGAUGGAGCUACAAGGCGAGUUAAUGAGGUAAGCACUAAAAAUUUUGAAAAUCAAAUUUCUGAUUUAACUACUUUGGUUCGUCAAAUGGUUGUAGGGCAAUUGCAAAUGGCAAAAGCUUGUGGAAUAUGCUCAGUUCAAGGACAUCACAUCAAUAUAUGCCCAACAUUGCAACAAGACUCUAUACAAGAAGCUAAUGCUCUAGGUAGAUUUACUGGUCAACCUCAAAGGAAGUAUGACCCUUUCUCCAAUUAUUAUAAUCUUGGAUGGAGAGAUCACCCAAAAUUGAGUUAUGAAAACUAAGGAGGACAACAAAAGUAUCCUUCCCANNNNNNNNNNNNNNNNNNNNNNNNNNNNNNNNNNNNNNNNNNNNNNNNNNNNNNNNNNNNNNNNNNNNNNNNNNNNNNNNNNNNNNNNNNNNNNNNNNNNNNNNNNNNNNNNNNNNNNNNNNNNNNNNNNNNNNNNNNNNNNNNNNNNNNNNNNNNNNNNNNNNNNNNNNNNNNNNNNNNNNNNNNNNNNNNNNNNNNNNNNNNNNNNNNNNNNNNNNNNNNNNNNNNNNNNNNNNNNNNNNNNNNNNNNNNNNNNNNNNNNNNNNNNNNNNNNNNNNNNNNNNNNNNNNNNNNNNNNNNNNNNNNNNNNNNNNNNNNNNNNNNNNNNNNNNNNNNNNNNNNNNNNNNNNNNNNNNNNNNNNNNNNNNNNNNNNNNNNNNNNNNNNNNNNNNNNNNNNNNNNNNNNNNNNNNNNNNNNNNNNNNNNNNNNNNNNNNNNNNNNNNNNNNNNNNNNNNNNNNNNNNNNNNNNNNNNNNNNNNNNNNNNNNNNNNNNNNNNNNNNNNNNNNNNNNNNNNNNNNNNNNNNNNNNNNNNNNNNNNNNNNNNNNNNNNNNNNNNNNNNNNNNNNNNNNNNNNNNNNNNNNNNNNNNNNNNNNNNNNNNNNNNNNNNNNNNNNNNNNNNNNNNNNNNNNNNNNNNNNNNNNNNNNNNNNNNNNNNNNNNNNNNNNNNNNNNNNNNNNNNNNNNNNNNNNNNNNNNNNNNNNNNNNNNNNNNNNNNNNNNNNNNNNNNNNNNNNNNNNNNNNNNNNUUGCAAAGACUGGUGUAAUGAUUCAAUUAGCCGAUCACUCUUAUAUUCAUCCCCUUGGAGUUGUUGAAGAUGUUUUGGUGCAGGUUAAUGAGCUCAUAUUUCCUAUCGAAUCUUACAUUUUGGAAGUGGAUGGUAAUUCCUCAUUAACAUCAGCUUUGAUUUUAUUAGGACGACCAUUCAUGAAAACUGCUAACAUAAAGAUUAAUGUAGAUGAGGGUACUCUCUCCGUAGAGUUUGAUAGAUAGAUUAUUAAAUUUAAUAUUUUCAAUGUAAUAAAAUAUGCUAAUAAUUUACAUUCUCUUUGCCAUAUUGAUGUAAUUAAUCCAAUUGUGCAAGAAGUAUUUGCAAAAGAAAAUGUUAGUGAUGAGCAAGAAUUAGAUGCACAAUCUAAUUUAGAAGUGGAAAUUAGAAGAUUGGAUUUGGAUAAAAUUUUCAAACUGAAUGGUCAUAGAUUGAAGAUCUUCCAUGAGGGUGAAAUUGCUUUAUGUCUCAUUAGUUUUCCUUCGAAUCACCCCACUUAUUUAGAUGACUCAAAUAUUUUAUCAUUUCGUCAAGCAUAACGACGUUAAACAAUUGCGCUAUUGGGAGGCAACCCAAACACUUACUUUAUUUUUUUUUAUUUUUUUUCUUUCACUUAGUUUAUUUUAUUUUUAGUUUUUAGUUUUUAAUUUUUUUAAUAAAGAAAUUCAAAUUUUUUUCUGACAGGAGACUAAUUUCUACCAGGCGUGACCACGCCUUGUUCCCAAACAUCUUCUGUUCUGUAACAAAAAAAAAAAUCCUACUGUUACUCUUACAGAAGCUCGCUUCUUAUAAGGCGUGACCACGCCUUGUUUCAAAAUACCUUCUGUUUUGUUUUGAAAAACUGCACCUCAAGAUUACAGAAGCUCGUCUCUUAUAAGGCGUGACAACGCCUUGUUUCAAUACGCCUUUUGUUUUGACUUCUUUUUUUUUUUACAGAAGCUCGUUUCUUAUAAGGCGUGACCACGCCUUAUUUUAGCUUUGUUUUGACUUCUUUACUUUAUUUUACAGAAGCUCGUUUCUUAUAAGGCGUGACCACGCCUUAUCUCAAACCACUCUUUUUUUUAUUAUUAUUUAUUAUUUAUUUUAUUUUAUUAUUUUUUUUAUUAUUAUUAUUUUAUUUUUUUAAUUUUCCUAAUUUUUUAUUUUUUAUUAUUUUAAUUUUUUUAUUAUUAUUAUUUAUUUUUGUGCUUAAAAAAAAAGAGAGAGAGAAAAGAAACGAGAACGUUUUAUUUUGCAUAGCCACUAACGUUUUAUUUUCUUUGGCAGCAAUCAUCACCAAAACUUCCUAUUUUCACUGGGCGGUUCUACCUCCUUUCCCACCAUCACCAUUGACUAUUCAGUCCGAGUUGCUUUGCAAAUCAGAGGAGUUUCAUAAUUCUUUUUAUUUUUUUUUUCUGAGCCAUUUUCUUUUUGAUACAUUGAGGACAAUGUAUAGUUUAGGUGUAGGGAAGGAAUAUGAUAAUUACAUGAUUUCCUUUUCUUUUUGAAAAUAUUUUUUUAUGCUUUUAAUUAGGUAUGCUUUAAUUCAUACGUGCUACUUUUUCUUUUGCAACCUUGAGUUUUAUUUUGAUAACCUGGAAUACCAUGUAAAUUAGAAAUACAUUUUUGGUUUGAAUUUCAAUGCAUGAAAUGGGAUAAGCAUGAUUAGUGUAUCUUUAAAACUAUCCGAAGGUAUCUCAUUAGUUUAUUGAUUGAAAAAUGUACAAGAAUUGAUACAAAUGUAAAUAUUCAAGUGAGCUUUGAUCCUUAGAGCAGUGCAUUAUAUUUUGCUCUGAUUAUUUUUUAUGAGUGUUAUCAAACUAGUAUGAUUAUUCUAGAACUUGCUUUUGAAUUCAUGUUGAGACUAUAUUUUUGGAUUGAUGCUUUAAUAUGAUAAGGGAAAUUAGGAUUAAUCUAUUCUUAGACUCUUAAAGACUUACCCUAUUGAUUUUUCUUUUAGUCAGCCACUUUGAGCUUAUUUUCUUCUUUUUUUUCUUGUUUUUAACACAUGUUAUUUAACCCAAGACCUUUCAUUUGUUACCUCUAUUUUUCUAACCUUGUCAAGAUAAGAAGGGAAGUGUUGCAUGGUAUAAAUGAAACAGAAAAAAAAAAAGAGAAAAAGAAAGAAACAGAGAAAAAAAAAAGGAAGAAGAAGAGGAAAAGAAAGUUAAUAUCUAUUCCUUUCAUGAAGAGGAGAAUUGAAGAAGUAUUCAUCAAAUAUACUGAAUUAAAUUGUUACUCCUCACAAGUUCUCAUAUAAAAUAUGGGAAUAAAUAUCAACUUUCGAAAUUUUUGUAGUAUGUUUUAUGGAUGUCGCAUAAGUUAUCAUGCAAGAAUCUAAUUUUUUUUUGUCUUAAUUAUGAAACAUUUCAGCUCUUCCUUUAUCACACCAUUUCCUAAGCCCCAUUACAACCCUUGUAAAGUCCCUUUGAUUUUUGCAUCUAAUUCAUGUGUAGUGGUGAAGACUUGAUUCAUUAGCAAGCUUAUGGUAAUAACAUGCUAUGUUUUGAUUCUGAGAGUAAAUGCACCCUAAACACUUUGAGAGUAUUAAGUGAAACCAUGUGAGGGUGUUAAAUCUCGUUGCUUUGAUUUUGAUGAAUUAUUGAGAUACCUGUUCUUUUUAUAAAAUUUAUCCUAUGAGUGCUAAUCUCUUGAUUGUCAUUAUUAUUUAGCUCAUUAAUGUAUGUUUAAUUUGUUUGGUAUUUGAGGAGAUUAAAAGAGAUGAAAAGGAAGGUUAAAAGGAGAAUUUGUAUGUUGAAUUGAGGUAUGCUUGAGGACAAGCAUAAAUUAGGUGUGGAGAAAUUUGAUAGGUCACAAACAGUUAUAUUUAUUAUGUUUAAUUCCCUUACGAUUUGGUUCAAUAAUGUACUUAAUUAUGAAAAUUCUGUUUAUUCUGAAUUAGGUGAUGAAAUAUCAAGGAUGGAGCAAAAUACAGCCUAAAGGCAUGUUUAAGUCAUUAUUUAUCAAAAACCAAGUCUUUUAGAGGAGAGGCUGAAAUCUGCAAAAAAGAUCACUGUCAACAAGGCGUGACCACGCCUUACAGCCCAUGAGCUCCGCAAAAAUCNNNNNNNNNNNNNNNNNNNNNNNNNNNNNNNNNNNNNNNNNNNNNNNNNNNNNNNNNNNNNNNNNNNNNNNNNNNNNNNNNNNNNNNNNNNNNNNNNNNNNNNNNNNNNNNNNNNNNNNNNNNNNNNNNNNNNNNNNCACCUUGCGUCCAUGAGCUGUUAAAAGAUGGGAAAGAGAGCUUCGAAAUUUUCAGAGAUUAAUUUGUAGUGGACCUAUACCUAAUUAAUUUCUUUUAUUUUUGAAAGUGUUGGAUCAAUAGAACUUUUUUCCACGUAUUUAGGGUUUUAAUUUAUUUAGAUCACUCUUAAGCUUAUCCUUCCGUAUAGGGAUAAAAUUAUAUAGGAAGCAUAUUUUUUUUUUAUAAGGAUUCUACUAUUAGGGUUUAGGGUUUACUUUCUAUAAAAGGAUGGCUAGAUACUUUGAGCAUAUAAUUCAUAUUCUUAUUCUUCUUCUACUCCCUACAAUUCUUGUAAAUUCUUACUCCACCAUGAGUGGCUAAGUUUUUAGUUUUUAAUUCAAGAGUGAAUAAAUUCCAAUUGUGAUUUUGUGAGGCUUUGUGCUUAACAGAUUUUUUUUUAAUUCAAGUAUUCUUUAUUUCUUGUUCGUAUUAUUUAUGAAUUAUUAAUAUUGAUUGAAUUGACGACUCAACUUUGAUAUUGAUCUUUCUAUUGCUAAACUUUAAGUUUGUGAUCCGUAAUUAUCAUGAACGAUUGAUACAAGUAGCAAGGAACUGGCUCAUGUGUGUAAUUAUGGCUUAUUCGAAUUACAUAGCUUGCAUGAUAGGCUCUAGGGAAAUAAAAGAACAAGAUUGUUUCAAUUUCAGUUAUCUCAAUUGAAUUAAUGUUGGUUUAGUCAUUCUCAUUAUUUUUAAUGCUAUCAUUAAGUUGAUAUGGAACGCUAUCGUGCCCAGUUGACUAAUGGUAAGUUUUGAUUUGGAUGUUGGGUUUGAGUCAAUUAUAUUAGGAGAAUUACACUUGUUGCAGCUUUUUCGAAUAAGUAGACUAAGUACUUGAAUAGAAGAAUUGAUAUUUUAGCUUAUGAUCAUGAUUACAAUUGGAUGAAAUUAGCACUCUUGAAUUAGAAAUUUGUUAAGAUUGAUUUUAUUUACUUUAAUAUUCAGCAUUUAUUAUUUUCUGCUUAUUUAUAAUUUUGAUUCAAACAUUCAAAAUCCUCCCUUUUUAUUUUACUUUGAGAAGCCAUCCAUAUUGGUUCCCUUGGGAUUCGACCUGGUUUCACUAUUUCUACAAGUUAGUUUAGGAAAAUCAGUAAUUUAUUUUGAAGGGCUUCGACAACCCAUUCAAAGUACAAGGCUCAUGCCAAUACCAUUGCUGAACUUUUAUGGAUUUAAUCUCUGUUGCGAGAAAUUGGUAUGCUUUCUUCUUCACUUGCUACCUUGUGGUGUGACAAUAUUGGAGCAAUUUACUUAUCCUCUAAUCCGGUUUUUCAUGCUCGUACUAAGCAUAUUGAGUUCGACUAUUAUUUUUUAAGGGAACAAAUGGCGUUAAGCAUCAUCCAAAUUGGUUUUCUUUCUUCCAAUGAUCAACUUGGUACACUGGGUGUUAGAUUGUUUCAGCAGCAUCGCUCUCAUCUUCGUCUUCAACCUCACCCACCAUUAGCUUGCCGACAAGUAUCAAGUAAACCCUAGCUUAACUGCCUGAAAACCUUCCCUUGUAUUUCAAAUUAUAGUUUGUAUAAGAUAUAUUAUUAGAUAUUCCAGCCAUAUAUCUUAUUUUCAAUAGUUGUUAUGUAAUCUAUAGAUAUAUCUAGAGCUGUACUCUUUAAAAUAUCAAUAUAUACAAAAUCAUCUACUUCUCUAAACUUAAUAACAAUGAGCCUUGGUCUUGUCCGCUAUUUAUCAAUCAUCCAUCCUCGAUCACCCUAUAUGCAAAAAUUACAUAAUUAAAUUUAUAAUUUCAACUUUUUUGACAAAUUACAGUUUUUUAGUUAAAUAUCUUAAAUCUAAAUAUUUUUAAAUUUAAAAUAUUUGUUUGAAAUUUCAUUUCAAACAUAAGAAUUAAUUGAAAAAAUACUAAAAAAAUAAAUUUUAUGUAACACUUACAUAAAAAUAUAAAUGGUUUUAAUUAUAAGACAGCUCCUAAAUGCCAUUGCGGAAUAUCUUUAUGCUAUUUUUUAAUUAAAAACAGAAAUUUUAAUACGCCAAUAAAUAAAAUUAUACUAAUUAUAUAAAAAUAAUUAAGUAUCUGAAUUUAUAUUAAAAUAAUUAAAAUUAUCUAUUAUAGCGCAAAAAUCUAGUGAAACAGAUAUUUUGGUUUUCUUGGUCUUCUAGUUCUCUAACUAUAGAGCUUUUAGUCUGUCCACACGGAGACAUAGAGGCAAUAUUGUAGAGAUUUGAUUUUCUUCUCAGUCAAACCCUUUUACCAAAACCAAUUUUUAGAUUUAUUUUUUCUUACAGCAAUCAAAAUCUCAACAAUGUUCUUUUUUAAAAGAGUAUAUUGCAUUGUCCACAUAAACAAUAACUAUUCUAUAUAUAUAUAUAUAAAUUAAAACUUCUUUUAACUUCUACUUUUUACCUCUUUUCAUAAAUGUAAAUUAAUUAUUUAAUUUAACCAUUUAACUAAAAUGUAAUUAAUUUCUGGCAUAAAUUACUAACACCUUCAAGAGAAGCUAGCAUAGUGCAAGAGAUUACAGAGGUAAGGUAGUAUUCUGCAUGGCUACAAAACUGUCCCUUGGAUACGGUGCUUAUAAUUGACUAGAACGGGAAAGCUUGCACACUUUGCAGGAUGCAGUUUUUGGCAAACUCUCAGCUCUUUUUAUCUCAUUUGCUGUUUUUUCCUUUUUUUUUUUUUUUGUUACACGAUGUAAUAAUUUUCACUAUAACCUCUCUCCCACUUACAAAGCGAAGCAUAUAGUUGCUCGGCCGGUUAAAUACUAUUAAUAAAAAUAGUAAUUCAUUGUUCUUAACAAUAGGGUCCGGAGACUUCUUGAUUCAUUAUACUAUUACUCUAGGAUUAUAUACAACCACAUUGAAAUAAAAUAAAUCAUUAUUUUACAUCGAACAUAAAUAUUGAAUCGCUAUUAUGAAUUACCAUCAAUCUACGUUAGAUAGUAUUCAACGCUAGUAUAGUGAUAGGUCACAAAUAGUUAUAUUUAUUGUGUUUAAUUUCCUUGCGAUUUGGUUGAAUAAUGUACUUAAUUAUGGAAAUUAUGUUUACUCUGAGUUAGGUGAUGAAAUAUCAAGGAUGGAGCAAAAUCCAGCCUAAAGACAUGUUUUAAGUCAUCAUUUAUCAGAAACCAAGUCUUUUGGAGGAAGUGCAGAAAUCUACACAGAAGAUCACUGUCGACAAGGCAUGACCACGCCUUACAGCCCAUAAGCUCCGCAGAAAUCUGUGCAGAAGACUACUGUCAACGAGGCGUGACCACGCCUUGCGCCCCAUGAGCUGCUAAAAGAUGCGAAGGAGAGCUUCGAAAUUUUUAGAGUUUUCAUUGUGGUGGACCUAUCCCUAGUUAAUCUCCUCUAUUUUUGGAAGUGUUGGAUUAAUAGAACUUUCUUCCAUAUAUUUAGGGUUUUAAUUUAUUUAGAUCACUUUUAAUCUUAUCCUUUCUUGUAGGGAUAAGAUUAAAUAGGAAGCUUAUUUCUUUCUGAUAAGGAUUCUAUUAGGGUUUAGGGUUUUACUUCUUAUAUAAGGACGGCUGGAAGUACCUAUAAACAUACAUAUUCUUAUUAUUCUUCUACUCUCUACAAUUCUUGUGAAUUCUUACUCUACCAUGAGUGGCUAAGUUUUUAAUUUCUAAUUUAAGAGUGAAUAAAUUCCAAUUGUGAUUUUGUGAGGCUUUAAGCUUAACAGAAUUCUUCUUUAAUUCAAGUAUUUUUUAUUUCUUGUUCUUAUUAUUUAUGAAUUAUUAAUAUUGAUUGAACUGACGACUCAACUUUGAUAUUGAUUUUUCUAUUGCUAAACUUUGAGUUUAUGAUCCGUAAUUGUCAUGAACGAUUGACAUAAGUAGCAAGGAGCUGGCUCAUGUGUGUGUGAUUACGGCUUAUUCGAAUUACAUAGCUUGCAUGAUAGGCUCUAGGGAAAUAAAGGAACAAGGUUAUUUCAAUUGCAGUUAUCUCAAUUAAAUUAAUGUUGGUUUAGUCAUUCUCAUUAUUCUUAAUGCUAUCAUUAAGUUGAUAUGGAACGCUAUCGUGUCCAGUUGACUAAUGAUAAGUCUUGAUUUGGAUGUUGGGUUUGAGUCAAUUGUAUUAGGAGAAUUACACUUAUUCCGGCUUUUUCGAAUAAGUAGACUAAGUACUUGAAUAGAAGAAUUGAUAUUUUACCUAUGAUCGUGAUUACAAUUGGAUGGAAUUAGCACUCUUGAAUUGAAAAUUUGUUAAGAUUGAUUUUUAUUUACUUUAAUAUUCAGCCUUCAUUAUUUUCUGCUUAUUUAUAAUUUUGAUUUAAACAUUCAAAAAUCUCCAUUUUAUUUUACUUUGAGAAGCUAUUUACAUUGGUUCUCUUGGGAUUCGAUCUGGUUUCACUUUUUCUACAAAUUAGCUUAAAAAAAUCAGUAAUUUAUUUUGAAGGACUUCAACAACCCGUUCACAUAGAUUUAUUUUUUAAAGUAAAGCGGUGUCAAACCAAAAUACUCAACAAGCAUUAUUUCUUUCUAAAAAUUGAAGUGAUCCAACCGCACCUUUCAGUGCGACUACUUUAUUACAACUUUACUUUAGUGAAUAAUCCUGUCUUCGGCAUUCCCCUCCUUGCUGCUAAGGUAACGAUUUCGGCAUCGCCAGCUCCCAUAGUGGUUAUAGGGCUUAAUUUAUAAGUAGUGCCUAGAUAUCUCUCCAUUCAAUAUAGCGACGGAAUACAAUACGUAAAUAAUCAUUGACAAUGCUUGUUCAUCGAAAUCUACGAUUUCUUAUUUAAAUAUAUACCAGACCCAUUUGCAUAAAUGUAAAACCAAUUCAAUAUCACGAAUGAACAUGGGUAAUUGGGGUAAUGAGGACAGUUGCCCCCACCGCUCUAUAUAUAUAUAUAUAUAUAUAUAUAUAUAUAUAUAUAGGUACAAGUUAUUUUUUUAUUUUGUCCCACUAAUUAUUUUUAAUAAUACUAAAUUUUUUAAUAGCAAGAUAGAUUCUUCUUGCUACGAAGAAUCUAUUGGUUGAUUGAUAAUUUGAAAUGCUCAUUUGCCUUAAAUAGGUGUUUUUUUUUAUAAAAAUAAAGUCAUGUUAGAGAUACACAUUAUUAAAAGAAAAAAAAAAGAUAAUAAAAAUUUGUAAAAAUAAAGGUCUAACUAAUCAAGUGAUUAAUUCUAAUCAUUUUAAUAUUAGUUGGAUUCAAAUUUAAAUUUAUUAAUUAGUUUCUACUCUAUAAUUUAUUUAACUCCUGUUAAUAGUUUUUCCAAUUUUAUCUAUUGUUAAUGCAUUUUAAAUAUAAAUUAUUUUAAUUUAUUAUGAAUGAAAUAUCUCCAAUAUUCUACAAUAUAGAAAAGUUUGCCACCUAAAAUCUUUUUUUGGCUCCAAUUGUUCCUAUAUACCAGAGGAAACAUACUUAUAAGAAAAUCCCUUUGCCGCAUCCCUGUCUGACUUGAUGACUAAUAAUUGUGACUGUCGCCAAGAUUAAAAAGUGGCAUGAUUAUGCUUAUCGAAUAUUAAUAACAUAGUCUUCCCAUAUUAUCUGCAUCAAAAUAAUGCUCAUUAAAAAUAUUGGUGGACCGACUUUUUCAUCCAAUUUAUCAUCUUUUGAGUUAUACAAUGAAAAAUAUAAACAAGAAUAAUUAGUUCUUGUUAACUAAUAACAUUUCUCAUCCUCUUUUCUACUUAUAAUCAUUGCAAAGAAUUUUUUAUUAGACUAAAAAGAGUAAAAGAAAAAUGAAUUACAAAAUAAUAAAAACUACAGAUGAAAAAUUAUAAUAGACCAUAAAGCACACGUGCUGAAUCCUCACCCACUUCGACACGUGUACUUCUCUACAUAUUUUCAAGACGUGGCACUUGCAUCCGCACCAGUCCCUUCGUUCCUUUCACCUACUUGUUUUUCGAUUUUUUCCUUAUUAUUUUUAUCAAAUUUAUUUUAAUUUGUGUAAAACUACAGUAAAGUUGGUAGAGAAAAAUGAAAGAGAAAGCUUUAAAAAUAUUUAUAUUAUUAUUGAGCAAUCAAUUAGUUGCUACAACACAAUAAUACAGGACGAGAGAUCAGUAUUUAUACUAAUAGUAUUAGGGGUAAAUUAGAUUUUGGAGGUACCAAAUUAUGCAUUUUAAAAAUAUAUUAAAUCUUUGAUAUAACUAAAUGAUCAAUGAUCUUCAAUUUUAAUAACAUUAAUUAGUUUUUUUAACAAAUGUGAAGAUUACAUCAACAGUCACCAAAUUUUACAUGUUAUAAUAAAAAAAUUAUUAAAAUUCCGAUUUUAGAAGAUAUAUGACCAGUAUUCUUUUUUGUAAUAAAUUAAAGAUUUAAUACAUUUUAAUUAUAAAAUGUUAAAUUUAGUAACUAUCUAUAUAAUUUACCAUUCAAACGUGUGCUGCUAAAAUUAAAAUUUAGCGACUAUUUAAUUAUAAAUCAAAUAUUUACUAUAUUUUUAUUACAAAGUGUAAAAUAUAAUAAGCGUGACUGAUAAUAUUACCCUAAAAUGUAUUUAUAUACUAAGUGAAGGAAACUGCAACUAAAAAUUGAUAAAAUUGCUUAGACAUCAGUUAUGGUGAAACAUCACAUUUAACAUCAUCCCUUUGCAAGGUUGGUUUCAGUAGAUUUCUUAAUUAAUCACAAUUUUUUCACAAACCAAGACUUUAUUAAAGCAGAAUUUGGGUAAGGUACCCAGUACAAAAACUGACCACCCAUAUCAACAAAAAAUGGAAAAUGAAACGCUACAAGAACAAAGAUAAUAUAAAACAUAAAACGCACGCGACAAAGUCACUCUCUUGUAACAGUUGCCUUUGCCAAGUUGUCUGCAAAUCCAUUAUUUUCAAUACUUAGUCUAAUAUGUUUAAUUUGGAAGCAUGCAUGUGAUUAUGCCGGGUACAAAUUUGCAGGCAAACGUGGCUUUGCGAGUGCAACUAAUGGUUUGGCAAGUGCCAAACUAUUCUUAGACUCUGAAAGAUCAAUGCUUGUCUCAUUAGGGGGCACGCUCCAGCUAAACCCUUGAAGAAGCCUAGCAAAUAACAUAGCAGUCACUGCAGUUCCCAAUAUGAUGCCUGGACAACCUCUUCGUCCUGUACUAAAUGAAAGCAAGUUCAAAUCAGGCUGCGUCAGCAUCACUUGACAUCCAUUUUUCUUGAAAUGACGCUCUGGUUUGAACAUGUGUGGUUCAUCCCAAAUCCGGGGAUUCCGGCCGAGGCCGACUCGGCUAAGCAAGACAUGGCUACCUUUUGGAAUAAAAUAGUCAGCAACAGUUGUAUCUGCUAUGGAGACAUGAGGAACAUUGAAGAAGACAAUAGGGUGGAGGCGAAACGCUUCUUUAGCACAUGCUUUUAUGUAAUUGAGCUGUGGGAAAUCUGACUCUUGGACUAGUCUCUCCCUUCCAACAACUCUAUCCAAUUCUUCUACUGCGUUCUCAAGAAGUUUCGGUUUGUUUAUCAUCUCUGCAAGUGCCCAUUCUAAAGCAUUUGAUGGAUUAUCCACUGCUGCCAGCAUUAUUUCCUACAAAUCAAUUAUUAAAAUGCAAGAUGCAAUAAAUUUGAAUCUUAACCAACAUAUUUAAUAUAUACCAAACUGAAAAUGACGAAAUGAACUUCUUGCAAGAAAAGAACAAGCAAAUGGAAUUUUCCAUAAUUCCAUUUCAUCAAUCAGGCAGAAAAAUGUUAUAUUUGGGAUGUGUUGUAUACGUUGGACAACUUUCAUCGGAGAGAAGAAGUAAAUAAAUAUAAUAAAAACGAUACAAGUAAAAAAAUUUAUUAAAGAUUGAGAUAUAUCACGGAUAUAUAUUUCUAUAAUUAAAAUAUACAAGACACUUUAUCUCUUAACAAAAGAUAGCUUUCUACCCCUACUAAUAUUGUAAGUUAUUUAUAAUACUUAUAUGAUUUUUUAUUUAUAACUUUAAUUAUUGAUAUUCAUGACAUUUAAUAAUCUAAUCUUUCAUAUAGUUAGAGCUCUUUAACAACUAAUCAUUCUUAAAACAAUAAUAUCAAAUAUUGAAGUUUACAUUUUCAAUAGUAUGCAUGUGCGAUAGAGUGAGAGAGACAGAGCUUACAGUAAUCUGAGCUUUAAUCUCUUCUGUUGACAGCAAAGAGUUGCCAUUGGCAUCUUCUAAAUUUAUGAAAACGUCAAGCAAGUCGUCCACUUCCUUCUUAGUGCCAUCCCUCCAUUGUUUGACCCUCGCUUCAAUUAUGGGAUCUUGAUAUUUUUUUAUGAUUCCAAUAGCAUCCUUCAUGAUCUUCUCAUGACCAUCCAAGUCAAGCCCUAUCAAGCAUGGCAUAUAAUCAGACACACAAAAUGCAUAGGUAUGAGCAAGGGCUGUUAAAAUCGCAUCAACAUGCUCUUUUUCCUCGACACCAGGCCCUCCGUCCUUCAUUCCCUCCCCGAAGAACCUUUUGUUAAACACCAUCUUCCUUAUUACAUUUCCACAAUAGUGCCGUCCUGUGAUUCUCACGUCAACUGAUCCACCUUCCUCGGCAGUCUUGCAUUGGUUAUACACAUAACGAACAAGGUGAUCAGCUUCUUCAAGUCUUUUUCCGUAAAACCACUUGCAUUUUUCGGCAGAAAGAAAUUGCGUUACCAGCACUCUCCUCAUUUUCUUCCAUUGUUCUCCUAAGGGCACAAGACCUGUUGUCAAAUAACCUCUUGCAGUGAGAUCGGUGGACAUGGUUAACGGCCUGCUUGCAAAGACAGCAUCCUGUACUUUCAAGAAUUCACGGCUAAUCUCAGGAGAAGUGACAGGAAUCACAUGAACGUUUCCAAGACGGAUACAAGCAAUUUCAGUGUUCAUUUCUUCCAUGAGCUUGUGUAUCCAUCGAAUGGUCGGCUUAUUUGCCAGCAUCGUUGGCAGGCAUCCGACAAGAGGCCAAGGUUUUGGGCCAGGAGGUAGUGGGAGUUGCUUGGCGUUUUGGCUUUCUAGCUUUUGGAAUUUGGUCAAGUAAAUUAAGGCCAACGCCAAGAGAAGAACUAGGGAACAGGAGUUCAACAAUGUUCCGAGAAAGCUAAUGCCAAUUCCUGCAAAAUCUGGUGUGCAAUGAAGAGAAGCUAGCCUAGUGCAAGAUAUUACAGAGAUAGCGUUCUGCAUGGCCACAAAACUGUCCAUCGACAUGCUGCUUAUAAUUUACUAGAACUGGAAAGCUUGCAUGCUUUGCAGGAUGCUGUUUCUAGCAAACUCUCAGCUCUUUUAUCUCAUUUGAUUUUUUCUUUUCCUUCUUUUUUUGUUUACACAAUGUAAUAAUUAACCCUAUAACCUCUCCCAUUUAUAGGGCUGAAUCCAAAAUCUACGAUGUAAUUCAAUAUAGCAAUGCAAUAGAAUGUUUGUUACAUCUGAAUAAUACAGGACGAGGGAUCCGUAUUUAUGCAUUUAUUUAUACUGUAUAUACCAUAUAUUUUUGCUUUUAUUUAUACAUUUAUCCAAAUCAUAAGUUAACUAUAUACUAAAUCUUCUUCUAUACAUUUAUACAUACCAUUUACACAUUAUGGAAUUCAAGUUUAAUUUGGCCAUACAACAUAUAUGUUAUUUGUCUGUUUAACUUUUUGUAACACCCUAUUUCUCCUUAUUAUUAUUUUAUUUUAUUUUAUUUCAAAUUAUCUAAGGUAUCAUUUUUAUUUCCUUAUCAUUUCAUAACUAACUUCAUUUAUGCAUUCAUGUAUAUACAUGCUAGAGCUAUUUUCGUAAUAUGAUCCCCUUUAACAAGCGAUCAAAAUUAAGUUAAAACGAGCUAAAGAUAUGAAAAAAUAACGGAUGAGAUGGAAUAAAAGGAUUGCAGAGUGGCAAUUUUAAGUCCAAAGUUUUUUUAUCUAAAUUUGAUAUAUGUCUUUUCUUAUAUAUUAAACCGGUAGAUAAUAUUUAUUAGUUUUAAAUAAUAAAGUAUAUGUCAAUCAUUAAAUACCAAAGUAUAAAACACUCAUUAAUAUAUAUCACUCUUCUAUUAGUUAUAGUAUAUAUACUGUGCAACGAUUUCGGCAUGACCAGCUCCCAUAGUUAAAGGGAUUAACCUAUAAGUAGUGCCUAGCUAUCUCUCCAUUCAAUAUAGCAACGAAAUACAAUAUGUAUAAUCAUCGACAAUGCUUGUUCAUCGAAAUCUCCAAUUCUUCUUUAAAUAUUUACCGGACUCACUUGCAUAAAUGUGAACCCAUUCAACAUCACAAAUGAACAUGAAUAAUUGGGGCAAUGGGGACAGUUGCCCCCACCGCUCUAUCAUAUAUAUAUAUAUAUAUAUAUAUAUAUAUAUAUAUAUAUAUAUAGGUAAAGGUUUUUUUUUUUUUUGCCCGACUAUGAUUCUUCUUGCUACGAAGAAAUAUUGGUCCAUUGAUGAUUUGAAAUUCUCAUUUGCCUUAAAUAGGUGUUUUCAUUUUUUUUUAUACUUUCUUUUUUUAUAAAAACAAAAUUAUGUUAGAGAUCUCAUAUUAUUAAAAAAAAAAAGAGAUAAUAAUAAUUUAUAAAAAUGAAGGUCUAACUAAUAAAAAGAUUAGUUCUAGUCAUUUUAAUAUUAGUCUGACUCAAAUUCAAAUUUAUUAAUUGGCUUCUGCACUCUAUGAUUUAUUUAACUCCCAUCUAAUUAAAUAAAUUUAAAUUAUAAUAUUCUAUUAGAGCAGGUUUGUCUAAUUUCUUAAUUUUCUAACUUUUUAUCUGAAUGUCUAAUUUAACGAUCCGGUCCGAUGUUGCCGCUCUCUUUCAAUUCAAUUCAAAUUUUAAAGAAGUGAUUUCAAUUUCAAGUGACAACUAGAUGUCACAGUCAAAUAUCUGUUGUAUUUGAAGGGGAGUAUUAGAAAUCUCACAUUAUUAAAGAAUAAGAGAUAACAAUAAUUCAUAAAGAUGGACCAAAGUUACUAGUUCUUGUGAUUUUAGUAUUAGUUGGACCAAACACAAAUCCUUGGGUUUUUUUUUUUUUUUUUUUUUUUGUCUUAGGUUGGUAUAUUUUUCAUGGUAUGCUCCAUAAAGGAAUUGGCGAGGCUUAAGACUUUGUUGUCUUCUAGAUGAUUUAGCAAGCUUAGUGCAUCAUUCAUCAAUAUAUACAUUGUGAAUCAAUAUUUUUUAUUACAAAAUACGUACUAUAAAACUAAAAAAGAUAAAAUAAGCAGAGUUUGAAAAAUUACAUAUAUUUAGUAUUUUUAAUUUUAAAACAUGUAAGAUAUGUUAUAUAUUAUAUUUUAAGAUUUUAUUGAUAUUUUUAUUAUUUUAAAAUUUAAAAUAUUUCUUUGAAUACCUUAUGUCUUUCCAGCUUUAUCUAUUGUUAAUGCAUUUUAAAUACAAAUUAUUUUAAUUUAUUAUGAAUGAAAUAUCUCAAUAUAGAAAAGUUUGCCCCCUAAAAUCUUUUUUUCUGGCUCCAAUUUAUUUUAAUUUGUGGAAAAUGAAAGAGAAAACUUUAAAAAUAUUUAUAUUAUUACUUAGCAAUCAAUUAGUUGCUACAACAGAAUAAUACAGGACGAGGGAUCUGUACUUUAUACUAAUAAUUUAAUACCUGUAUUGAUUAUACUAUUAAAAGCAUAAGUUAACUUUUUACUAAAUCUUCUUUCUAUAACAUUUAGUUAUGGAAUUCAUAACUAACCUCAUUUAUCUCUUUUACUUUUUGCCACGCAGCAGUUAUUUUAUUUGUCUAUUUUACUUCUUGUAACACCCAUAACUUUUUAUUAUUAUUUUAUUUUAUUUCAAAUUAUUUAAGGUAUUAUUUUUAUUUUCUUUUGAUUUCAUAACUAAACUCAUUUAUCCAACCAGAUGUGGUUGAACUAGUCCAUCUUUGUUAUUCUUAUAGCUUAAUGGAUUGAGAUUUACAUUACUAUAUAUUCUACGGUUUGAAAAAAAAAAUAAAAAAUUAAAUAGUUGGCCUAAUUUGAGCUAAGGUUGAGCAUGGAUUUCGGUAAUUCACGCCUGAAUCAAAUAAUUAUACCAGAAAAUAUAAAAAUUGAAAUAAUCAAAAUUUUUUAUAACCGAAUUGAACUGAUCCGAAUUUUUACUAUUACGGUAUAGUACUGAUUCUUUAGUAAAAAAUUUAUACUAUAACCGUACCAGAACCGAUCCGUAUUGUACUGAUCCAAACCAAACCGUAGAACUGAAUUUUUUACAUACAUUUACUAAUAAUUAUUUAUAUUAUAUAAAUAAUUCCUAUUAAAAAUAACUAUAAUAUUAGAAAAUAUUUUAUACUCUAUAAAAAAUUAUUUUAUAUUUAUGAUUUUAUAUAAUUCAAGCAAUUAUUAUUGAAAUAAGGAAAAAAUUUAUUUUCUUUACAUAAUAAGAAAAGGAAAGGAACAUAAAAAAGAGUCAAUUUUGCUUCGCGUUCAAUAAUUGACAAUAAAUAAAAAGAUAUUUAUUUUCAUCUAAAACUCUUCUUUUUAUACUUCUCAUAUACUAACAAAUAAAAAAUAAAUAAAAAACAAAGCCCUCUUUUGUAUCACCUUUUUUAUAUGUAUAAAUAAUCAUUCAAAGAUUUUCACUAUCCAAUUUUCUGUUUCCUACAGGUAAGAACACUUCUCUAUUUUUACUUUUGUUUUUACUUCUAAUUUGUCUCUUACUUUUGUUUUUAUUUCUAAAUUUCAAUGCUUUAUAUUAUUUCUUUAAUAUUGUCUAUGAGUAAGCAAAGUCUGGUAUUUUGGUUAUAUAUGGAUUUCUAUUUCUGUUUCAUUUUUUUUUUUAGUUGAAAUUUUGAAGAUUGUUUCAAAUUGCGUUUAUGUUUGUCGGUUUGUCAACUUUCACUAUUUUAGAUUGUUUAUUUGAAUUUUCUAACUAAAUUCUUUAGCUACAUUUAUUAAUAAUUAUUUAUAUAUAAAAACAAUACCUAUUAAAAAUAAAUAUAAUAUUAUAAUAUACUUUAUACUCUAUAAAAAAUAUAAGUUAUAUAUAUUAAUAUAUUAUAUAAUGUAGUAAUACUAGUAUACAUACUACAAUACUAAAUUUGUAAUUUACUAUCUACUAACUUAAAUCCUAAUACUUUUUUUACUUACCACAUACUACAACAGCCACCGCCGCACCUAUAUUGUUUUGGACUUAUAUUUUAGUGCUACAUAAAGUUUGUAAAUUUAUUCUUUUUAAUGAUUGUUGUCUGCAAAAUAUUUUUACGGUAGCAGUAUCAAAUACAUUUGAACAUUGAAUGAAUUAUUAUACUUGCAAGUGACUGAAUUGCAAAACAGAUUGUUUAAGAAUGUGAUUAUAAUUCUAAUUCAGAUUUUCAUGCUUUUUUUUUAGGUUGGUAAUUAUAUUUUCUCUAAACGUAUUUGAUUAAAUAUGAGAUUUAAAGUAAUGCUUUUUUAAUUUUUUAGAACUGAAAAUAGCACCGAACUGAAUUGUAUUCAACCGUAAAAAUUAAAAUAAUACUGUACGGGUGCAUUUACAUUUGGUACGGUAUUCAUACCUUCAAUUUUAAAAAAACUGAGAUUUUGUAUGGUGCUGAUGAUUUAUAGAUAAUCGAAUUAGACCGAUUCAUGCUCAGCUCUAAUUUGGGCAGGGUCAUUACAUGCCAACGCGCUGAAGGAGAGAGAUUCCGUGAUUGGAAGUUUUAGUCACUAAAACUUUGGCUCCUCUAUUGACAGCCCACAACCACUGUCUGCCGUCACUGUUGCUAUCGCUGAAUUCAUCGACAACUCUUCUACCCUCUUUCUCUUCCCUAGCUGCAGCCUCGAACAACAACCUUCCUUCCUCUCCCUACUAGUCGUUUCCUUUUAUUCUUCUUCUUGUUUCACUUACCCCUAGUUAUUUACCCUUAAACCACCAACUUGCUUUAUCCUUUCAAUAAAGCCACUAAUUUUUUAUAUUUGGGAUAGAUUAGAAUCAUUAAAAUAUAUUUUUUUAAGUUUUGCGUGAUAUUUUUGCAUCUCAAUCCAAUAUUUAAAAUCAAACUUUUAUUUUAACCUCCUUUAUAUAAAUAAAUAUUAGUUUAAUCCUUUGGUUAAUUUACUAAGUCAAAUACAUUAAAAUCUAAAUACUCAAAUUAUUACUAUUACAUAACACUAUAAAUACUAAACUAAAUCCGUUAUUAAGCCCUGUAGUUUUAUAUUAUUUAUUUAAAUAAUAAAACUUACAUAAAUCAAAUAAAUAAAGCCAAUAAAUAUCACAUUAUUAUUAAUAAUAAAGUUAAAUCUUUAAAUAGCACCUUUAAUUAUAGGUCACUUUAUUCAAAAUCAUAAUCAUAUGCUCAUUACUAGAAUAUAUUAUAUGUGUAUUACUUGAAUAAUAUGAUAUCAUUAUUAUCAUUAUUAUUCUGCCUCUAAUUUAUAUGUGCUAAUCUAUUAUUUAUUUUCAAGGAUUAAAUCGUAUAUAUUAAUCCUAAAGAAACUUAGAAUGUUAUAUAUUAUAUAGGUCACACUUAUAAAUUUAAUUUAACAAUAUAUAUAUAUAUCUCAAUAUUAGUAAAAUAUAAAGAUUGGAUAUUCCUUCCCCAUUUCUAAUGAGAAACUUCAUCCACUUGUAAUGGGAAAAAUAAAUAUUAUGUGAUUCUUAAGGAUUUAAGGCCCAGUUAUCACGAAUCAAGAAGGAGCCAUGAGACCUAAGGCUUGGUCUUGGUCUUGUCCUCUAUUGACCAAUCAUUCACCCCAAUUUAAGCACUUGGCACGAGCCAUGGGACAUAAAGCUUGGUCUUGGUUUUGUCCUCUAUUCAUCAAUCAUUCACCCCAAUUUAAGUACUUGGCACGAGCCAUGAGACAUAAGGCUUGGUAGUGGUCUUGUCCUCUAUUUAUCAAUCAUUUCCCCCAAUUUAAGCACUUCGCACGUUAUUAUUUGAAAGAAAGAAAAAAAUAAAUUGUACGUUUUCGUGUAAGAAAUAACAACCAAGUAUUUAAGGGUGACCUGAUCCAUAGAGAUAACAGCUCUACAAGUAUCUUCUGCUUUAUUGAUAUGUACAAAAAAUUAUUUUCAAAUUUUUAAUGUAAUAUAUUAAUAAAAUAAAAUAAAAUAUGUGAUUACAAUUAUGAAAAGAAAAUUUAUUGUUAAAACAUUUUAAUUUUUAAAAAUCUAAAUAUAUUUAUUACAAUUAACAUGUUAUUUGAAUUCAAUAAUAUAAAUUUAGAAUUUAAGUUCAUAAUUUCUUUUUUUGACCAUUAAAUCAUAUAUUCAAUGAUUUGAUGAAAUCGAUUUAAUAGUCAAAUAAUAAAAUUAGGAAUUGUUAAAUUUUAAAUUUUUUUUAUCAAAUACGAGCAGCAUAAUAAUGAUAAUUAAAUACAUUUUUUCUUCAUGAUUUAUAAUUAUAUAUCUUUUUGUCUUAAAAACACAUACUAGUAGUUAUAAACUAAUGAAACUAUAUGGUAUUUUUUUGUACUUAUUUUUUUAUUUUAUUGAAUUGUGAAGUAUAAUAAUAUGAGAUUUUAUUGGGUAAAUAGUUCUAUUGAUACUAAGAUUUUGGUCUAUGUUUUUAGUUGGUAUCAAUAUUUUAAGUUUUCUCUUUUUCAUACCAAAAUUUUAAUUUCCAUUAUAGACAAUGGUGUCUAUUCAAAAUCUGUUUAAUUUCUUAUGAUGUAAAGGGCGGAGCUCCACAUCAGCAUCCCAAGCAUUUCAAUCUAACUUCUAAUGGUGCCAUUCUCAAUUAUUAUUUCAUUUUAUUUUUCAAAUUACUUUUAUAAAGAACAAGUAAAUUGAUUGAUAUAAUUUUUUUCAAAAGCAAUGAAAGAAAUAGUUUAUAAAAAAUUUUAAAAAUUAAUAUUUUAAAUAAAAAAAUUAUAGAUCUGCUUUUCUAAUACCCAACAGCAAAAUCAGACAUACCCUAAAUGUCCUGCAUAAACUUUGAUGGAUAAAAAAAAGAUGAAUAAAUAUCAGAAGAUAAAUAAAUAACAAGGUGGAACAUAUAAGGUUUUAAAUAUAUUAUGUACUAAAAAAUAUAAUCCUUAAUUAUUUCAUUCACUUAUCAAAUAAAGUUAUCUUCAAGCAAAAUUAUGACUAAUAAAUCCAAAAUCAAAAUAAAAUCAAACAUAAUAAUACAUAAUAAUAGAUUUAUCCUACUAACUAGCAAUUCUGGUUGCAAUGGCAUUUUUUACCCGGUGUAAUUCUAGUCAUACAUAUGUAGACAAUAUGCCCCAAAAGACAACCACUUAGUAUACAUCUUAAGCAAUACAUAUAUAUUCCAUGUUGUCCAAAAGACAGUAUAUUUUAUUUGACACCUAAUAUUUAAGGUGUAAUAUCUUAGAUCACAUAAAUAAAUAUAUACACAUUUAUCCGGUUAAAAAAGAUUAUAUGCAUAUAUUAAGAAAAACUAAAAGUAUCAUUCUUCAAUUCCAAUUUCUAUAGAGAAUAAUUAAAUUAUAAAUCACCUUUACAUAAAUGAUUUUUAAGAAAAACAUUUCAUGAAAUCAUAAGUAUAUAAAUAGUAGAGUAAAAAAAAUAUAAUGUCAUAAUUUUAUCAACUCCCCUAAGAUACAGGACUCUUAAUCGAAUCCUCAAUCGAACUAUAAUCUUGCAUAAUCUGCUAACUUCAAACAGUUAUUUAAGCAUUUAACUCUAUAAAUCACGUACAGAUAUAAUCUGGAAAUAAUUGUAACCUUUUUUUGCUAACAAUGCUUAUCUAAUCUCUAGUAUCUAAUAUCUAAUAUCUCCUUCUUGGCAAUCAUUAAUUUUUAUAAUUAACUUAGUCAAUUAUCUUAAUAACUAAUCCACAUUAUCCACUAUUAGACUUCAACUUUUAAUUAAUAGGAGUAUUAACAAUAAUAAUAAUAAUAAUAAUAUCACAUUAUCGUAACAUCAAUUAUCAACCAAUAUUUAUAUAUAAUUAAAUACCUCAAUUCCUAACUAUAAGAUCUAUAGUUAUUUAUUUAAUUAUAUAUAAUUAUUGGUUGAUAAUUGAUGAUAUGAUAAAGUGAUUUGUUACUAAAAUUUUUAAUACUCUUACUAAUUAAAUGGUGAAGAUUAAUCGGUGGAUUAGGUGGUAUACCAAGUAACGGAUUGGACUCUAAGACUAUCAUGACAGAAGAAAGUGCAGCGGAGUGGGCUGUAGACAUGGCAAGGAAUGACAGGGGUACACCAAGUAGAGGAUCCUGCAUGGUUGGAGGGGGGCGGGUUUGGCCUCCUAGAUUUUCUUUUUAAAAUAAGAUUUGAUCGGAUAAUAUCUGCUAUAUUUAUUUUAUAUAUUUUAUAUUAAAAUUAUAUUUUUAUUAAUUUUUUAAAUAUAUUUAUUUAAUAUAUUAAUUAUUAUUAUAACUUUUUAAAAGAAUAAAAUCUAGAUUUAAAUUAUUUUUAUUUUUUUAAAGUUAUAUUUAUUUGUUUAUAAUUUAUAAAUAGAAUAUAUAUUUAUAUAUUUUAUGUAUAAUUCAUAAUAAAUUAUAAGACGGAAAGGGGCAGAGUGGCUUAAACCCAUUUCUCCCCGUCAUUAGUAGCAGAGCAGAUAUUUCCCGCUCCAGUAAGAUCAGGUUAUGAGUUUAUUCACAGGUACGGAGCAAAUUGCCAUCUUUAAGCCCCUCUGGAUGGAUCUUUCAAAUCAAUACCGAUGCUGCUCUUGCAAAACCAACUCAAGGUCUCUCUGGUCUUGGUCUUAUGGUUCGUGACAGUCCAGGGAAAUUUUUAGCAGCUGGUUCUCAUCAUAUAACUCAGCUCCUUCCAGUUGAUAUUGUUGAAGCAAUGGCUGUAAAGGAAGGCAUUAUUUUAGCUGCUCAUGUUAACUGCUUAUCAGCGAUUGUUGCAUCUGACUCGUCUGAGAUCGUUAAGCUGAUACACUCGGAUAUCCCGAUACUGGCUGAAUUGGAUCUAUUAUCUCUGAAGUGAAGGAAUUGCUGGAUGCCCACCCCAAUUCUGUAGCUCACCACCUUGCUAAGCUGGGCCUAUCCUAUUCUUCAAACAGAACCUGUAUUGUUGGCGAUCCUGCUUGCAUUCAAUACGCUGUGCAACAUGAUUUCCAGCUCUCUUUGGAAUGUUUUCCAAUUCAAAAAGAAUAAUAAAUGAUUUUUUUUAUAUAUUUAUUUAAUCUCCUUGAUUUUAAUCAUCGAAUUCUUGACAUGGGCCGUCUCUUUAAUUAUCAGCAAUAUAUACUUAGAGGUGGCAAAUGGAUAGUAUGGAUAGGCUUGAGUUGAAUAUCAAGAGAAUGAUCUUAAAUAACCCAUUGAUUUAUAUAUAUGAUCCAUUUAAAGUUUAUAUGGGUAUUUAGAUUUAUAUAAUUUANNNNNNNNNNNNNNNNNNNNNNNNNNNNNNNNNNNNNNNNNNNNNNNNNNNNNNNNNNNNNNNNNNNNNNNNNNNNNNNNNNNNNNNNNNNNNNNNNNNNNNNNNNNNNNNNNNNNNNNNNNNNNNNNNNNNNNNNNNNNNNNNNNNNNNNNNNNNNNNNNNNNNNNNNNNNNNNNNNNNNNNNNNNNNNNNNNNNNNNNNNNNNNNNNNNNNNNNNNNNNNNNNNNNNNNNNNNNNNNNNNNNNNNNNNNNNNNNNNNNNNNNNNNNNNNNNNNNNNNNNNNNNNNNNNNNNNNNNNNNNNNNNNNNNNNNNNNNNNNNNNNNNNNNNNNNNNNNNNNNNNNNNNNNNNNNNNNNNNNNNNNNNNNNNNNNNNNNNNNNNNNNNNNNNNNNNNNNNNNNNNNNNNNNNNNNNNNNNNNNNNNNNNNNNNNNNNNNNNNNNNNNNNNNNNNNNNNNNNNNNNNNNNNNNNNNNNNNNNNNNNNNNNNNNNNNNNNNNNNNNNNNNNNNNNNNNNNNNNNNNNNNNNNNNNNNNNNNNNNNNNNNNNNNNNNNNNNNNNNNNNNNNNNNNNNNNNNNNNNNNNNNNNNNNNNNNNNNNNNNNNNNNNNNNNNNNNNNNNNNNNNNNNNNNNNNNNNNNNNNNNNNNNNNNNNNNNNNNNNNNNNNNNNNNNNNNNNNNNNNNNNNNNNNNNNNNNNNNNNNNNNNNNNNNNNNNNNNNNNNNNNNNNNNNNNNNNNNNNNNNNNNNNNNNNNNNNNNNNNNNNNNNNNNNNNNNNNNNNNNNNNNNNNNNNNNNNNNNNNNNNNNNNNNNNNNNNNNNNNNNNNNNNNNNNNNNNNNNNNNNNNNNNNNNNNNNNNNNNNNNNNNNNNNNNNNNNNNNNNNNNNNNNNNNNNNNNNNNNNNNNNNNNNNNNNNNNNNNNNNNNNNNNNNNNNNNNNNNNNNNNNNNNNNNNNNNNNNNNNNNNNNNNNNNNNNNNNNNNNNNNNNNNNNNNNNNNNNNNNNNNNNNNNNNNNNNNNNNNNNNNNNNNNNNNNNNNNNNNNNNNNNNNNNNNNNNNNNNNNNNNNNNNNNNNNNNNNNNNNNNNNNNNNNNNNNNNNNNNNNNNNNNNNNNNNNNNNNNNNNNNNNNNNNNNNNNNNNNNNNNNNNNNNNNNNNNNNNNNNNNNNNNNNNNNNNNNNNNNNNNNNNNNNNNNNNNNNNNNNNNNNNNNNNNNNNNNNNNNNNNNNNNNNNNNNNNNNNNNNNNNNNNNNNNNNNNNNNNNNNNNNNNNNNNNNNNNNNNNNNNNNNNNNNNNNNNNNNNNNNNNNNNNNNNNNNNNNNNNNNNNNNNNNNNNNNNNNNNNNNNNNNNNNNNNNNNNNNNNNNNNNNNNNNNNNNNNNNNNNNNNNNNNNNNNNNNNNNNNNNNNNNNNNNNNNNNNNNNNNCUGAAAAGAAUCUUUACAAGAAGUAGAGCAGUUAAACAAGGAGAGCAUCAUUCUAUUAUUCUUCUCUCUGUAAAUUCUCUAUAGUUCGUCUUCUACAACAUUUAGUUAGUUUUGCAUUAUUCUUUCAAAGAUCAUAUAAGUUUUUCAGGACGUGGAGAGUGAGGAUCAAUCUUCUUCAUCCCUUGAAGAACUUCUGGAUUUUAAGAGAGCUUUAAUUCUUUGUUUUGUAUUUCUUAUAUCUUUCUAUUUAAUUACAAGAACCGUUGAAUUAAAUAUGUCAGGCUAAGUUCCAUAAGUGUUUAGUUUGACUUUCUACUUAUGUAUGAAUCUUAUAUAUUAUGAGUUUAAAAAAUAAAUUCUUUACCUUCAUACAUGUAUUAGUUUCAUCUACUAUUGUUGAUUGACCAUUAAAUCAAUUUUAAUAGUAAUAAUGUGUUAUGAAAAUCUUUAGGUUAAAAGUAUUAGAAAUAUCAUUUUUACUUUAAUCUAUGUUGGUAUAAGAAACCUAGAUUGCAUCAUUAGCUUGAGUGACUUAGGGAAAAGGUACAUUACCAUCUCAUUCAUUAGAUUUGGACCUAAAGGAAAAUAAAGGGAUUACUAAGUAUAAGCUAGACUAAACACUAAUUUAUCAUAUACAUUAAAUAAUUUAUUUACAUAUUUAUUUUCUAUUUUAUUUAAUUUCUUUUAUAAACCUCCAAAACUAUUAUCAAAACAUUGGCUUAGAGUGUUUAGAUUUAUAUUUAGAUAAUUUUGUAUGAUAGUUGGUCUUUAUAAUAUAUGCUCUACGGGUGAUUCAUCAACUCAAAAUACCUACAACUUGAGAUCAGCUGUUAAAAAGGCAGAAGGAGACCAAGAAGUAGAGAGUGAGUUUGUACCUCUAAGAGAAAAAUAAUUUGAAGAAAAGCUAGAACAAGGAUUUGAAGAAGAGAUUGAAAUAAUGGCUAAUGACCAAAAGAGAAGUUGCAGCUUAAAGGCAAAUGGCUAUGAAAGAUUAUGCUAAUCCCAUAACUGGUAACACUACUUCAUGCAUAAUUUUAAGUGAUGCAUUUAAGAAUUAUAAACUUAAAAACAUUCAUUUUAAAAUUGAUUCCUUCAUUCUAUGGUAUGCCUAGUGAAGGUGAAUUAAUAUUUGUUUAGAAAUUUUAUGCUAUAGUUCAUAUAUUCCAUUAUCUAGACUAAAUAAAUACGAACUAAGCAUGAGAUGUUUUCCUUACUCAUUAAAAGAGAAAGCAAAGACUUGGUUAAUGACCUUGCUUUCUAAUUCUCUGAGAAUUUGAGAUGAAGUUUAUCAAAAAUUUAUGAGUAAAUUUUACUCAUCAAAAUACCAAAGAGUUAAGGGCUGAAAUUUCCAACUUUUAUCAAAAGGAUACUGAAUCCUUUCAUAAAGCAUGAGAUCGCUUCAAAUCACUUUUACUGCAAUGCCCACACCAUGGAUACCCACUUCCUGUGACUGACAAAUUAUUCUAUGAUGGUUUAACAUAACAAUAUCAAUAUAUGGUUGAUAAUGUAGCUGGGAGUGCUAUGUUAGAAAAAACUGUUGAUGAGGUUUAUGAUAUCUUUGAGAUGUUAGGAGCCAAUUCACAAUAAAAGAGUGUGAAAACAAAAAGAUUAGGAGGGAAUGAAGUUGUGUCUAAUAAUGAGAUGGCUAUACAAAUAGCUGAAUUAACUAAAUAAGUUAAAGAUACUUACUUCAGUUAGGAAUGUACCAAGUAUUGAGGUAUGUGGUGUUUAUGGUCAUGGUGCUAAUGUUUACUCAUCUUAUGAGAUUUAUGCAGAAGUAAUUAUGAACAAGUUAAUGAUAGNNNAAAAUAAAUUACUGAUUUUUCUAAACUAAUUUGUAGAAAUAGUGAAACCAGGUCGAAUCCCAAGGGAACCAGUGUGGAUAGUUUCUCAAAGUAAAAUAAAAGGAGGGAUUUUAAAUGUUUGAAUCAAAAUUAUAAAUAAAUAGAAAAUAAUGAAGGCUGAAUAUUAGAGUAAAUAAAAAUCAAUUUUAACAAACUUUCAAUUCAAGAGUGCUAAUUUCAUCUAAUUAUAAUCAUGAUCAUGAGCUAAAAUAUCAAUUCUUCUAUUUAAGUACUUAGUCUACUUAUUCGAAGAAGCUGCAAUAAGUAUAAUUCUCCUAAUAUAAUUGACUCAAAUCCAACAUCCAAAUCAAAACUCACCAUUGGUCAACUAGGCACGAUAGCAUUCCAUAUCAACUUAAUGAUAGCACUAAGAACAAUGAGAAUGACUAAACCAACAUUAAUUAAUUGAGAUAACUGCAAUUGAAUUAACCAUAUUCCUUUAUUUCCCUAGAGUCUAUCAUGCAAGCUAAACAAUUCGAAUAAGCCGCAAUCACACACACAUGAGUCAUCUCCUUGCUACUUGUGUCAAUCGUUCAUGACAAUUACGGAUCACAAACUCAAAGUUUAGCAAUAGAAAAAUCAAUAUCAAAGUCGAGUCGUCAGUUCAAUCACUAACAUUUUAUCCGAAUCCAAGCUUCUAAUUUCCACUUCUAAAUUAGAUUGUGCAUCUAAUUCUUGCUCAUCACUAAUAUUUUCUUUUGCAAAUACUUCCUGCACAAUUGGAUUAAUUACAUCAAUAUGGCAAAGAGAAUGUAAAUUAUUAGGAUAUUUCAUUAUAACAAAAAUAUUAAAUUUAACAAUCUCUCCAUCAAACUCUACGGAGAGAGUACCCUUAUCUACAUUAAUCUUUGUCUUAGCAGUUUUCAUGAAUGGUCGUCCUAAUAAAAUCGAAGCUGAUUUUAAUAAGGAAUCGAUCUAUUUCCAAAAUGUAAAAGUCGACAGAAAAUAUAAGCUCAUUAACCUGCACCAAAACAUCUUCAACAACUCCAAGGAGAUGAAUAUAAGAGUGAUCAGUUAAUUGAAUCAUUACACCAGUCUUUUGCAAGUUAUUUAGUUUCAACUCUUUAUAGAUAGAAAAUGGCAUGACAUUAAUGGAAGCUCCUAAAUCUAACAUGGCAUAGCUUAAUUUUCGUAUUACUAAUAACACAAGGUAAUGAAAACAUACUUGGAUCCUUGUAUUUUUCUGGCAUAUUCUUUUAUAAGAUGGCCGACACAUUCUUACUUACCACCACUUUCUCCUUCUCCUUCAUCCUUCUUUUGUUUGUGCACAAUUCCUUCAAGAACUUUACUUAUUUAGGAAUUUUCUUGAUAGCAUCCAACAAUGGAAUAUUUAUCUCCAUAUUUCUAAAUAUAUCUAAGAUCUCCUUUUCUUGCUCAUCUUCUUUUGGCUUAGCUAAUCUGCUAGAAAAAGGAGGUAAUGGAGUGUGAAAUUAAAGAGAUAGAGGAGGAUCGAAUUUUACCCCACGUGAUGCUUUAGAGGAAGCUUCUUCUUCCUUUUCCUUGCUCGGUUCACUUUUCUUAAGUGGAAUCGACCCUAAAGGAAUCUCCUUUCCAUUUCUUAGAAAAAUUGCACUAACAUUCUCCUUUGGAUUUAUCUCUGGUUAUGAAGGUAGUUUUCCAGAAUUUUGAGCCUCCAAUUUACUAACCGAUAUAGCCAAUUGAGUAAUUUGAUUGCCUAAAUUCUAAAUGUUUGACCUUGUUUCCUGUUGAAAUUGAAGAGUUAGUUAGCAAGAUUUUUAACAAUAUCUUACAAAGACAUACCUGAAUUUGAAGCUUGAGGUUUUUGGAGAACUUGAGGUAGUCUAAUGAAAUUCUGGGAAGGAUAAUUUUGUUGUCCUUCUUAGUUUCCAUAGCUCAAAUUCUGGUGAUGUCUCCAUCCAGGAUUAUAAUGAUUGGAAAAAGGGUCAUACUUCCUUUGAGGUUGACCGGUAAAUCUACCUAGAGCAUUAGCCUCUUGCAUCGAGUCUUGUUGCAAUGUUGGGCACAUAUCGGUGGGAUAUCCUUGAACUGAGCAUAUUCCGUAAACUUUUACUAUUUGCAAUUGCCCUACAAUCAUUUGACGAACCAAAGCAGUUAAAUCAGAAAUUUAAUUUUUAAAAUUUUUAGUGCUUACGUCAUUAACUCGCCUUGUAGCUCCAUCAGCUCUUAUACCAAAUUGCUGAGAAUUUUCAGCCAUGUUUGAAAUCAAUUGCUUGGCUUCUUCAGGUGUCUUGUCUACCAAAGCUCCACCACUUGCUGCAUCAAUCAUACUCCUAUCCAUUGACAAUAAACCUUCAUAGAAGUAUUGGAUUAAGAGUUGCUGAGAAAUUUAAUGAUAGGGACAGCUAGCACACAGUUGCUUGAACCUUUCUCAAUACUCAUACAAUGUUUCUCCAGUGAACUAUGUUAUGCCACAAAUUUCUUUUCUGAUGUUGGCAGCUCUUGUUGCAGGAAAAAACUUAUCUAAGAACAAUCUUUUCAUCUUAUUGCAUGUUGUUAUUGAAUCAGAGGGUAGAUAAUAGAGCCAAUCUUUUGCUUUAUCCUUCAAAGAAAAGGAAAAAGCUCUAAGAUUUAUUUGCUCUUCUGCCACAGCAUGUGGCUUCAUUCAAAAGUAUACAAUAUGGAAAUUUUUCAAGUGUUUAUGAGGAUCUUCACCUGCACAUCCAUAAAAAGAAGGGAGUAAGUGAAUUAAGUCAGAUUUUAAUUCAAAAUCAACUGCAAUAUUAGAAAAUGUAAUGCAUAAAGGUUGUUGAUUCAAAUCUGGCACGGCUAGCUCUUUGAGAGUUCUGUUCUCCAUAUUUUCUACAACUUCAUGAAAAAUAGAUGUGUCACCAAUAGCCAAAUCUAUUUCCAACUCCUCUGUGAGACAACUUUUUCUUUGUCUAGUCUCCUUUCUUAAUUGACGCGAUGUCUUCUCAAUUUCAGGAUUAAACUGCAAAUCAAUAUCUUGAGAAGAACGAGUAAUAAAUAAAUAAGUUAAUCAAUGAGAAACUAAAAUAGGUUCUCCGGCAACGGCGCCAAAUUUGAAUGGGUUGUCGAAGCCCUUCAAAAUAAAUUACUGAUUUUCCUAAACUAACUUGUAGAAAUAGUGAAACCAGGUCGAAUCCCAAGGGAACCAAUGUGGAUAGCUUCUCAAAGUAAAAUAAAAGGUGGGAUUUUGAAUGUUUGAAUCAAAAUUAUAAAUAAACAGAAAAUAAUGAAGACUGAAUAUUAGAGUAAAAAAAUCAAUCUUAACAAAUUUCCAAUUCAAGAGUGCUAAUUCCAUCCAAUUGUAAUCAUAAUCAUAGGCUAAAAUAUCAAUUCUUCUAUUCAAAUACUUAGUCUACUUAUUCAAAAAAGCCGCAAUAAGUGUAAUUCUCCUAAUAUAAUUUACUCAAACCCAACAUCCAAAUCAAAACUUACCAUUGGUUAACUGGGCAUGAUAGCGUUUCAUAUCAACUUAAUGAUAGCACUAAGAACAAUGAGAAUGACUAAACCAACAUUAAUUAAUUGAAAUAACUGCAAUUGAAUUAACCAUAUUCCUGUAUUUCCCUAGAGCCUAUCAUGCAAGCUAUGUAAUUCGAAUAAGCCGUAAUCACACACACAUGAGCCAGCUCCUUGCUACUUGUGUCAAUCGUUUAUGACAAUUACGGAUCACAAACUCAAAAGUUUAGCAAUAGAAAAAUCAAUAUCAAAAUUGAGUCGUCAAUUCAAUCAAUAUCAAUAAUUCAUAAAUAAUAAGAAUAAGAAAUAAAGAAUACUUGAAUUGAAGAAGAAUUCUGUUAAACACAAAGCCUCACAAAAUCAUAAUUGGAAUUUAUUCAUUCUUGAAUUAGAAACUAAAAACUUUGCCACUCAUGGUGGAGUAAGAAUUCACAAGAAUUGCAGAGAGUAGAAGAAGGAUAAGAAUACGAAUAAUAAUCCCAAAGUACUCAGAGUAAUCUAAAUAUAUUAAAAUUCUAAAUACAUGGGAGAAAGUUUUCUUUAUCCAGCACUUCCAAAAAUAGAGAAAAUUAUCUAAAGAUGGGUCCACCAUGAAUUUAUCUUGAAAAAUUUGAAGCUUUCUUCUGCAGGUUCCGGUAGCUCAUGUAAGACGUGGUCACGCCUUAUUGAAAAUAAUCUUUUGUCCAAAUUUUUGCUCUUCCUCCAAAAGACUUAGUUUCUGACAAGUGAUGCCUUAAAAUAUGUCUUUAGGCUGAAUUUCACUCAAUUCUUGAUAUUUCACCGUGUAGAUCAGAAUAAAUACAAUUUUCACAAUUAAGCACAUAUCUAAUCAAAACGUAAGGGAAUUAAAUUCAAUAAGUAUAACUAUUUAUGACCUAUCAGUGAUUUAGAAAAAAGGCACAUCACUAUCUCAUUCAUUAGAUUUGGACUUAAAUGGCAAUAAGGGAUUACUAAGUAUAAGCUAUACUAAAUACUAAUUUAUCAUAUAGUUUACAUUAAACAUUUCAUUUGCAUAUUUAUUUAAUUUCUUCCAUAAACUUUCAAAACAUUUGCUUAGAGUGUUCAGAUUUAAUUUUAGGUGUUUUGUGUGAUAAUUAAUUUUUAUAAUAUAUGCUUUACAGUUUUUUUGUAAGAUCGACCUCUGAUAAAUUUACUCAUACUAUCAUUCAGUUCGUACACUUACGAAUACUAUAUUUGAAACAUCAGUCACAUUAUUCAAAAUCAUAAAUCAUAUGCCCAUUACUUGAAUAUAUGAAAUGCGUAUUACUUGAUUAAGAUGAGAUUAUUAUUAUUAUUAUUAUUAUUAUUAUUCCUCUAAUUUAUAUGUACUAAUUUAUUAUUUAUUUUUAGUAUUAAAUUGUACAAAAUAUCUAUAUAUUAAGUUGUAGAAAACUCGAGAUGUCAAAUACUAUAUGAGUUGCAUUUAUAAAUUUAAUUUGAUGAUAUAUAUAUGUUUCAAUAUAAAUAACUAUUAAGUUUGAAUUUUCCUCCCUGUUUGUCAUGAAAAACUGUCCACUUGCAAUGGCAAAAAUAAUAUUAUGUGAUUCUUAAGGAUUUAACGCCCAGUUAUCAAGAAUCAAGAGAGAGCCAUGACACAUAAGGCUUGAUCUUGGUCUUGUCCUCUACUGACCAAUCAUUCACCCCAACUGAGACAUAGGGCUUGAUACUGGUCCCGUCCUCUAUUUAUCAAUCAUAUCCCUCAAUUGAAGCACGUUGUUAUUUCGAAGAAAGAAAAAUUGUACGAUUUUGUGCAAGAAUUUACAACCAAGUAUUUAAGGGUGGCCUGAUCUAUUUAGACAACAGUCUGCCCCACCGAGAAAUACUAUCACCAAAAAGUGUAGAUUCUAGUCAUUUAUAUACAGAUAAAUGCCUCAAAAGGCAACCACUUAAUGUAUACACUGAGCUAUAUGCAUUUUCAUAAAAAAUAAUAUAUUUUAUUUGACAUCUCAUAUUUAAAAUGUGAUAUUUUAGAUCAUAUAAAUAAAUAUAUGUAUAUUUAUCCAGCUAAAGAAAAUUAUAUUUAUAUAUAAAAUAUUAAAAAUAUUAUUCUUCAUUUUCAGUUUUUACAAAGAAUAAUUAAAUUAAAAUCACCUUUAAAUAAAUAUUUUUUAUGAGAAACAAUUUAAAAGAUCAUAAUUAUAUAAAUAACAAAGUAAAGAAAAUACAAUAUUAUAAUUUUAUCCACUUUCCCCACAUGCAAGACUUUUAACCGAGUCAUCAACCAAACUAUAAGUUUACACAACCUGCUAACUUUAAAUUGUUAUUUAAACAUUUAACUCUAUUUUUAAUAAUAAUUUUAAUAUUUUUUUGCUAACAAUCCUUAUACAACUUCUAUUAUCUAUAUAAUAUCUCAUUCUUGACAAUCAUUAAUUUUUAUAAUUAACAUAAUCAUCAUCUUAAUAACUAAUCCACCUUAUCCACUAAUUACACUUCAAUUUAAUUAAUAGGAGUAUUAAAGAUAUUAAUUAUAAUAUCACAUUAACAUAUCAUUAAUUAUCAACCAAUAAUUAUAUAUAAUUAAAUAUCUCACUUACUUACAAUAAGUUUUAUAAUUUAUAUACCAUAUUCUAAACUAAUUAUCAUAAUUUAAUAAUAAAAUUCAUAACGUAGUUAAUAUUUAUUUUUCUUAUGUUCUCCAUCUGCCCACCAAUAGAUUUUAGUCCAUUUAAUCUAUAAAAGUAAUAAAUUAAUUAAUUCCUUAAUAUAAGUACUAACUAAUAUAUCUUCAAAAAUGUUAUAAUCUUUAAUUAAUAAUUAUCUAUUUAUUCUACUGAAAUUUAUAUUAACUAUGUAAAAAUUAAACAAUAUGCGUAUAUGUUAGCGGACUCGGCAUUGGUCAUUGGAGUCUGAUCGAUUAUCCAAUGAAUCUAAUAGACUCGUAAUGAUACAUAGAUCACGAAUCCAAUGUGAUCAUUUUUUCAAGUUACCAAUCAAUUUUGAAAUAGUCAAACAGUUUUAGCUAUCAAUUUUUCAAGAAAGUCAUAUCACUAUAUAACUGGUGUAAAUAGAAAAUUUAUAAGGAGAAUUUAUUGUUCUCUAGUUACCCAGAGCACGUCACAAUUAGACGAAAUCCGUUACAAAUCAAACUAGCUUUGUUUUCUCUCUCUACUGCGUCUUAUAAUCCCCAGUCAAAGUAGAGGCCGCCAUAGUCAUCACUUGAAAGCUCACUACAAGAUGAGUUCAAUGCCACUAGUUCUAAUAACUGGCCUACUAAAGGAAUGAGAUCCGCUAGUUGGAAUUUUUAAUGUUCUAAACUUACUCCUCCAUACGCUGCCCACAAUCGCCAAGUGGUAACAACAAGGUCACUCAGUGACUGUGGGCAGCAUAUGGAGGAGUAAGUUUAGGACACUAAAACUUCCAACUGGUAGAUCUCUCUCCUUUAGUCGGGCCAGCGACUGGAACUAGUGGCAUUGAACUCAUCUUGUCAUGGGCUUUCAAGUGAUGAUCAUGUUAGCCUUUACUUUGAUCGGAGAUGACGAGACUCAAUGGAGAAAGAAAACGAAGCUAGUUUGAAUUUUAACAGAUUUCAUCCAAUUCUGAUGUGCUUUGGUAAUGAAAGAACAAUAAAAUCUCCUCCUCAUAAACUUUCUAUUUACACCAGUUUUAUAGUGGUCGGACCCCUUUAACAAAUUGAUGGCAAAAAAUGUUUGACUAUUUCAGAGUUGAUCGGUAACUUGAAUGAAGGAUCACACAUUUGAUUCGUAAUCUAUGUAUCAUUACAAGUCUAUUAGUAUUAUCGAAUAAUCAAUCGGACUCCGACGACCAGCGCUGUAUCCACUAACAUAUAGUAUAUGAAUUAUAAAACUUAUAACAAGGAAUUAAAGUAUUUAGUUAUAUAUAAUUAUUAAUUGAUAAUCAAUUAUAUUGUUAAUAUUGUUAAACUCCUAUUAAUUAAAUGAGUUGAAGACUAAUUAAUGUAUAAGGUGGUACAUCGAGUAGCGGACUAGACUCUAAGACUAUCAUGAUAGAAGAAAGUAUGAAGAAAGUGUAGUGGACUCGGCUCUAGACUACCUUGCUGAAUUUAUGUGAUUCUUAAGGAUUUAAGCCAGUUAUCAAGACUCAAGAGGGAGCCAUGUAACAAUGAGUCUUGGUCUUGUCCACUAUUUAUCAAUCAUCCAUCCUCGAUCACCCUAUGUGCAGAAAUUACAUAAUUAAAUUUAUAAUUUCAUAUUUUUUGACAAUUUUAUUUAAUUAAAGUUUUUUAGUUAAAUAUCUUAAAUCUAGUUCUUUUACAUUUAAAAUAGUUGUUUGAGAGUUCAUUUAUAUAGUUCAAAAAAACGGAACACCAACCCAAUCUCAAUGAAAGUACAAGCAAGGCAACUACAUCAACAACUUCUAUUCCUGACGUGAACGGCCGCUUUCUUGAAACUAAUUCAUAGGCGCUUUCAGUUAGUUAUACUUUUUUUUCUAACUAUAUAAACAAAUAUAACAAGCGUUUGAUACAAAGCAUCAACCUACGGAAAAAUGAAUUGAUUGACUAUUGAGUAAAUUUCAUUAACACUUACAUAAAGAUAUAAAUGGUUUUAAUUAUGAAACAGCCCCAAAAUGGCAUUGCAGAACGUUUUUACACUAUUUUUCUAAUUAAAAAUAAAAAUUUUAAUAUUGCCAAUAAAUAAAAUUAUAUUAAUUAUGUAAAAAUAAUUAAGUAUCUGAAUUUAUAUUAAAAUAAUUAAGAUUACAGAUGUUUUGGUUUUCUUGACUUUCGAUAUGGUGCUUAUAAUUGACUAGAACGGGAAAGCUUGCACACUUUGCAGGAUGCAGUUUUUGGCAAACUCUCGGCUCUUUUUAUCUCAUUUGCUAUUUUCUCCAUUUUUUUUUUUUUUGUUACACGAUGUAAUAAUCUUCACUAUAACCUCUCUCCCAUUUACAAGGCGAAGCAUAUGGUUGCUCGGCUGGUUAUAAUGAAAAUAAUAAUUCAUUAUUUUUAACAAUAAGGCAUGAAGAUUUCUUGAUUUAUCAUGCUAUUGCUCUAGGAUUAUAUACAACUACAUUGAAAAAAAAAAAAUUGCUACUUUAAACCGAGCGUAAAUAUUAAAUUGCUACUAUGGAUUGUCGUUAAUUAUUAAAAUUCACUGAGGAAGAUGAAUUUUGCGACUGCUAUCUCAGAAUCGCCGCAUGGAAAAGAGCCAUUGUAACUUUAAAAAUUGCAGCAGCAAUUCAGCAAGCGCGUUCAAUAUUGAGCAAGCGCAACCACUAUUCUUCAGUUGUGACUGCAACAGCUCUGACAAUGUGUUUUUGCACUAGCUUGAGCUAAGAAAAAGAAGAUUGGUAAGAGUUACGUGAGUAAUGGUUCUUUGGUAGUUUGGAAAUAUAAAUACUUCCUAGAAUAUUUAUGAAUGAUGAACAACCUCACAUUACAUAAUUUAUUAAUCCUUUAAUUCUCACAUUUGUGUAUCAUUUUUAUCUUUAUGUAAGGAUUUGAGUGUGACCUACAAAUACUUAAAAAAAAGUUUGAGAGUUAGCCCGGGUAAAAUAACUCUUGUGAAGUUUGAUGUGAGCCUAGACACUAAUUUUGGAAAUGAGCUUGAAAAAAGUUCUCAUGUAUAGGUUUGAGUGUGAGCUUGUAAAAUACUUGAGUUCAAUCUUUCAACCGUAAAAAGAAUCAGCAAUAGUAAAAUACCAAUUGAAAAUUGAGGAGUAUAUGUAGGGUUAGUUAAUAUCUAAACUAUUAUAACUCUUUGGUAUUGAUUUUUCUUCCCUUUUUAUCUAAUCUCUUGAGCAAAUUUUAAUUACCUAUCAAUUUUUUAAACACCAAUUCAACCCUUCUUCUUGGUGCAUCUAGGUCAAACAUGAAAUAAGGAUACUAAAGUUAUUUGCGUUAAAAUAAAAGGACACUAAAGAUACCACUAAUAAUAAGAAUUUGAUUCCAAUAUCCAAAAUAAGCUUAAUAGUAAUCUAUUUUACAUAUUAUUUUUAUUCUUUAUUUGUAUUUCAUACUAAUAAUUAAAAACUAAAAUUCAAGCUAAUUUCAGUCACUAAUAAAUUUUUAUUGAGCCAAAUAUAGACAGUAACAUGUUCGAAUCGGCUUUUGUAAUUUUCACUCAAAAUACAGAAUAUCCUAAUAUAGAAGGUGAUACUCAUGUAUGCUUCUAUAGAUGCUAGGAUAGUUAUUAUAUUUAUUUUUAAUAUAUAAAUUAAUAUUAAUAGAAGAUAUUUAACAUAUAUAUUGUUAGAAAUUAUAAUAAUUUAGAUAAAAAUGGAUAAGAUAAUUAUUAUAUAAGAUAUAAUAAGUUUAGUUAUAAAAUAUGAAUAUAAAAUUAAUUUAUAAAUACAAUAUAUAAUUUAUUAAUAGAAUAUGUAAUUAAAUGCUGUAUAAAGUUCAAGUAUUAAAUUAAUUUUGUUAAUAGUUUCAAGUCCUUAAUUUAUAAAAGGUACAAAAUAACUUCUUAUGCAGGUAAUAAUUUCUGCCACUUUGACUAGGUUUGGAAGGAUCAUAUAAUAGUAUUACUAUAGUCAUCUAGAAUAUAUGAUAUUUGAAGAAUGAAAAUCUAUAAAAUAGGACUAGUUCUAUAUAUUUUUAAAUUAUUUAAAAAAACAUAUUAAUUGCUUAAAAGUAAUUUGAUUAAUUAAAGUACUCGUUAAAUAAGGAGUCCUCAUUUAGAUUUACUUGUAGGUUUAUGCUCUAGCAAUGGAGCCAGACGGUUCCCGUUUAUAAUUCUGAUUCUUGCUAGUUCUAAUCAAUUUUUAGAAAAUAAAAAAUUAAUUAAAAUAAAUUAUUUUUUAUAAAUUUGAGUUAUAUUUAAUAGUUUUGGUUCCAGCUAAGGAGAAAUUGAUCAUAAAGUAAUUUCCUAAUUUUAACCUGGUUUCAAUUUUCUUUUAGACAAUCUAAUUCCAUUUAUUUAAUUUAUAAAUUUUUUAUCUAAAUAUUAAAAAUUAAUAUAAAUAAUAUUAAAAUUUAUAAAAUAUAAAAAUAAAUAAAUAAAAUUAUCCUCAAAUUCAGUUCAAUUUAGGAAAGAAAUAAAUAAAUUUACCUUUGGUAUUUUUUGCAUUGUGUCAACCAACUAAGAAUUCUUUUUACAUUCUUUUCUCUAUUAUUUCUUUUAGUGUUUAGUGUUGCAACCUUUUUUUGUUUCCAAUUUAAGGUUCUUGAUUUGAUAUAUUUAUACAUCGGUACAUUAGCAUAUUAAUAGCUUUUCAAUCAAUAGAUAAAAGAAGUUUUAUAUUUAUACAGUUUAAUUAAUAUUUAUAAUUUUUUUUUAUUUUUAUGUGUUUGGAAGAAAAUGAAAAAAUAUAAUUAAUAUGAUAAACUAUGAUUAAUUUAUUUAUAUUAUAAAUAACUAAUAUGUAUACGGAUGAUUUCCUUAAUCAUUGUUUUACUAUUAGAAUACAUUAUUUUAAUAUUUAAAAUAAUUUUUACAGAUAAUAUUAUAGUAUUCAUAGCCAUAGCAGUUAGUUAGCCUUUCUCGAUUUGGUGACCACAGAAAGAAAUGUCAUCUAUCAAUAUUUCAAAUUUCAUGUGAAUUUCCAACUGUUCUAAUGGACCACUGUACAAAUUCAAAAUUCUUAAAUAUGCAAAACGUGUGAAUUGAUAUUAAGUGAAAGUUAGAAAUAAAGGUCGAUAAAUUGAUAAUAUAUUUAUACAUCGAUACAUUAGCAUAUUAAUAGCUCUUCAAUCAAUAGAUAAAAGAAGUUUUAUAUUUCUACAGUUUAAUUAAUAUAUAUAUAUAUAAUUAUUAUUUUUAUUUUUAUGUGUUUGGAAGAAAAUGAAAAAAUAAAAUUAGUAUGAUAAACUAUAAAAUUAGUUUGAAAGGGACGUUUUUUCAUAAAAUUUCAGGUUGAAAUAAUUGUUCAGCAAGAGAUUGUCAACCCUACCAUGAAAAAGCUGAUGAUGGAGCUUGUUCUAACUCGUGCAUUUUGCUCCAUCUGUUUUAUAGAAAAUAUAUUCUUGAAAAGUAUUAUCACGAUCCGAUUUGUGGGCCUGUGACCGGAAUUAGGGAAUGGGUAGACGUAAGGUCACCAAAUUCUAUAGUAAACAUGACCAUUCACUAACUUAACCAAAUCUCAAUCCAAUAGCACUUAGUUUUUUUAAUUUCUUUUUUGUUUUUGGCCAUUUUCUGAAAACAAUGAUAUUUUACGUUUAAUAAUAGAAAAUAUCCAUUUUCUAUUCAUUGGUGAUAUUUAAAAUAUUUUGCAAAAAACUAAUUAUAUAUAUAUAUAUAUAUAUAUAUAUAUAUAUAUAUAUAUAUAUAUAUAUAUAUAUAUAUAUAUAUAUAUAACCUUUCAUAUAUUUUAUUUUUUUGAAAAAACAAAGAAAAUAUUUUGUUGUUGAAAUCAAGUUGUUGCAAGUAAUAAUGGAAGCUGAGAUACUCGAAGUUGAAUGGGCAAGAGGCCGAUACGAUCAACUCAACUUGAUCGAUGAAACCAGAACGAAGGCCAUGUAUCACACACACUGUACCAAUAAAGGCUUUCUCGAGCUUUCGACAAGCAUGUCAAGCCUCGACCUUUAAAGAUGGGUCAUUUAAUCCUUAAAAAGAGAAAACCGGUAAUUCUGAACCGUUUAGAUAAAUUCCGACCAAACUAGAAAGGCUGGUAUCUAGUUGAGAAGAUCUUCUCUAAAGGAGCAACAAUAUUAUUAGACUUCGAGGGCAAUGAAUUUAGUCAACCAAUCAAUAUAGACAGGCUCAAGCAAUAUUACAUAUAAUAAAAGAAUAAUAAUAGAAUAAAAAAAUGAAUGAAAUGAAUAAGCCUGUUGGAUUGAGAAUGCGUAAAAAGCAGUCCAAGCAAAAGUUAUAGCGGUUCGAUUAGGUGAAAACCAAGAGGCACCUUAGGAAAAAAUAAGAACCAAAUAAAAGAAAAAAGAGUGCUUGGUUGGUUAGAGAACCUAAAAGGACUAACGAAUCGCGAGAGUUGGACUGUUUUCAGUAUGUUUUAAGAUGUACUUCGGUUAAACUGAUUAAUGGUGUAAUACUCAAAAUUUUUCUUUUAAUAAUAAUAAUAGUAUUAGUAAUAAUUAAUAACGAGUUUUUAUUUAAAUUUAUUUUAUUUUAUGUUUAUUUGAUUUAAUUGGGAUGAUUAAAAUAGAAUUUUAAUUCUAGACAAACUAAGGGAGUAUUUUCUAUAUCUAAUUAGUUUGAUUUUUAAGAAAUUAAUUAAGUAAAUUUUUUGAAAAAUAAAUUAUAUUUUUUGUCAUUUAAUUUUUUUCCAAUAUGAAUAUAUGAAUUAAUUUCUAUAUUUGAAAGUCGUGAAAGGAAUAGUAAAUAAUAUUUUUGUAAAGAAUUUAUUGGGGAAUGAUAAAUUUUAAUUAGCAAGUUGUGUUAAUUUUUAAUUGAAAAAUAGUUAGCAAAUUGAUUAAUUAAGUUAAUUAAGUGUUAAGAUUAAAUUGAUAAUUAAUUUUGAAAUAAGGGUUAAAAAUAUAAUUUUAUUAAUAUUGGGAUUUUAAUGAAAAUUUGUAUGGUUGAUAUUUUUGUAAUUAAAAGUGUCGGCAGAGGCAUUUUAAUAACUUUUCACAUUUAAAAUUUUAAUAAUUUUUCACAUUUAAAAGCAAUAGUAAACAAGAAAUUCCAUAUUUUCAAUAAUUCUAAUUUGGCUCAAAUUAAAUAGUUAGGGGCUUAAUUGAAAAACUAAAGAAAAGUCUAAAAGUUAAUCGGAAAUUUUGCAGGGUGAAAUUGUUAGUGAUUAAAAGUUGAGGGAUUAAAUAGUAAAAAAAAAGUUCAGGGACCAAAAGUCGAUAUAGAGAAAAAGAAAAAGAGAAGGAGAUCGGGGAGAGAGGAGAUCGAGCGGGGGAGGCUGCGCGGUCGUCGAUGGUCGACCAUCUGGGUGCGGCAGAACUGGCCGAUGAAGCGGCUAGCGUCAGCGAGCAAGGCAGCAGCACCGCAAUAAUUUGGUUAACCUUUCUCGAUUUGGUGACCACAUAAAGAAAUGCCAUCUAUCAAUAUUUCAAACUUCAUGUGAAUUUUUAACUUUUCUAAUGGGCCACUGGACAAAUUCGAGAUUCUUAAAUAUACAAAACGUUUGAAUUGAUAUUAAGUGAAAGUUAAUAAUAAAGGUUGAUAAAUUGAUAAUAAAAAUAUUAGAUAAUAAUACUAACUUAGAAUUAUAAUUGAAUGUAGCUUAUUUUUAAUUAUAAAAAAUAAUAAUAUAAAUAACUAUUAAAUUUUAUAUUUAGUUUUAUUUUAAUGAUAAAUUUUUUAUAUUAAUUUUAGUUACUAAUACAACAUAUUAAUUUUUACUUAUAAAAAUAACUAAACUAAACUUUAAUCCAAAUAAACUAAAAUUUCAUAAUUAAAUAAAUAAAUAAAAAUAUUAUAUUAUUUUUAUAUGACUAUGUUUAUAUAUAUUAAAAUUAUAUUUUAUAUAUCAAAAUUAUAUGGUGCAUUGAUGCCUUCAUGGCUCGUGGUCCAACUCCGGGCAAUGUAUGUGAUUUUUAAGUGGGUUUCUUCCCCACUACGAGUGGUUCACAUCGGCUCACUGUCAGAACAUGUUUACAGUAUGCAUGUUUAUAUUAGCAUCAAAGCUUGAAAGGCACGUUUUUUCAUAAAAUCUUCAGCAAAAGUUUGCCAACCCGACCAUGAAAAAUAUAUUAUGCGCUUUUGUAACUCGUGCAUUUUGUCUGUUUUAUAGAAAAUAUAUUCUAGAAAAGCAUUUUCAAUUUCUUUUUUGUUUUUAGUACAUUUUAAAAAGUUUAUGAAAAGAAUUUUGGGGUCAAAAAACAUUCAGCCAUUUUCUAAAAACAAUGAUAUUUCGUUUAAAAAUAGAAAACAGCCAUUUUCUAUUGGUGAUAUUUAAAAUAUUUUUCAAAAAACUAAUUAUAUAUAUAUAUAUAUCCUUUCAUAUAUUAAUUACCCUAAAUCACUUCCGAUGAUCUUUAACGACCUCUAAUAAUACGCAGCUUAUGUUAGUCCUGAGACAGUUAUUAAAAAUAUACUUAAUAAUUUAACAUCUUUUUAUAUUCAUGCACUUGAAAUUAAAUAAAAUUUAUAAUUAUAAAAAUUUUAUAAUUUAAUGAAGGUUUGAAUACUAAUUUUUUUUUUUACUUUAAUAUUUAUUUUUAUUGAUGAAAUAAUAGCAACUAGAAAUAAGGCACGCUAAUAUCUUGUCAUAAUAUACAAAUAUGAUUAAUAAGACAAAAAAUAAUACAAUAAGAUAAAAAAUAGCAUGACAUAUAUUUUUAAAAUAUAUAUACAAAUAUUAUUAUAUAGAGAAAGAUUUUUUAAGAUAAAAUUUUAAAAUGUAUAACUUAUUACGAUAUAAAAUUUAUUUUUAUUUAUAACUAGUUCAAAUUAAGAUCGAAUCUUUUUAAUAAAUUUUCAUCUUAAAAGAUAUCUAUAUGGUACUUUUUUUAAUAAUGAAUUAAAAUUUUAAUACAUUUUUGUUACAAAGUGUAAAACUUAUUGAUUAUAUAUGUAAUUUACUUUCUAGGUGUGCCAGAUCGGUAUUAUUAAAAUUAAAAUGUAGCAACUAUUUAAUUAUAAAUAAAAAAUGUGAUAUUUUUUUAUUAUAAAGUGUAAAAUUUAGAGACCGCCAAUAUAAUUUAUUUGAUCAACGUGAGCCUAUAUCUUUCUUAAACAUGAUCGGUUUGAGCUAUACGAUGUAGAAUAGAAAUACGAGCUUGAAGACAUCCUCUACCUUUUGAAAUAGUACGAGAGCUUUAGGCUCAAGAUGGAUCUAGGAAUUUAUUUUCUGUUUAAAAAGCUUAAAUGUAUUGAGAAAAAAUAGAUAAAGUGACAUCUUAUAUUCUAAAGAAACUGGGUUGGAAUUGGGUUAGGCUAGGUUUUAGGAUAGUAAUUUGGUUUAAAUGGUUUUAUGAUUAGGAUACAAAUUUGUCAAUUUUUUAAAAUAUGUAUCAGCCUAAUAUUAGGUGUAUUGUGGAAAUCGGGUUAGUUUCCACUGACAAAUAAGCUAUUAAAUAAACAAUAAGAAAAAAAACACCAGAACUUUAACGAGGUUCGGCAAAAAUUAUACUUAUUUCCUCGGGCACUACCAAAAUAAUAUUUCUUAAUUCAAUAGAAUUACAAAGAAUUAUUAAUAAGAAGAAAAAGAAGAGAAAUACAAUUUAGCCUAUAGAAAUAUAAGGCCCAUUAUUUUUCUUGACACUUAGAAAAUGAGAAAAGACCCACUAUAUAUAGCAUUUGGACUACUUCUUCCUUUUCUUAGCUUUUCAAUGUAGGAUAAAUAAGCCAAAAAUAACAAAUCUCCACCUUGGAGACUUCCUAAGCCCAAUCAAACAUUCUUUGUUUUCUCUCAUCACAAAUUUAGCAAUGCCUCCAAAUGUGCUUGAAGUGCCUAUCUUCAAAUUUUCAAAACAUUUAUCAAGUUCAAACAAUGUUGGAGCUUAAAACCAGUUACUACUUUCGUAGUCAUAUCUACAGGAUUUUCAGCAGUUGGGAUCUUCUGAAGAAGUAUCUCACCUUCUUCAAGAAUUUCUCUCGAACAUCAAUAUGCUUUCUCCUUGAAUGAUAGACUUGGUUUUUAGCUAAACAGAUAGCACUCUGACUAUCACAAUGCACUUUGACGUGCUUUUGAUCAAUUCUCAAGUCUUUCACCAAUCCCUGAAGCCAAAUUGCCUCCUUUACAGCUUCUGCAACUGCCAUAUACUCUGCCUCUAUUGUAGACAAAGCAACCGUUGACUGAAAAGUAGACUUCUAACUAACUAGUACUUUUGCAAGUGUAAACACAUAACCAGUAGUUGACCGACAUUUAUCCAAAUCACCUGCGUAGUUAGAAUCAUAAUAUCCAACCACACUCAGACCAAACUUCUCAUCCUGCUCAAACAUUAAUCCAACAUCCACAGUAUUCUGAAUAUACCUGAGGAUCCAUUUCACAGCUUGCCAAUAUCCUUUUCCAGGAUCAUGCAUAUACCUACUCACAACUCUGACUGCUUGUGAAAUGUCAGGUCUUCAUUAUUCCUUGGAGAUUGAGAAGCACUGAUUUUAAAAUGAGAAGAAAGUGGUGUACUGACAGGCUUUGUUGUUUCAUCAAUUCCAAACCGCUUUAGUACCUUUGUCAGAUAUUUCUUCUGAGUUAAACAAAGUCUCCCCAAUUUUUUGUCUCUGCUUAUCUCCAUACCAAGAAUCUUUCUUGCUUCACCUAAAUCCUUCAUUUCAAAAUCUUGAUUUAGUUGAGCCUUUAACUGUUUUAUUUCUCCUAUAUUCUUUGAUGCAAUAAGCAUAUCAUCAACAUAAAGGAGAAGAUAGAUAAAGGAUCCAUCAUAUAGCCUUUUCAAGAAUACACAAUGAUCAUAUUUGCUUCUUUUGUACUUUUGCCUCAUCAUAAACUUAUCAAAUCGUUUGUACUACUGCCUCAGUGACUGUUUCAAAUCAUACAACGAUCUGUUCAAUUUGCACACCAAAUUUUCUAUUCCAGCAACCCUAAAUCAUUCAGGCUGAUCCAUGUAGAUUUUCUCUUCCAGAUUACCAUGCAAGAAUGCAUUUUUUACAUCCAUUUGAAAUAGUUCCAAAUUCAAUUGUGCUGCUAAGGUCAACAAUAUUCUAAUGGAGGAAUGCUUCACCACUAGAGAAAAAACUUCAUUGUAGUCAAUCCCUUCCUUCUGAGCAUAGCCCUUAGCUAUCAAUCUUGUCUUGUAGCGAACAUCAUUCUUGUUAGGAAAUCCAUCUAUCUUUGCAAAUACACAUUUGCAACCAAUUAUCUUCUUUCCUUUAUAUAGACUAGCUAGCUUCCACGUCUGAUUUUUCUCAAGGGAUUGCAUUUCUUCCUCCAUAGCCAUUUUCCACUUAUCUGCCUCAGAGCUCUGUACAGCUUCAAUAUAAGUGGCCGGAACAUUGACAUUUGAAGACACAAAGGUUACAAAAUCUUCAAAAUGAGCAGGUUUUCUAGUGUUCCUCUUUGGCUUACUCAAUGCAAUUGACUCAUGUUGCCGUGAAGGUUCUUGUGCUAGAACCUUUACUUCAUCACCUGAUUCAUCUUCUAACUCCUCAUCUUCUAUAGGAGUAGAUUUAUCAAAUUGAUCUAUUGUUGGUUCAAUACUUCUACUACUAUCAAAUUGCACCUGUUUAGGAGAAGGCUCCACCUGCUGUGAAGCUCCAUUUGUUUCCUGCUCUUCUACUUUUUUUACCAUAGUAGAUUCUUCAAAAAUAACAUCUCUACUGAAGAUUAUCUUAUUUGAAUUUGGGCACCAUAGGCGAUAUCCUUUUACACCUGAUGAUAUCCCAUAAAAAUUGCUUUUUUUGCUCUCGGAUCCAACUUUGAUUCCUUAACAUGAUAAUAUGCAAUGGAACUAAAAACAUGUAAGGAAUUAUAAUCUUUAGCAGGUUUUCCAUACCAUACCUCUAAAAGUAUUUUACCGUUGAUAGCAGUUGAUGGCAAACGAUUAAUGAGAUGACACGCGUAUGUUACAGCCUCAGCCCAAAACUAUCUGCCUAACCCAGCAUUGGACAACAUACAUCGAACUUUCUCCAGUAGAGUCCGGUUCAUUCUUUAUGCCACCCCAUUCUGUUGUGGUAUAAUUCUAAUAAUGAAAUGUCUCACAAUACCUUCAUCUUGGCAGACUUUCAUAAAAGGAUCACUUGUAUACUCUCUUCCAUUAUCUGUUCGGAGACAUUUGAUCUUUCUGCCCGUCUGAGUUUCUACCAUCUUUUUUCAGGUGAGAAAAACUCCUAACACUUCAUCCUUUGUCUUCAUAGUGUACACCCACACUCUCUAGGAAAAAUCAUCAAUGAAGGAAACAUAAUAAUGUUUGCCUCCCAUUGAAGCUGUCUUGGAGGGUCCCCAUACAUCUGAGUGAAUAUAAUCCAGAAUACCCUUAGUAUUAUGGAUUGCAGUACCAAACUUCACUCUUGUUUGUUUCCCCUUGACACAAUGUUUAUAGAAAUUCAAUUCGCAGAUUUUCAUUUCCUGCAAUAAUCCUUGAUUUGCCAGAAGUUUCAAGAAUUUUUCGCCUGCAUGUCCUAAGCGCAUAUGCCACAAACUGGUUGCUUCUAGUUCCUGAUUAUAAUUAGAAACUACAGCUGUUGUACCAAUAACUGGAUUACCAAGAUAGUAAUACAAGUUAUUGUUUUGCUAAACACCUUUCAUCACAACAAGUGCCCUACAGAUAAAAGUUUCAUUCUUAAUGACAAUAGUGAAGCCCUUUCUUGCCCAAACUCCUAAAGAAAUAAGGUUUCUUAUCAAACUCCGCACAUAUCUAACAUCAGUCAGAAUUCUAAUUUAUCCAUCAUGAUUCUUCAACCGAACUGAACCAAUUCCAGCAGUUUUGCAAGUGUUGUCAUUUGCUAUGUAGACAACUCCACCCUCUGUUUUUUUGAAAUCAGAAAACCACUCCCAAUUGAGACACAUAUGGUGGCUACAACCUGAAUCCAGAAUCCAAGCUCCCAAAUUGCUGGUUGAUGGCAUCAUUAUUAAUGAAAGAUCAGAAUCACAUUCAGUUACAUUUGUUUCUGCAACAACUUUUCCUUUGGCUUUUUCUUUUAGCUUCGGACAGUCUUUUUUCCAAUGCCCCUUUUCCCGGCAAAAAGCACAUUGGUCUUUACCAACUCUGGACUUCGAUCUUCCCUUCUUCCAUUUACUUCUUUUCUCCGAAUAGCCUCUCACUACCAAAGCUUUCGCUACACCACUAUAGCUACCCUUUUUAUCUUUUCUUCGUAAUUCAUAACUAUAUAAAGCAGCACAAACCUCACUGAGAGACACCUCAGCCUUCCCAUGGAGUAAAAUAGUCUCAAGAAAUUCAAAUUCUUCUAGAAGAGAUCCCAACAACAUCAAGGCCAAAUCUUCAUCUUCAAAUGUCACAUCUAAAUUCAUCAAGUCAGCAACAAGCUAAUUGAAGUUUGUUAUGUGAUCAUUCAUUAUGGUACUAGGAACAUAUGUGAAUCUAAACAAUCUUUUCUUCAUAUGGAGUUUAUUUUGACUGCUUUUUUUCAGAAAUUUUUCCUCCAGUGUUUUCCACAAUUUACUAGCAGAAGUUUCUUUACAGAAUGCAUAUUUCUGCUCUCUGGACAAGCACAAUCGAAUUGUAUCACAUACCAAUCGAUUAAUUAUUUUUCACUACUUCUCCUCCAUACAGUUUGGUUUCUCAUAUUCAAUGGCAAUAUCUAAACCUUGCUGGAAUAAGGCAUCUAGAACUUCACCUUGCCACAUACCGAAAUGACCGGUACCAUCAAAUAUCUCCACCACAAUUCUGGAAUUCGCCACUGCAUUUCUCACUGAAAUUGACGAAUUUGGUGCUACUACUAUGGUUGGUGUAGAGGUAUUUUCACCGUCAACCAUUUCUGCUUCAAUCUAUAUUUAAUAGCUUUCAAAUAUAAUGCGGAAUGACUCAGAUUCUUUUAUGAUAUGAAAGAUCAAUUUAAACUGCAACCACUCAGCAACCUGGCUCUGAUACCAAUUGUUGUGGAAAUCGGGUUAGUUUCCAUCGACAAAUAAGCUAUUAAAUAAACAAUAAGAAAAAAAACACCAGAACUUUAAUGAGGUUCAGCAAAAAUUAUGCUUACUUCCUCGGGCACUACCAAAAUAAUAUUUUUUAAUUCAAUAGAAUUACAAAGAAUUAUUAAUAAGAAGAGAAAGAAGAGAAAUACAAUUUAGGCCAUAGAAAUAUAAGGCCCAUUGUUUUUCUUAACACUUAGAAAAGGAGAGAAGGCCCACUAUAUAUAUAACCUUGGAACUACUUCUUUUUUUUUAGCUUUUCAAUGUGGAAUAAAGGAGCCAAAAAUAACAAAGUGUUGAUCGGUCCAAAUUGUAUAUAUAUAUUUAAGAGUAUUUUAGAGCUUUAAUGGUAUAUUUCGAUAUAUAAUAUGGUGAAAACAUGUGUUCUUACCUCACUUUAGUUUUCUUAUCUAAUUUUAGGAAAUAAUUAUGAAAGAUGAGAAUUUAAGCUAAAAACGCACUAAUGGGCUUUAAUUGGACUGUGGCUGUAAAAGGCUCGAAAUCAGACACGUAGGCUAUCAAUAGGUUGGGUCUAGUCGAAUUCAUUAAGGCCUAAGAAGGAGGAUUUAAGUAAUUGUGAUGUAAUUAUUAGAUAAUUAUCUUUUAAGUUAUUUACUUUAUUUAGGACAGUAAGGGAUCACUAUAGUAGUCAUGUGCUGAGAGAAGAACCCUAACAAGGGGAUCUUUAUAAAAAAUAGAGGUUAAUUAAAACGGGAGAGUUCAGCUACUACUAUUCUCUCUGAAGAAAGGGUUCUACUAGUCUCUGCAGAAAUUUCUAUAGUUCAUCAUCUUCUAUAUCUAACUAGUUUUGUUCCAUCAUUCUUCCAAGAAUCAAAGAAGCUUUCUAAAGACGUGGAGAGAGAGGAUCAAUCUUCUUCAUUCCUUGAAGGGCCUUUGAACUUUGAAGAAGUUUUAGUUUUUUAUUUUAUAUAUCUUAUGUCUUUCUAUUUAAUUACAAUGAUCGUCGAAUUAAGUAUGAUAGGUUAAGUUCUAUAAGUGUUUGGUUUGGCUUUUUACUUAUGUAUGAACCUUAUAUAUUAUGAGUUUAAUAAAUAAUUUCUUUACCUUCAUAUAUGCAUUAGUUUCGUCUAUUAUUAUUGGUUGAACAUCAUAUCAAUUUAGUAGUAAUAUUUGUUAUGAAAAUCUUUAUGUUAAAAGUAUUAGAAACAUCAUCUUUACUUUAAUCUAUAUUGGUAUAAGAAAUCUAAGUUGCAUCAUUAGCUUGAGUGACUUAGGGAAAAAAGGCAAAUUACCAUCUCAUUGUUAGAUUUGGACUUAAGGAAAAUAAGGGGAUUACUAAGUAUAAGCUAGACUAAAUGCUAUUUUAUCAUAUAGUUCAUAUUAAUCAUUCUAGUUGCAUAUUUAUUUUCUGGUUAUUUUAUUUCUUUUAUAAACUUUAAUAUCAUUGUCAAAACAUUAGCUCAGAGUGUAUAUUUAUUUUUAGUAUUUUGUGUGCUAAUUGGUCUUUAUAAUAUAUGUUCUACAAUUGUGAGAUCGACCUCGUGGUAAACUUGCCCAAACUAUCAUUCAGUUCGUACAUUUGCGAGUACUAAUUUAGACACAUCAAGUUUUUGGUAUCGUUACCGGGAAAUUGUGUCAAUAUUAUAUUUGAUUAAUUGUUGAGUAGUGUUUCUUGUGUUUUUGUAUGUUGCAUGUUAUUUAUUUCUGGUUUAUUUUUAAAUUAUGUUUUUAAGUUUUUAAAUCCAAAAUUUUUCCUUUGAUUUUGUAUGCCUAGCAGGAAAACGAGAUCAGGUGAUUCAUUAACUCAAAAUCCCUACAACUUGAGAUCAACUAUCAAAAAGGCAGAAGGAGACCAAGAGAUAGAGAAUGAAUUUGUACCUUCAAGAGAAGAAGAAUUUAAAGAAAAGCUAGAACAAGGGUUUGAAUGAGAAGUUAAGAUAAUGGUUAAUAACCAAAGAGAAGUUGCAGCUCAAAGGCAAAUGACUAUGAAGGACUAUGCUCGUCCUAUAAUUGGGUAACACUACUUCAUGUAUAGUUUUAAGUGAUGCAUCUAGGAAUUAUGAACUAAAGAACAUCUAUUUUAAUAUGCUUCCGUUAUUUUAUGGUAUAUCCAAUGAGGAUGCAGUGACAUUCAUUAUAGAGUUCUAUGCUAUAGUUCAUACAUUUCUAUUACCUCGACUUAAUGAAGACCAAUUAAAGAUGAGAUGUUUUCCUUACUCAUUAAAAGACAAAGCAAAGGCUUGGUUAAUGACCUUGCCUCCUAAUUCUUUUGGGAACUUGGGAUAAAGUUUAUAAAAAAUUUAUGAGUAAAUUUUACUCACGUCAAAAGACCAGAAAAUUAAGGGCUGAAAUUUUUAACUUUUAUCAAAAUGAUACUGAAUCCUUUCAUGAAGUAUGGGAUCGAUUCAAAUCACUUUUACAACAAUACCCACACCACAGAUACCCACUUCUUGUGACCAACCAAUCAUUCUAUAGUGGUCUAACACAAUAAUAUUAAUGUAUGGUUGAUAAUGCAGCUGGGGUGCUAUGUUAGAAAGAACUGUUGAUUAGAUUUAUGCCAUCUUUGAGGUGUUAUGAGCCAAUUGACGAUAAAAGAGUGUGAGAACAAAAAGAGUAGUAGUGAAUGAAAUUGUGUCUAAUAAUAAGAUAGCUAUGUAAAUAGCCGAAUUAACUAAACAAGUUAGGAUUCUUGCUUCAACUGAGAAUGUAAAAAGCAAUAAGGUAUGUGGUAUAUGUGGUGUUUAUGGUCAUGGUACUAACGCUUGUUUGUCUUAUGAGACUUGUGCAGGAGAUGAUUAUGAACAUGUUAAUUUUAUAGAAUCUUAUCAGCUUAGGCAACCUAGAAAUAACUCAUACUCCAACACUUAUAAUCCAGGAUGGAGGAAUCAUCCAAAUCUCUCCUGGAGAAAUAACGACCAUAACCAACCACAAAUACUGAGAAACUAAAACUAGUCCUAGUAUUAGAAUCAAGAGCCUCAAUACCCAAGGAAUCAAAAGCCUUCAUUCUCUAUCAAGGACAAGCCCUUCAAAGAAAGCCAAGUUUGAAGGAAAACUCGAAUUUUUUAUGACGGCUACUCAUGAUAGAAUGGAAAGGAAUGAGAAGAAAACUAAUUCCAUAGAAGCUUCAAUGAAGUGAUUGGAAAUUCAAAUUGGGCAAAUUGAUGAAGCAGUACAAGAAAAUAAGAAAGAAAAAUUGUCAAGUCAACCUGAGCAAGCUAAAAAGCAAUCACUGUUCUUAACGAUGGUGAGUUAUUUUAUAAUAAUAUUGAAAAUUAAUUGAGAAAGAUUCUUCUUACUCAUGUACAUCAAAAGAAGAUGGACUAGUUAAUGUAGAAAUAACUGAAGGAGGCUUACAAAAAGAAGGAAGAGUAUAGCUAAAUCUUAGGCAAAAAGAGAAAGACAAUGAAGCAUUUUUAGAACCUAAGUUUCAUAAGGCAUCUGAGCCUUAUAAGCCUCCUAUUCCGUUCCCAAACAGAUUGAAAGAAAGCAAACAUGAUAAGCAAUUUUCUGAAAUUUUUGAUAUGCUUUCUAAGGUUAAUAUUAAUUUGUCCUUGUUGGAUGUGAUUAGGAAUAUGCCAGCUUAUGCUAAAUUCUUUAAGGAACUUAAUUCCAAUAAGAGGAGAUAUGGGAACAAUAAACAAGUUACGGCAUCUGAAAUAGCAAGUGCAGUUCUCCAACAACAAUUACCUUCUAAGAUGAAAGACCCUGUGAGCUUUACCAUUGAUAUUACAAUAGGAGACAAAAAAGUUGUAAAACCAUGUUGGAUUUGGGAGCAAGUAUCAAUUUGAUGCCAUAUUCAAUAUAUGCACAACUUAGCUUAUGAGAAUUGAAGCCAACUACCAAGUCUCUGCAACUGGCUGAUAGGUCAAUUAAGUAUCCAAGAGAUAUAGUGGAAGAUUUGCUGAUUCAGGUAGGAAAACCGAUAAUCCCUACUGACUUUGUGGUUCUUGACAUGGAAGGUACAUCAGCAAGGGAUAAGAAACAAACAAUACUCCUUGGUAGACUUUUCAUAGCAACUACUAAGACAGUUAUUGACGUGCACAAUGGAAAGCUGACUAUGACAGUUUUGGUAGAGAUUGUAGAAUUUAAAGUGUUUAAUUCUUUAACUAUAUUUCCUAGCACUUCAAUUGAUGAGUUCAUAUGUUGAUUGUAUAGAUUAUUUUAUUUAUAAAACAUAUUUACAGGAUAAGGAUGAUAAGUUAGCAUGAAGAAAAUUUAAAGGAAGAAGUCUUAGACUUACAUAAUAGUUAGAUGAAGCUAUUCCAGUGUUACCUGAUGAAAAUACUAUUGAACCUUUAGAUUCACUUAUUGGAAUCAAAUCCAAAACUACUAAUGAACCACCUAAAGUUAAGCUUAAGGAGUUGCCUAACAUACUCAAAUAUGUCUUCUUAUAAGAAAGGAGUACGUACCCAAUGAUCAUAGCCUCUGAUACGUACCCAGUGAUCAUAGCCUCUGAUCUUUCUCUUACAGAGGUAGAGAUAAUUAUUAGAGAACUAAAAAGGCUUAAAAAACUAUUAAGUGAGGAAUUUCUGAUAUUAAGGAGAUUAGUCCAACAAUGUGUAUGCAUAAAAUUAUUUUAGAAGACAAUUCUAAAGCGGUUAGAGAUACACAACAAUGAUUUAAUCCUAACAUGAAAGAAGUUGUAAGAAAAGAAGUUCAGAAGUUAUUGGAUGAGGAUAUUAUAUACCCUAUAGCUGAUAAUAGUNNNNNNNNNNNNNNNNNNNNNNNNNNNNNNNNNNNNNNNNNNNNNNNNNNNNNNNNNNNNNNNNNNNNNNNNNNNNNNNNNNNNNNNNNNNNNNNNNNNNNNNNNNNNNNNNNNNNNNNNNNNNNNNNNNNNNNNNNNNNNNNNNNNNNNNNNNNNNNNNNNNNNNNNNNNNNNNNNNNNNNNNNNNNNNNNNNNNNNNNNNNNNNNNNNNNNNNNNNNNNNNNNNNNNNNNNNNNNNNNNNNNNNNNNNNNNNNNNNNNNNNNNNNNNNNNNNNNNNNNNNNNNNNNNNNNNNNNNNNNNNNNNNNNNNNNNNNNNNNNNNNNNNNNNNNNNNNNNNNNNNNNNNNNNNNNNNNNNNNNNNNNNNNUAUUCAUAUAGUGCCUAAAAAGUCAGACACAAUAGUUGUUAAGAAUGAAAAGGAGGAAUUAGUCCCCAUAAGAAUGACAACAGGAUGAAGGAUGUGUAUUGAUUAUAAAAAGUUAAACGCUGCAACAAAGAAUGAUCACUUUCCUCUUCCUUUUAUUGAUCAAAUAUUAGAGCGUUUAGCAGGAUAUAAAUUCUAUUAUUUUCUUGAUGGAUUUUUAAGAUAUUAUCAGGUACCCAUUGCUUUUGAAGAUCAAGAAAAGACAACUUUCACAUGUCCCUUUGGAACUUUUGCAUUUAGGAUGAUGCAUUUUGGGCUUUGCAACGCUCCAGCAACAUUCUAAAGAUAUAUGCUUUCUAUUUUCUCUGACAUGUUGAAGACUGAAUCGAGGUAUUUAUGGAUGAUUUUUCAGUUUUUAGUUCUUCAUUUGAUGCAUGUUUAAGAAAUCUGACUCGUAUUCUCGAGGUCUAAUUCACUCUUCCACUGCUGUAAACGAGCCAAAACAACAAGCAUGGUACCAGUAAUUAAGAAAUCGAGCCAUGAAAAAGAUUCAACAAGAGUUUAUUUUUUAGCCAUCUAACUAAUGAUUUAAGAUAAAUAUUAAAUUUUAAUGGAGCUCUUUUAUUUUUCAAACCAUAAAUUAUAUAUUAAAGAAAAUAAAUAAAUAAGAUAAAAAGUAAUUUUGUAAUUUUACUGAAAACUAAUGGCAAUAUAACUAAAAACUAGACAAAAAAACCUAGCAUAAUAUGAAAAAAAGAGAGAUUUUAAAAAUUGAGGUCUUGAUUAAAGUAAUAUUGUAGACUUCAAGAUAAAAAUAGUAUUAGGGAUAAAUUAGAUUGGAGGUACCAAAUUAUGUAUUUUGUAACAAAAAUUUAUUAAAUUUUUAAUAUAAUUAAAUGAUCACUAAAUUUUAAUUUUAAUAACACCGAUAAAUUUUUUCGACAAGUGCGAGGAUUACAUGAGCAGUCACCAAACUUUACACUUUGUAACAAAAAAUAUUAAAAUUCUGAUUUUAAAAGAUACAUGACCGGUGCUUUUCUUGUAACAAAUUAAAGGUUUAAUAUAUUUUUGUUACAAAAUAUAAAAUUUAGCGACUAUCCAUAUAAAUUUACUAUCUAAGUGUGAUGAAAAAUUUUACUAGUGUUAUUAAAAUUAAAGUUUAGCAACUAUUUAAUUAUAAAUCAAAUAUUUACUAUCUUUUUAUUAUAAAAUGUAAAAUGUAAUAAUCGUAAAUGUAAUUUACUGAUAAUAUUACCUAAAAAUUUAUUUAUAUACCAAAUGAAAGCAACUGCAACCUAAAAUCGAUAAUAUUGUUUAUACAUCAGUUAUGGUAAAAACAUCACAUUUAACAUCAUCCCUUUGCAAGGUUGGUUUCAGUAGAUUUCUUAAUUAAUCACAAUUUUUUUACAAACCAAGACUUUGUUAAAGCAGAAUUUGGGCAAGGUACCCAGUACAAAAACUGACCAACCAUAUCAACAAAAAAUGGAAAAUGAAUCGCUACAAGAACAAAAAUAAUAUAACACAUAAAACGCACGCGAUAAAGUCACUCUCUUGUAACAGUUGCCUUUGCCAAGUUGUCUGCAUAUUUUCAAUACUUAUAAAUUAGUCUAAUAUGUUUAAUUUGGAAGCAUGCAUGUGAUUAUGCCGGGUACAAAUUUGCAGGCAAACGUGGCUUUGCGAGUGCAACUAAUGGUUUGGCAAGUUCCAAACUAUUCUUAGACUCUGAAAGAUCAAUGCUUGUCUCAUUAGGGGGCACGCUCCAGCUAAACCCUUGAAGAAGCCUAGCAAAUAACAUAACAGUCAUUGCAGUUCCCAACAUGAUGCCUGGACAACCUCUUCGUCCUGUACUAAAUGAAAGCAAGUUCAAAUCAGGCUGCGUCAGCAUCACUUGACAUCCAUUUUUCUUGAAAUGACGCUCUGGUUUGAACAUGUGUGGUUCAUCCCAAAUCCGGGGAUUCCGGCCGAGGCCGACUCGGCUAAGCAAGACAUGGCUACUUUUUGGAAUAAAAUAGUUAGCAACAGUUGUAUCUGCUAGGGAGACAUGAGGAAGAUUGAAGAAGCCAAGAGGGUGGAGGCGAAACGCUUCUUUAGCACAUGCUUUUAUGUAAUUGAGCUGUGGAAAAUCUGACUCUUGGACUAGUCUCUCCCUUCCAACAACUCUAUCCAAUUCUUCUACUGCGUUCUCAAGAAGUUUCGGUUUGUUUAUCAUCUCUGCAAGUGCCCAUUCUAUAGCAUUUGAUGGAUUAUCCACUGCUGCCAGCAUUAUAUCCUGCAAAAAUUGAUAGGUGAUAUGUAGCUUUGUUGAAUCAGUUGGUGGGAACUAUAGUAAUUAAAUUGGAAGAUGCAAUAAAUUUGAAUCUUAACCAACAUAUUUAAUGUAUGCCGAACUGAAAAUGACGAACUAAGCUUCUUGCAAGAAAAGAACAUGCAAAUGGAAGUUUCCUUAAUUCCAUUUCAUCAUUCAGGCAGAAAAAUGUUAUAUUUGGGAUAUGUUGUAUAUAUUGGACAACUUUUAUGGGAGAGAAGAAAAAAAUUAUUGAAGAGAGGGAUAUACAUUAUAGAUAUAUAUUUCUAUAAUUAAAAUACACUUUAUCUUUUAACAAGAGAUAGCUUUCCACCCCUACCACACUACUAAUAUUAUAAGUUAUUUAUAAUAGCACUUAUAUGAAUUUUCCCUUACAAAUUUAAUUAGUGAUAUUCAUGACACUUAAUAAUCUAACCUUUCAUAUACUUAGAGCUUUAGCAUAACCAUAACUCUCUUUAACAACUAAUCACUCUUAAAACAAUAAUAGCAAAUAUUGAAGUUUACAUUUUCAAUAGUAUGCAUGUGAGAUAGAGUGAGAGAGACAGAGCUUACAGUAAUCUGAGCUUUAAUCUCUUCCAUUGACAGCAAAGAGUUGCCAUUGGCAUCUUCUAAAUUUAUGAAAACGUCAAGCAAGUCAUCCACUUCCUUCUUAGUGCCAUCCCUCCAUUGUUCGACCCUCGCUUCAAUUAUGGGAUCUUGAUAUUUUUUUAUGAUCCCAAUAGCAUCCUUCAUGACCUUCUCAUGACCAUCCAAGUCGAGCCCUCUCAAGCAUGGCAUAUAAUCAGACAAACAAAAUGCAUAGGUAUGAGCAAGGGCUGUUAAAAUCGCAUCAACAUGCUCUUUUUCCUCGACACCAGGCCCUCCGUCCUUCAUUCCCUCCCCGAAGAACCUUUUGUUAAACACCAUCUUCCUUAUUACAUUUCCACAAUAGUGCCGUCCAGUGAUUCUCACGUCAACUGAUCCACCUUCCUCGGCAGUCUUGCAUUGGUUAUACACAUAACGAACAAGGUGAUCAGCUUCUUCAAGUCUUUUUCCGUAAAACCACUUAUAUUUUUCCGCAGAAAGAACUUGCGUUACCAGCACUCUCUUCAUUUUCUUCCAUUGUUCUCCUAAGGGCACAAGAGUUGUUGUCAAAUAACCACUUGUAGUGAGAUCGGUGGACAUGGUUAACGGCCUGCUUGCAAAGACAGCAUCCUGUACUUUCAAGAAUUCACGGCUAAUCUCAGGAGAAGUGACAGGAAUCACAUGAACGUUUCCAAGACGGAUACAAGCAAUUUCAGUGUUCAUUUCUUUCAUGAGCUUGUGUAUCCAUCGAAAGGUCGGCUUAUUUGCUAGCAUCGUUGGCAGGCAUCCGACAAGAGGCCAAGGUUUUGGGCCAGGAGGUAGUGGGAGUUGCUUGGCGUUUUGGCUUUCUAGCUUUUGGAAUUUGGUCAAGUAAAUUAAGGCCAACGCCAAGAGAAGAACUAGGGAACAGGAGCUCAACAAUGUUCUGAGAAAGCCAAUGCCAAUUCCGGAAAAAAUCUGGAGUGCCAUGAAGAGAAGCUAGCCCAGUGCAAGAUAUUACAGAGGUAGCGUUCUGCAUGGCCACAAAACUGUCCAUCGACAUGCUGCUUCUAUUUAAUAGAACUGGAAAGCCUGCAUACUUUGCAGGAUGCUGUUUCUAGCAAACUCUCAGCUCUUUUAUCUCAUUUGCUUUUUUCUUUUCCUUC